Molecule: long non-coding RNA, 154082 nt
Filed under: Setaria italica (foxtail millet)
Lineage: Eukaryota; Viridiplantae; Streptophyta; Magnoliopsida; Poales; Poaceae
Description: long non-coding RNA (SITA_LNC003832)
Rfam family: MIR1435 microRNA precursor family (bases 92547-92746)
Source: RNAcentral
UUAUUUGGCAUUGUAAAUGUCAAACUUUUUGUAAAUUUGAUCAGAUUUUAGAUACAAAGAUAGAAUGACAUUUCAGAUACAUAAGUAAGGUAGUGUUUGGUUAAGUGGAACAUGUAUGAGAUGGUUCACCUGGAUAGGAUGAUUCUGAACGAUAUGAUGCAAGUUGGAUGUUCGGUUGUCUGAAUGGGAUGGUACAUGGUUUUGUUUGGUUGCUUGAAUAGGAUGAUACAGGAUGGUAUAAGAUUAUAUUUGGCUACCUGAAUGAAUCAGGGUAUGGUAACCUUCCUACUAUAGGUGGUAAUUUUACCUCUAAUAAGCUGGUUACAUAAAUAAAUUGACAUAAAAGAAUGUAUCCCGAUAUAAGCCCAACACUAAACAACGAGUACAGAAAUAAGCCCAACACUAAGAUAAUAUCACAGAUAAUAGUUAUAACAUAUCAGACCAUAGUUCAUACCAGACAAUACCAGACCAUAGUUCAUACAUUCCAUAUCAUCAACCACCAUAGUUUUAGUUCACGUGGUUAGCAAAAUAUUAGGACCAACACCAACAAGCUAACAAAUACCACAAUACCAAACUUCAGUUCAGGACUAGGUACAACACGCAAUCACUAAUUAUAAAUCACCAUAGGUUAGAUUACAGUUCUAGUGGUUAGCAAAAUAUUUAGAUUGCUACUUAUAUAUCAGCAUCGGAAAGGUGCUCCUUGAUGUACCUUGCAACCCAUAUCAUUUUGCUUGACAGGGGCAGCUUGUAAAAGGCCCUUGCUUGUGGUGGAUGGUCACACAAAUAAGCAUAGUAGUGAUCAAGAUGGGCUGCAUCAAAUCCAGAGAUACUCAUCAUGGCAUCAUAAAGUCCCUCAGGAAUGUCAUCAUCUGAAGUAAUGGUCCUGGUGACAUUUGUUAUGGCUGCUGCUAAGUUUCCAAGGCUCUGACUAAUCAUAGUCACCAUGGCAAUGUUAGGAUCUUCAACAGUGACCUUGGCCUUCUUUGGUGGUGGUGGUCUAGUACCUAAGGACUCCCCACCAGUAUUGUUGACAGACAUUGUCACUUCAUCAGGCAUUACCCCUACUUGAUCAUUUGUAGAUGAAGCAUCUUUAAUGUCUUUUGGUGCAUUCUCUAUUUUAGUAACCUCCGUAGCAAUAGGGUCAUUUGCUCCCUUGGCAUAUGCACCAGUUGCCAAACUAUUGCCAAAGAUAGUGGCCAUCUCAUGGUAGUGCUCAAUUGGAGUGUUUAAGUAGUUGGCAUCCUCAUGAUGGUCCUAGCAGGCAAAAUACAUAGAUGCCAUGAAUUUUAGUAAAAUAUUAAGACUCAUAUGGCAACAAUUUCAACAAACCAAGAAGAACAUAUGGUAAAAAUUUCAGUCCAGUAAUAACCAAUGUAAUGCUCUCUCUCCACGGUUAUGGUGCAGCUUUCUUCGUCCCAAUUAGCUCCACUCAAGCUUUUCAGCUUCACAAUCUUUCCAUAAAUCUUUUUUCCACUUUCUGAGGUGGUUGCUAACUUGCGUACCAAUAACAAAAACACCCAGGCACUCAUUCAAAGCCUUUGCAUAGGCAUUCAGAUGAACUUGCUUGAAGCCUGAAGAGGUUUUAGUGCCACUAGCCACAAGUUGAGACAAGUAGUUGAGCAUAAAGCUUGACAAAGUACUUGUCCAUUGAAUUGCACCUCCACCAUGUCCAACCAAGUUAUUUCCCUGAUGUUUCUGGUCCAUCUCCUACAACAUACAAAAGAAACACAAGAAUUCAUAAUAUAGAAAAAUUAUUCAUAUUAAAUCAGUAAGGAUUCAUAUCAAAAUAGCACAAGCAUUCCUAUUAAAAUAGUACAAGGAUUCAUAUUACAACAUCACAAUGGUCCCCACUAGGCACAACACAAUGGUUCAUAGCUGGUACAUAAAUUCGAGAAGAUAAACAACACAACGCUCCACUACAUAGCUAGUACAUAAAUCUGAAAAAAUAAAAAAUAGUUCAUUGGUACAAUAAAAAGUACACUAUUAAUGUCCAUAGUGAUUUUGACGAUCUGCCCACAUUGCUUCAGCAAUCAAUUGCCUCUUAUCAACCAUAAACCUAUGGUCAUUUGCUUGCUGCCUAGUUGUCCUUUGAGGGUUAGGUGUCCAAUUGCUCUCUAGUAGAAUGAAACAGUCUGUUACUUGAGAAACAACCUAAUUGUGAAGGAUGCAACAAGCUAGGACAAUAUCAACUUGACUGCGGAAGGAGAAGAAUGGGGUUGCGUCAUCAAGAAUGAGGCUCUACCACGAAAUGAUUUUGGGUAGGAAAUGAUUUUCUACCAUGAAAGGUUGCUUCCAUAGACUUACUAACAAAUGGUCUUAUAUGUGUUCCAUAAAUAGCACCAAUACAAUCCUACUGUUCACAUAAAAAAAUCAGAAACCAAAAGUUAUGACCAUAUAUCCCUAAUCUAGGGCUUUUCAUGUCAUACCUUGAAGUAUGGAUCACAUCUUGGGUUCCCUGCAAUUUUGGCUGGAGUCUCCAUUGAAGGUGGCCGAAUAAGAUCAUUGCGUAGCUCACCUAUGGCAUGGAGGACUAAUCCAAAGUACCGGCUAACUGUUUCACCUAACCUAUUGAAAUUGGUACCAACUAACCUAUUUCGUACAUUGUGGCCAACUGUAUUCAAGAACAUGGCAACUUGUUCCUCAAUGCACACAUGAUUAGUGUCACGUAGCAGAGAGUGUUGCCUCAAAACUUGGCACAACUGGAAAAAUGAGGUUCUCUUAAGCCUUAUCAUUUUUGUGUAGGUCGUAUCAUCCCUGUAGAUCCUUGUGUUAAGAUUCUCAAUCCUAGACUUAUCCCUCUCCUCCAUUGGCCCAUAAGUAAUACGUUGCCUCUUAUUGCUUAAUAGUCUAGACGUCACAAACAAAACCACCAUACAUGAAGCUGCAUAUGUUGUUGCAGCAAUAAUAAGCAUCAACAAUUUUCUCCUAACAAGCUUCCUGUUGUCUAUCUAAAUUACCCAAAAUAGUGCAAAACAUGUAUCAAGAUUUUUAGGGAUAAGAGAAAUUAAACAUCCGUGCUAAUCUACUGCACUAUAAAUUAGUUUUGCACGCAUGCUAUCACGUGAAGCUUGUAUUGGAUGUCAAGAAAUCAGUUUGCAAUAAAAAAAUCAGCAAGACUGAAUCGCAUCUGUACUAAUCAGAUGCAAAAGAAACCAUAGAAGCACCCAGAACUUGUAAUGCAACCAAUCAACCUAUUCGUUCACAAAUCCCCUGGCACAACAUCAGAUUUAAACAGCGCAAACCCAUUCUUGGCCUUUGAUUCAACCCAGAACCAGACCUAGCAACUAGAUUGAGUGGGCGACGAGAAGAAGUCUGUACCUGCGCAAAGGGCACCGCGCUACCAGAAGAGAACGAGCGCCAGCAGCAGCAGUCCGUGCAGCUCUGGUAGCUCCUGCGUGAGGGAAGGCUGGAUCGAAGAGGGAAGAAGGGGUGGAGGUGAGCAGAUGCAAGCGAGACGAUCCGUCCGGGAUGGCGUUGUUCGAUGUUUUUUCUCGCACAGGAGGAUACAGGAUCUAAAAGGAAUAUUCGAUGCCUCUGGAUGGUUUAGUUUCACGCAUGGCCCAACUGCCCAAGCUAAGAGGGUGUUUAGUUUCACGGACUAAAGUUUAGUCCCUGUCACAUCGAAUGUUUAGAUACUAAUUAGGAUUAUUAAACAUAGACUAAUUACAAAACUAAUUGCAUAGAUGGAGGUUAUUCGUGAGACGAAUCUAUUAAGCCUAAUUAGUCCAUAAUUUGACAAUGUGAUGCUAAGUAAAUAUGUGCUAAUUAUGAAAAUAAUUUCUGAACUUGCAGCUCAUAAACGUGACAUGUAUCAUCACACAUAUAUGUUUAGUUAGGUUAUUGAUUACUGAGAAAAGAUAGCCUUAUUUCUCUAUCCCGAUGACCUGAUCCCUAUCUAUUUCCCUAUCCAACCACCCAAACAUGGGAUAAAAUAUAUCAUAGCCCUCGCUUCCCUGUCCCCUCAUUUCCCACUACCCAGACACCACCCUAAUCCCCACGAGAGGGUUGGGUUUCGAUUAUAGAUGUACAUGCAGCCCGCAGGCCGAGAGCCCGGCACGAAGCCUGUGUUUUUAGCCUGGACCUAGCCCGGCUCGACCCGUAACUCUUCGAACUCGGGCUGGCCUGGCCCGCAUGCUUGUUCCGGGCGUGGGCUGGUGCCUCGGCCCAUUGGGCGGCACGGCCCGGCAUGAAAGCGAACCGCCAGCUUGUUGCCGACCCGUCAAGCGAACAGCCGGCCGGCCCAGGCAGCCCACCAGUCCACCAACGGUCGGGAAGGGGGGCAUAUAUAAGCCCCCCACGGCCAGUCGCACCCCUCUUCGCAAACCCUACUGGUCUACCCCAUUCUCCCCUCCGCCUGCCACCUCCUCGCCUCGACUUCGACUCCUCCGCUCCAGGCUCCUUGCCUCCUUGGCUCCUCCCGUCUCGUCCCGCACCCGCAGUCCCACGUCCCGGUGACGGUUGAUGGCGACCGGUGCGCCACCUUCUCGCCUCGACUCCUCCGCUCCCGGCUCACCUCCUCUGCGCCUUCGCCUGACCACCUCCCUGGCUCCCUACCUCCCUGGUGCCUUGCCGGCUUGCCAUCGGCACCGCCUCCUCGCCUUGAAUCCUUCGCUUCCCGCUCCUUAACUCCUCCCAUCCCGCCUCCCUGAAUCUGGAUCUAGAUCCUCCUGAUCCUCUUCUUGUUCUCCUGAUCUUGUUCCCGUCGUCGUCUCUGGCUCCGGGCUGUGGCAUCACAGGUAUGUAGAUCCUCCUAAUCCUUUUCUUGUUCUCCUGAUGUAGAUCCUCCUGAUCGUGUUCUUAUUUUCCUGAUCCUCUUCUUGCAGGUAACUGUCUUCUUCUCCUACUUCGGGCUCCGGCGUCGCAGGUAACUGUCUUCUUCCUUAUUGUCCUCAUGAUCCCCUUAUUGUUCUACUGAUCCUCUUGUUGUUCCUGAUCUUGUUCUCCUAUUUUUCUUGCAGGUAUCCGUCGCCCGUCAGGUGCCGUGCGCCGUUGAGUGACGGAGUGGUUGAGGCCUGAGGGACGCCCCGGCUGCCGCCUGCCACAGGAGGUUGUCGUGAUGGACGAGAUCUACACCAUCAACGAUGACCUAAGGGCCUGUGGCCUGCCAGGUAACUUCUUUCUGAUCCUCUUCUUGUUCUUGUUCUCCUGAUCAUCUUCUUGUUCAUCUUCUUGUUCCUGCCUUCUUGAUCCUCUUCUUGUUCUGUUCUACCAGGUGACGAUGAGGAUGACGUGGCUGCCAGAGCCGUGGCACUCUUCGGUAGCUCUGCUACUCCCGUCAAUGUGGAUGCUGCUGGUGCCGGAGGUAUUGCCCUAUCUUCUACCCCGACUACAUCAACAGGCACCAGUGUCCGCAAGGGGAAGCGGUGAUCUGCUGCCUGGAACGACUUUGAGGAGUUGUUCCAGGAAGGCGCCAACGGGAAGAAGGUAAGGUACACUGCCAAGUGUCGUCAUUGUUCUCACAUUCUUACUAGCCAGUCUUGUGCUGGUACUGGGCAUUUGCUUCGGCACCAGAAGAUAUGCUUGGCUAAACAAAACCAUUCUUUUCUUGUUCGGUUGCAACUGCAAUUCCAUUCUGAUGGCUCAAUUAUUAAUUGGGAAUACAAGCCUGAUCUUGCUCGUAAAGAAUUGUGUCGGUUGAUUGCUAGACUUGAUCUACCCCUAGACUUUGGUGAGAUAGAGGCAUUUGUGGAGUACAUCCAGCGUGCUCAUAACCCUCGUUUUGCUAAAGUUUCUAGACAAACCACUUCUAGAGAUCUUACCAAGUACUUUGCCGAGCGUUGUGUUUCUCUUCUUGAUACUUUGAAGUCUCAUGUUUCUUUUGUCUGUCUUACUUCUGAUAUUUGGUCUGGCAAUGCUAAGGAGGACUACCUUAGUGUUGUUGCACAUUUUGUUUCUGCUGAUUGGGAAUUAGAGAAGAGAGUCAUUGCUCUUAGGUUGAUUGAUUGCUCCCAUUCUGGUGUUAACAGUGCUGAGCAUAUUGAACAAAUAGUUUCUGAGUUUGGUUUACAGGAUAAAAUUUUCUCUAUCACACUUGACAAUGCUUCUGCUAAUACUUCUGCCAUGUCCACACUUAUUCCCAAACUUGUUGGUUAUCUAGGUCUAGAUCCUGAACCUCUUGAUUCUGAUUCUGAUAAAGCACUUGUUGGUCUUUUGCAUCAACACUGUGCAUGUCAUAUUAUCAAUCUCAUAGUCAAGUCUAGUUUGAAGAGGAUCAAGUCUUAUCUUGAGACUUUUAGGACUGCAAUCUCUUUUUUGAACUCUUCUAAUCAACGCAUUGCAGCUUUUAAUAACUUCUGAAUUGUCAAGGGGGUACGCCCUCGUAAGUUUGGUUUAGAUAUGGAUGUGAGAUGGAAUUAUACAUAUCUCAUGCUCAAACAUCUACUACCAUAUAAGACUGUCUUUUCUAUCUUUAUUUUUGCUCAUUAUGGUUUGCACAAUGGCCAGCCACUUCUGACUGAAAGCCAUUGGGUAAUUGCUGAGAAAAUUUUGCUGUUCCUUGAAAUGUUUUAUGAUUCCACUGUUGCUUUAUCUGGUGUUUACUAUCCAACAAGUCCUUUGAUGUUGCAUCAUAUUAUUGAGAUUGCAGGCCAUUUGCAUGCCCAAGAUUCUGAUCCAUUGCUCAGAAAUAUUGUUGUUUCUAUGAAUCUUAAGUUUCUCAAUUAUUGGCAGAACAUACCUCUGUUGUAUUCCUUUGCAUUCAUUUUGGAUCCUAGAGCUAAGGUGAGAGGUUUUUGAUAAUGUUCUCCAACUUCUUUCUCAAACAGUUGGUGUUGAUUACUCUUCUUAUUUCACUGAGAUAAGUACUGAAUUACAUAAGUUGUUUAACAAGUAUGAAAACAAGUUUGGUGCAGUUAGGACGCAAAGGCCCUCUCAACCUACAACUGCUACUGGUAAGAAAAGAACAGCAUGGGGCAAGAUCUUUGGUGGUCCUGGUCCAUUUGGUUCAUGUGGUUCUCCUGUUCUUUCAUCUACACCUCCUAUAUCUCUUACUUCUGAGCUGUCAUCCUACUUGCACAGUGAUACUAUUACUUGCUAUGACGAUGACUUCAACAUACUUAGUUGGUGGCAUGAGCACAAGCUAUCCCAUCCUAUUUUUUCCAUACUUGCUAAAGAUGUUAUGUCUAUUCCAGUUUCCACUAUUUCUUUGAAAUCUUGUUUUAGUCUAACUGGCAGGGUGAUUGAGGAGCGGUGCCGACGGUUGUUGCCGGAGACGGUGGAGAUGCUAACCUACCUCAAGGAUUGGGAGUUGGGAUAUGCAAGGGCACAACAUGAUGUUGAGAAGGAGGUCAAUGAAUUGGAGGAAACUUACAAAAGCCCCUACCCAGACAAAGAUGAAGGCCAAGUUAGUCAGUAAGUCCAUUACUAACUCAUCUUUUGUUCAAUUGUUAAACAUUUUAAUUGCUAACACUUAUGCUGUUGUGCACCUCUAGGCCUACCCCAGGAGUAAGCUGAACUGCUAGAGGGCUGGAGGAUGAAGCUAAAGCCUGUUGGACUGUUGUCUGUUGGUGUUGGCUUGGCCAGUUGGGUGUUCUAGUUCUAUAUUUUUAUGUCUAUGUAUGUGUCUCAAUGUUUGUAACCUGUAAUGUUGAAUUGAACUUGAGUCUUGAGCUGGCUGUACUCUUUUUCCCUCACGAGGUGUUAGAUUGUAACAUGUAUGUUCUGUGUUUAUUGCGUGAGUGGGUCAUGUAUAGCAGGCCCAGGCCAGCCCAUCUCUGGGCGUCAGCCCUAGGUGAUUAGGGUUAGGCGCCUGCCCCUAUGCAGGCACCUAUAUAUGUACUGUAUCCCCGAAUUCCUAAUCAAUACAUAUCUUCCACGCAAUCCUAUUACUUUCAUGGUAUCACGAGUACGGGUCACCCCUGAUUCCUUUCCUUACGCUUUCUAGCGCGCCUCUCAGUGCUACCUGCGCGAUCCCACGCCUCCACGCGCCGUGCCUCCCUUGCGCACUCCCCGCGUCCCGCACCUCCGCGCGAUCCAUGGCUGGCUCCUUGCCCACCUCUCCCACCGCUACCGUGGCCGCCGCCGACGCCGCACACCUGGCUGCCACUCGCACCUAGUGCCAGGUCACGCGCGACACCGUCUUGGACGAUUCGGCUUCCGACAACGACUCGGUCGUCCACGACGACACCGAUGACAACCUGGACGCCCGCCGCGCCCUGCUGAUGCAUGAAGCCGCAACCCUUCUUUAGCUCCAUGCCCAGGCCGCUGCUAUCCAGAAUGUUCGCAGCCUCGUCGUCAUCGUCCUCGACUCCGCCGGCAACUACUCCCGAUGGCGUGAACAGUUCCUUCUCGCCGUCGGCAAGUACUCGCUGCAGGAUCACAUCCUCCGUGACCCUCCAGCCGUCCCCUAUGCAGAUUGGCUCUGCAUGGACUACGUCGUCCGUUCAUGGCUCUACAGCAGCAUCACCACGGACCUCGCCGACAUCAUCAUAGCCCGCACCACCUGGCUCGCCAUCAGGAUGCAGUUCCUUGGCAACAAGGAGACGCGCAUCAUCCUCCUCGAUGCCAAGUUCCGCAACUUCAAGCAAGGGGACCUCAGCAUCACGGAGUACUGCAAGCGCCUGAAGGGCAUGGCUGACGACCUCGGCGAUAUUGGGGCGCCUGUCGAUGACAAGCUCCUCGUCUUCACCCUCGUCGGCGGCCUCAACGGCCAGUUCCACGCCAUCGUUCGCGACAUCCGUCGCAACCGCCCCCUGCGCUCCUUCCUGGAGGCUCGUGAUGACCUUCUUCUAGAGGAGAUGACCAUGCUGUCAUCGUCAUCUGAGCCACCGCAGGCCCUUCUCGGGGCCACCGUUGGCCCUUCUCAGCCCCGGCCUCCCGCGCCCCCCAACACCACUCGCGCCAGCAACCGGGGGGGGCAAAGGAGGCAACCGGGAUCGUCGCCAACGCGGCGGCCAAGGCCGCUCUGGCAAGGGCGGCCAGGGCAAAGGCGCCGGCUCCAGCCAGGGUGCCAAAACCCCUAGACCCCCUGGCGCAGGCGACGCCCCCUGGCACGUGGCCAUCAUUCUGGAACCCCUGGACCGGGACAAUUCAGAUGUAUCCCGGUCUUGGGCCAUUGCGGUCUGGACCGCUGCGCCCCACCCCGCCUUCCCAAGGAAGCCCACCUCUGCCCCAGGCCUACAUCGCCCAACACCAGCAGGUCGCCCUCGCCCAACAGCAACAGGCGUGGCUUGCUCAGCAGCAGGCCUGGGCCGCCCAGGCUUCCCUGGCGCAGCAGCAGCAGGCGCCGCCCAGGUUCUACAGCGCGUCCUCGGCCUUGCCCUCCUCCUGGGACCAGCAGUCUCUCGCCUCUACGUUCAGCACCAUGACACUCAACCAACCACAGGUGACUGACUGGUACCUCGACUCAGGUGCCUCCUCCCACAUGACCAUCUGAUCCUGGUACCCUCUCCCACUUUUUCCCUUCGCGGUAUCCCUCUCCCUCCUCCAUUAUUGUCGGUGAUGAUUCCUUAAUCCCUGUCACAGCCACUUGUUCAGCUUGUUUUCCACAAUCAUUGUCUCUUAAUAAUGUUUUAGUUUCUCCUAAACUUAUUAAAUCUCUGUUCGCCAGUUUACUGCCGAUAAUAAUUGUUCCCUCGAAUUUGAUCCCGCUGGCUAUUCUGUGAAGGAUCUAUCAUCCCGGAGAGUGAUCAUCAGGUGCAAUAGCUUCGGUCCCCUCUACCCGCUUCGAUUCCCCACUGCUCACGCCUUGGCAGCCACCUCCUCCUCCGACGUGUGGCAUCGUCGCCUGGGGCACCCCGACUCUAAUGUUCUAUCUAGAGUCGCUUCUGCUGUCCCCUUUUGUAAUAAAACUGCCAAUACUACUUGUCAUGCUUGUCAGCUCGGUCGUCAUGUGUGCCUCUCGUUUCAGACAUCGUCAUCUCGUGCUCUUCAUAAGUUUGAUUUACUCCAUUGUGAUCUAUGGACGUCUCCUAUUCCUAGUAUUUCCGGCUAUAAAUACUAUCUGGUGGUGCUUGAUGAUUGCUCGCAUUAUUUGUGGACUUUUCCUCUACGUCUUAAGUCUGACACUUUUGCGACUCUCACUACCUUCUUUUCGCUUGUGCGUACUCAGUUUGGCGCCACAAUGAAAGCCGUGCAGUGCGACAACAGCCGCGAGUUCGAUAACUCCAGCUCCCGCACCUUCUUCCUCUCCAAGGGGAUGCACCUGCGGAUGUCCUGCCCACACACCUCGCCACAGAACGGUCAUGCUGAGCGCAUCAUCCGGAGCAUCAACAAUGUUGUUCGCUCCCUCCUCUUCCAAGCCAGCAUGCCGCUAGCCUAUUGGGUGGAGGGACUGCACACCGCCACCCAUAUUCUUAAUCUACUGCCGACCAAAACCCUCCAGGGUUCCACACCGCACCAGGCCCUCUUCAGCACUCCACCCGACUACGGUCACCUACGGGUUUUCGGUUGUGCCUGCUACCCGAACCUCUCUGCCACGGCGCCACACAAGCUGGCUCCCUGCUCCACUCUCUGUGUUUUCCUUGGUUACUCUGUUCAUCAUAAGGGAUACCGCUACCUUGAUCGUUCCACCAACCGCGUGAUAGUCUCUCGCCAUGUGGUGUUUGAUGAAGCGCAAUUCCUCUUCCAGCAGUCCUCACCAGUCUACACUAAUGAGUUUGAUUUUUUGGAGCUUCCCGAGGUGGUUUCAUACAGCAUGGCACCUCCAUUGCUUCCUCCAGGUCCCUCCGUUGACGUCGACGUCGCCGCACAGCCACGUGUGGCCGAUGUUCCAGCACCACCAGGCGCUCCCUCGGCGCCACCAACGCCGUUCCUAGGCGCCGACGGCAUCCCAGGCUCACCUCCGGCCGCCCUGGGAGCCCCCCUGCCGCCGUCCAGCACCUGGCUGGUUGCCCCUGCAGCACCUUUCGGCGACCAGCCGGCCCCGACGACGUCUCCCGGCCACCGGCUGGGCGCUGCAGCCCCUGUCACCCAGCUGGACAGCGCCUCGCUCGGGCCCGUUGCACCCCUGGCCGGGCCAUCUGCUACCGCCUCAGCGCCCCAGGAGCCGGCCGACGCCUCCAGACCACUGAUGGUCUAUUCCCGCCGUCCCCGGCCUCCACCAUCAUCGUCGCCGCAGCAGCCACCUGCGGCAUCUCUGCCUCCAGGCGCUGUGCCGGUUCGCCCCGUCAUCAACACACACUCCAUGACGACCCGUGGCAAGAUGGGCUUCCGGCAGCCCACCUUGUUCCACUUGUCGUCUCUCUCACCGGUCCCUCGGUCCUAUCGUGGGGCCCUUACUGAUCCUAAUUGGCGCCAGGCGAUGCAGGAAGAGUUCGACGCUCUCCUCUCCAACAACACUUGGGACCUCGUUCCUCGGCCUUCAAGCAGCAACAUUGUGAUUGGAAAGUGGAUUUUCAAGCACAAGUUCCAUGCCGACGGAUCUCUGGAGUGUUACAAAGCCUGCUGGGUCCUUCGCGGCUUCACGCAGCGCCCUGGGGUUGACUUCCCUGAGACUUUCAGCCCGGUUGUGAAGCCCGCCACCGUCCGCACGGUGCUCUCUUUGGCUCUCUCUCGUCAGUGGCCUAUACACCAGCUUGAUGUGAAGAAUGCCUUCCUACACGGCACCCUGUCUGAGACGGUCUAUUAUGCACAGCCAACUGGUUUCGAGGAUUCCGCUCAUCCUCGGUAUGUAUGCAAGCUGAACCGCUCUCUCUACGGACUCAAGCAAGCGCCUCAGGCCUGGUACAGUCGCUUCUCCACAUAUUUGCAGCAGCUCGGAUUUGUCGAGGCCCGUACGGACACCUCCCUCUUCGUGUUUCACCGUGGCCAUGACACUGCCUACCUCCUCCUCUAUGUGGAUGAUAUCGUUCUGACAGCCUCCUCGUCGCCCCUCCUGGCCCGUAUCAUUCAAGACUUGCACCGGGAGUUUUCGAUGAAGGACCUCGGUGAGUUAUACCACUUCCUUGGGAUGCGUGUUCAACGCUCUAGUAAGGGCCUGCUACUCUCCCAGCGUCAGUUCAUGGUGGAGAUAUUGGAUCGUGCAGGUAUGGCCGAUUGCAAGCCUUGUCAGACGCCAGUUGACACCAACCCCAAGCUGUCCGCUAGUGAAGGCAACCUGCUCUCGGCUGCAGCUGCAUCGGACUACAGGAGUUUGGCCGGUGCCCUUUGGUACCUGACAUUCACCCGCCCGGAUAUCUCCUAUGCUGUCCAGCAGGUUUGUCUCCACAUGCACGCGCCGCGCGAUUCACAUCUCGCGGCUCUGAAGCGUAUUCUGCGCUAUGUGCGCGGCACGCUUCAUUUGGGCCUCCUGCUGCGCCCAUCUGUGCAGACCGAGUUCGUGGUGUACUCUAAUGUAGACUGGGCGAGCUGUCCGGGCACUUGUAAAUCCAUAUCAGGUUAUGCGGUCUUCUUGGGCGACAACUUGGCGUCCUGGUCUUCCGAGCGUCAGAAUGCAGUACCUCGUUCCAGUGUCGAGGCAGAAUAUCGUGCCGUUGCCAACACUGUAGCUGAGAUCACCUGGUUGCGCCAGCUUCUCCAUGAGCUCCGUGCCCCUCUGCGCCGCCCUGCUCUGGUUUACUGUGAUAACAUCAGCACUAUGUACAUGUCAUCCAACCCCGUUCAGCACCAACGCACCAAACAUGUGGAGAUUGAUCUCCACUUCGUCCGGGAGCACGUCGCCACAGGUGAAGUCCACGUCUUGCAUGUUCCGACGACAUCUCAGUACGCCGGCAUCUUCACCAAGGGCCUACCUUCUUCGGUCUUCAUGGAGUUCAGGACCAGUCUGAACGUCCAGGCUACCGACGCUCAAACUGGGGGGGUGUCAUGUAUAGCAGGCCCAGGCCGGCCCAUAUCUGGGCGUCGGCCCUAGGUGAUUAGGGUUAGGCGCCUGCAUAGGCACCUAUAUAUAUGUACUGUAUUGAAUCUUCCACGCAAUCAUAUUACUUUCACUAGGAUUUUUUCACAAGGGUUUUCUCAAUACAGAUCAAGUGUUAACAGCUCUAAUAAUUCCUUUAUUAUGAAUUUCUGUGUGAUUGUGUGCAUGUGAUGAAUGUGUGAUUGCUGAUUAAUCUUAUAUUUUAAUUUUUGAAUGUUUGAUGAACUUGAAAGUCUUAGAUUAUGAAUUAGUGUUUCACCCUUAUUCGAUGAAGUCUUUUCCCUCUUGACAAGCUAUGGGUCGGCACGGCACGUAAAAAUGGCCGGGCUCUUCAGGCCGACCCGACACGAAAAAGGCCUCACGGGCCCGUGCAUGGGCCGCCAGUGAGGCCCAUGGCCUGGCCUGGCACCGCACGACGGGGUUAUCGUGAUGGGCCAGGCCCGGCACGAAAAUGAACGGGCCAUGCCGGGCCCGGGCCUGACCGGGCGGCCGAACGUACAUCUAUAGUUUCGAUCUCACCACGCCCGCACAGGCCGCUGGAGCCACAGCUUGCUUUGCUGCCCGCGCAGGCACGCAUCUCGCCACGCCGCACGCCGCCUUCGCCGCAUCUCGCCUCACCCGCACGGACUGCCGGAGCCGCAGCUCGCCUUGUUGCGCGGGCAUGCAGGGAGCUCCGAAUUGAAGCACAGAGGUGCUGCUCGCCUCGCAAAACGGGCCGCUGCUGCAUCUCCCCUUGCUGCUAGAACAGGCUGAGGAGGAAGCGUCUGGAGCCAUCGCUCGCCUCGCAUGGUACCUGUGCGCGGGCGUCAGGCAGCAGGCUAGUGAGCUUUGGAUGGGCAGAUGGACGGGAGGAUCACCGAGAAGAUAACGUUCAUCAUUUUUCUAUUACCAUCCCAAUCCAAGGUGCUAUCCAAACGCCACUCAAAGGUUAUCGAUUUUGUUUCGAAAUCCGAUGGGAGUUCAGGAAGCAAUUCGGACUCCCAAGCGAUUCCGACCUCGGCUCGGUACGUAUUCGGGCUCUAUAAAAAUUCACCAGCCAGCCCAACAUCAUCGUCUCGGCUGUUCCUCCGAGAUGCAGCGCCUGUCCGUCGACGGAGACGGCGCCGCCGGCCGCGAGGAGGAAGAGAAGAAGCAGAGUGCCUGCGCCCAUGUCUCCGUGGGCUCGCUGUCGCUGCUCCUGGCCGGAAUGAUGGUGCUCAUGGCUUGCAGCGCGACGGCUUCCUGGCCGCGCUGCUCGCCGUGGUCGUCGGACCCGUCGUCGGCGUGCUCGUCAUGGUCACCGACCUGGCAUGCAUGUCUGCCUUCUUUGGGUUCUGCCUCGCCGAGCACGUGCGUUUCAGCAAGCCGCCGGCUGGGCACAAGAACAAGCGCGUGUAGGAUAAAAUCGCGAGUUCCCAGAAUUAAUAGCGUUUGCUGAGUUGACAACGCUACUGAAAACUAGCAGUAUUUAGCUUGACUUCCAUUCGUGCAUUACAAGUGUAAAAGCUAGCAACGUAACACAAUGUUACAAAGUAUUUACAGGGUGGUUGUUGCUUGAUUGCUUCGUAUUGUUGAGUGAAGCCAUCCCACGCGAUGUUAUUUCGUCAUCUCGUGAAUCAUAAUGUAGGAGAUGAUAUUUACAGCCGUUAAAACCAUGUGAUAUAUUAGAUCUCGAUGAAAUCGUCUUCAUCAGUUUCAUCUACCCACUCAACCUGAGUGUAAGCUGUGGAUUUCAUCAAGUCAGUGAGGCCGGAAAUGUCUUCCAAAUACGUUGGUUCGUUGAUCACUUGCAUCACAAAAUCCAUUCCUCUACUCCGAUAUUCAGACAAUACCUGCAAUAUUUUUGCAUGUAAUCACAAUAAGAGAUCAGCAGCAUAGCUAUCAACAAAAUUCCAAUAGUAUCGUUUGCAUUGUUGGAAACUUGGAACCGGCCAAGGAUGAAACUCACGAGACAAACGGAGGGAAUAUGUACAUGACACUAUGACACACACCCACUAACUCCUAUUAACUCAUGAAGACUCUAAAACUCGUAUAAUUCAAGAUAUAACAUGCAUGUUGUCCAACAGUAGAAAGUUUACAUACCACAUUGGAACAUGCUGUGCAAUUGCUCGAGGAAUAGCCCAAGAGGGUUAAUAAGUUGUACUGUGAGAGUGAUCCACGCAUCUGGUGAGGUAAUAGACCAAGCGGAUGGCCACUGCUUGCACUAGCAAUCUCUCCAGGAGCAUGUAUCCUGCAACAGUAGUAAAAGUAUUUAUCAGAUUUCCUUGCUUUUGUUUAUUGGAUGCACUUAGCAUCUUCUUUGGAUGUUACACAUUCAUAGUCAGCUUUCAGGUGCCCAAUUGCUUACCCAUCGGGAUGAUGUAACAUUCUUGUGAAGAGGUCUGCAGCACGUCCAGAUGCAAUGCAGGCCAGCCCAGGUCGUGUCACUGUACAUUGUUGAUCCAGUGUUCGAUUUGAGACAGACUGCAUCAAAAGUAAUGUCAUGAUUGCUGGAGGCAACAUGUUAAAAGCAUAUAACAAGUAUAAUCUCCAAAACAUGGAACAUUACAUCAACAGGAGCAACGACGUCAUUGCAGAAAUAACACCCCAGUCUUUGACGUCCAAGGGAAUCCUUUGUGGACAGCUUAUCCAUGGCAGCAGUCACAUUUGAAGCUUCAUAGCUUAUGCCAGGACCAGCCCCAUGUCGCAUGACAAGGUAACUAUCAUACCCUAAUGCUGCAGUAAUAGCAAUCUGCAAUGCAGAGGGGCAUUAUUAGCAUAUAACAAAAUUCCAAGGUCCACAUUAUUCAAGGAUGCCUACAAGGUUUACCUUGUUUUCAUUAGUGCAGAGGAGAGUUGGAAGCCACCUACUUUCCCUUGUGUCGGUCAACAAGAAGAUAGCAUCGUGGGAAGCUACUAAUUCCUUAAGGCGCUUGCAAUCUUGGAGCACACCAGCUGCUUCACUGGGAGAUACAGGAUGCCCUGGCAUAGGUAUUUCCAUUUGAAUGCCUUGUGCAUCCUGCAAGGGCGCAUGGUACAUAUUCAUUAUGAUGAGAAAAUAGUAAAAUAAAAUGAAAGUACAGUUUUGAGGGUAAGGAAGUGAAGACUCACCACUGAAGGACACCUCUCCACUAGAUGCCUAAGUAUUGCAGUUGCUUUUGGGGCACCACGGUCAUCACAAGUGUAGAGUGAUUGUCUCGUCAAAUUCGACACAACUACACGACCACUAUCAACCACUGUUAGGUUCCGUACACCAUAGUCCUGCAAAGUUGGUUUCGCCAAAGUGAAACAGAAUUUGUGUGAGCGUAUAUGUUGUAGUUUUUCUCGAACACGCAGGAAAGCUGUGUAUCAUUAUAUUAAGAAGAAAAAGCUGAGUCAUUUAUAUGUUGUAGUUGACAUAAAGUAGCAUCAUUUACGAAACUGAGUCAUUUACCAUAAGAAUGCGAGCAACAUCACAUCCAAGAGUUCCAGCACCCAAAAGUAGACAGCGAACAUCAGAAAUCUUGUCUGAAUUUACACAGAUGCUAGUCAGCAUUUUAGGACAAGUAUCUGGCUUCUUCAAAUUAGAAAUGCCUGUAAGAUCUUUCAGAUAUGUUGGAUAGUUAAUAGCCUGCAUGACAAAAUCCAAUCCCCUUCUUCUGUACUCUGACAAUACCUGGAAUGUUUAGCAUGGGUAUCAUUAGAAGCAAUAAAACUGUGAGAACGUAAUGUCAUAUGGAAUUUACUUACUGCAAUCGAACAUGCAGUACAGUUGCCUGAGGAAUUGCUAAGUUCCAUAGAUAAAACACACUUUGGGAGUGAUCCUUGUAGCUGAUGUGGUAAUAGACCAAGCUGAUGUUCUGUUUCCAUACCAGCAAUAUCACCUGGAGCAUGUAUCCUGCAAAAGGGUAUGAUAAUUAUGGCAACACAUAGUGGACUGAUUAGUUUUUCAAGCUCCGCUACAACUUAGCUUAACCAAUAUUUAAUGUCUGUAAAAAAACUAAUAUUCACUGAGAUCCAUGCUACACAAACACAAUUUGGACUCAGCGAUUAACUUUAAGGCAUCUUACUCGUCAGGAUGAUGUAACAUCCUAGCAAAGAGCUCCACUGCUUUGCCAGAUGCAACUGAGGUAAGUCCAGGUAGUGUUCCAUUAGGAAUUGGCUGCAAAAGAAUAACAUUGAACAUGACAGACCAAUAAUAAAAUGAGGAAAAUGAUAAGUAUAUAACAGAAACAGCAAGAGAACAUGUCCACAAAACACAAGUUUUUAUCUGAUGUACAUUAAAGAGGGAAGCAGCAUCACUGCAGAAACAACAGCCCAAUCUCUGAUGGCCAAGAGAAUCUUCUGUGGACAAAUUUUCUAUCUGAGCAGCCACUUCAUAUGUACCCCCACUUGUUCCUGGACCAGCACCAUGUCGCAUGACAAUGUAACUGUCACAUCCUAAUACUGCAGUAAUAGCAAUCUGCAGUGGAGGUACAACAUAUCAUUAGUACAGCAUAUACACAAUGAAAAGGUAGAGAUUAAAGAGUACUUUUUAACUAAAAAAUGUGUGGCGAAGGGGCCUGUAGCCUAGCGGUUGCAGUGACCUUAGUAGCACCCUAGGUCCUGGGUUUGAAUCCCCGUGGGAGUGAAUUUCAGGCUGGGUAAAAAAGGUCACUCGCUGGUUCCCCUGGUCAGCAUGGGUGAACCGACCUGUGCUGGGCGGGCCCUCGUUUAAGGAGCUGGUCGUGGGUUGGGCCUCAAAGCACGGGUAAAGGCCCGAACUAUAUGGGGUGGCAUCUCUAUGUAUGUGGGGUAUCAGCUUUCGUGACCUUUCUCAGCCGGGCUUCGGUUAAGUUCUUAGUGAAAUAUUGUGGGGCGGUCCAUCCCCCACCAGCCGAGUUUUCUAAAAAUGUGUGAUUAAUCUAUCUGGAUGCGAAACCCUCAGCCAUAGGCUAAGUACUUAGACACUGCUGUAUGAGAACAACUACAGAGGUCCAUACCCAAUGGAUAGCGUGUUCAAGCUUUACCUUGUUUUCGCUUGCACAGAGAAGAGUUGGGAGCCACCUGCUCUCCCAAGUAUCAGUUAACAAGAAAACUGCAUCAUUGGCAGCCACUAAUGUUUGCAGAUGCUUGCAGUCAUCAAGCACACCUGCCAUUUUGCUGGGAGAAUAAGGAUGCCCAGGCACCGGUAUUUCCAUUUGGAUGCCUUCAACCUCCUACAUGACAGUGAUCGUUAUUUAUCCACUACAAAAAUUCGAAAGCAUAUGUUUCAAGGAUAAAACUGUCCUCACCACUGCAGGACAUCUUGAUUUUAGAUGUGGAACUAUUGCAGUUGCUCUUGGGACUCCACAGUCCUUAUCUAUGUAGAGUGAUUGCUUGACAAGGUCAGACAUGGCAACACUACCACUGUCAACCACAGUUAAUUUCCGUACACCCCAGGUCUGAAAAAAAAUGGUGACCAGCAUACAAAAUUAAAAGCAGGAAAUAAAAUCUUACAUUCUAUUAGAUUUGUUACAAUGAAUAGGAAUCUAGUAGUAGCUCAAAUCACUAACCAUAAGUAGGCGAGCAACUUCACAUCCAAGAGUUCCAGCACCCAGGACAAGAACUCGAACCUGAGAUAACUUAUCUAUAUUCACAGGAAAGUGGCGCCACCCCAUAAGCUUUAAGUGCAUCAGUUGUUUUUCUUCAUCCUGACUGCGUGAAAUAAAAAUCAAGAUAAUUUUCUAUUCAUCGUUGAUUAUUUCCAAAGCAAAAUAUGCAAUCAAUCUACCUUGCUGGAUUUGAUGAUUGAAUAUCUAAUUCUUUUGGUUUCAUGUCUUUUGUUCCCUUUCCUGGCUUUACUCUUUCCCAUCCAAAAGCAUCAGGUACAUGAUCAGGGUCAUCCCAGCCUGUCACAACAGCCAGUGUAAGAAAUGGACAAAUUGCUGGUGAAAGUGCCAGGCUGAUUAUUUUAUAAUUGAAACCACCAUAUUCAUACCAGAAGGUGAUGGAAAUGAUGCUUCGCCAAUGAGGGAUUGUACUAGAUCAGGGUUUCCCUUAAAUUCACGGUAGCAGAAGAACUGAACCUUCUCAAUCUUCCACCGGAUACUCAGGAAUGCAAUGUAGUUUCUAAUAGCCCAGCCAGGGCAAUCUGGGCGACGUCCGUGAUCAUAAAAUCCAAAUAGCAGCUGCGACAGCAAAGCAAUGAAUUUAGACGUAGCACAAAGAUACACAGGAAGUUGGGUAAUAAGGAUGUUCUUCUAAAAUAUUUAUCAAAACUCAGCCAGUUUAAAUGAUCGAAUGGAUGACAUGACCUACCUUUUGAUACUUCCCCUGGCAAGUUUUCCAGUCCUUAAGUUGUCUUAUAGAGGCAGAGGAAUCCGAGGAUAUAGUAACCAGAAAGAAUGGUAUAACUGUUGAGAUGUAAUCCAUGGCAAGAAAUAAUUAAUCAGAUAAACAGAACAAACUAACAACAUUCCAAGCAUAUGCGACUUGCUGGUAGGCAUGAUUCUCAAACCUGUUGUUUCAGUAGAAGCGCGCCACUCUUGCAAUGCUAUUUUCAAGGAUUCUACCUGCAGGAAAGAAUAAACAACUCUCAGUACCAAUCGGAUGGAUCAAACAAGGAAACUGGUGGUGUUGUUGAAUAUUAGGUGCACAUGAACAUGACCUCUUCGUUGCUGAGCACUUCUGAGGCGACUUGCAGGCUGAGCAGGGUCGAGUUGAAAACCAAUGAGGGGAAUGCAACAUUGUAAUAGAUCUUCCAAUUCUUUAGAUCAGCAAAUGAUAUCACAAGGAACCUAAGCAGCAGUGCAGGAUCCUCUUCUACUUUACCAGACACAAUGUCAUGCAAGAUCUGCCCCCGCACAUCCAAACUAAAAUUAGACAAUUAAAAUAAAUGCGUAAACGACAGUAAAUUCCACGUCAAGUGUGUACCUUCUUCGCUUCUGUUUUCAGAAGAAGUUCCCUAUCUAGGUCUUGGAAUCCCCUCAUGUUAUUAGUGUUUAUAAGGGUCCCUAGGAUUGGGCAACUGUUCCUGUCGCCAACUGGAUUGUGUGAAGGUGGCACCAAUGAUUCUGAACGUAGGUUGAACAAGCUUGCUUGGUGAAACUGGCAUGGAGCAUAAUAACCUGGUUUAAAGUUCAGAAGGAACUAUUUUAGCUUAUGCAGAGACCUCUUAUAUAACUAAAACUAUGAAAAGACACUGACUAAACUCAUCGUACAAUAACAACAACAUAGCCUUUCAGUCCCAAGCAAGUUGGGAUAGGCUAGAGUUGAAACCCAACAGGAGCUCUGACUAAACUCAUUGUAAAUAAAAUAAUUCAUCUCAGAAUCACAAUUCGUGUGUGAAGACUGAAGAUUGCGACCAGGAGCUCAAAAAGAGCAACCACACUAAUCAAAAGCCUAACUGGUGGUAGAACGACAAACACUAAUUCCUGAACCAGUGAACCCGAACCCCAGCAAGAGCCAACGUCCAAACCAUCGGCAGCAGACGUAACUGUGGAGCACAGAGAUCUAAAGUAAUAACUAAAAGCUACUCCCUCGGUACUAAAUUACAAUUCGUUUUGGUUCCUCUAGAUACAUAAUUUUUACUAUGUAUCUGGACAUAGUAUAUAUCUAUGUGCAUAUUAUGUAUAUACAAAAGGCAAAAUGAAUAAUAAUUUGUGAUAAAAGAAGUAUAUCUCAAGCAAAACUCACAAUGGACGUAACCCCGGGGCAACAUUGCAUCCACGAACAAUCAAUCCCGGCGAACACCAGAACAACUAAACAAAACUCCAAAUCGAAGCGCUCGCACACACCAGAUCACAACUAGUAAGCAACUACGGCGGGUAGGGGCUCUAGGGAAACCCGGGAAGUCGCAAAUUCUACGACAGCGAGAGUGGAUUGGGAGCGGGCGAACCGGUGAUUGGGAUUAGGAAGUCGUCAAUGCCGAGCACCUCGAGCUUGAGGCGGCGGAGCGCAUCCCAAAACCCCUCAUCCGCUAAGCACUCGAUGGCCUCAACCAGCAGCUGCCGGGGGAACCCCGCCGCACCGGCACCCGCCAUUGUCGUCUCGUCUUACCUGUUCCGGCACGGCGAGCGGCACGGCCGUAUCUGCUUCUGCCUAAUAGAUUUCGGAUUUAUUCCCUUUUUUUCAGUUGCCCCUCGGGAAGAAGGAUCUCUGUAUAAAUAGAUAUUCCUUGUUGGACUUUGCUUUGGCGGGUACAACUCGAAGACCCAAGUAGCUCCCAAUACCACCAUGUAAAACUUAGCCCAACCAACAGGCCCAAGCAUAAGAUACGCACAAGAUCCUCCGCUGCUGCGGCCCAUCUGGCAUCUCCGGUGCUUUCCUUCGCGGCGCAUACAAAGGAUCCGUGCGGGUGCGGCUGCAGCUGGCUGACUCGUGGCUUCGGCAUUCCAACCCUCAGGCCAGCCCCAGUCCAAUGGUAAUGGCUUAGAGAAGGCAGUGGAUACCUGAAAUCCCAUACCCAACAGGGCAUGGGUGUAGAUUAAUUUUCUUACUUUUGGGUUUGUGAAUAUGCAUUAAGGAGUAGCCACGAGACAAGGAAGAAGGGCGUGUCCGCAACACAAUACUCGGUAGUUUUACCGAGUAAGCUUCCCGCUCCCCGCCCCCACCCCCGCUGCCCGUGACCACUUCGGUCAUGGCAUCCACAACGUCCCAGCGGCGACCGUUUCGGUGUCGUCGGUCACCAACCCACAACCCCCUCCCUGCUCCGCUCACCCGCUACCCCUUCCCCUUUCCCUUCCCCACCAUGCCAGUCUUAGAUUUAGAUCCAGAGAGUUCUUCAGGCACUCCUCGCCCCUGCGCAACGCUUGCCUCCAGCGAGCUGCGAACGCCGGAGCCGGGCUUCUCCGAGGAAGGGCCAUCCAUCCCCUCCGUGGGGGAGCUUUGGGCAUACACGGCCUCGGGCUCGCCUGCAUCCACCUUGCCCACGUCGUUGCCCGGGAGGUCCCCUUCUCCGACGUUUAGCGAGGUGCUCCGCAGGUUCAGGGUUCUCAUCCCGGAGCGGACGCUGUCACCCUCGUCGGCGCUCCUCAGGCGGCAAGUUGCGGUGGCGGUGGCCCCUCUGGCGGGCGCGGCGCCCUCCAAGUUGUCACCUUGCCGUCAGGGGACAUCCUCUAGGUCGGGCAGCUCGCCGGUGCGAGGCUCUCGAUCCCGCCUCCACCGCCCCUUCCGUCCUCGUCUCUGCUGCCUCCCGGCGGAUGGGCGGGCCAACGCCAAGCUCCCAGCUAUCCGUGCGCUUGCGGUUCAUAAAUUGGCAUGCUAACUCAAGAAUAAAGAAGGAUUGGUAUUUUUUACACACAUAUUUGGUUUCAAAUAAUGUAGUUUCACUUGUCCUUGAAGAAUAUUUGGUUGCACGUGAAAUAACACAAAAGGAUGGAGAAAGCAGCCUCUAUGGAUCAAAAAACACGCUUGUCACCUAUGGAAGGUUGCCACGUGUGCAUCCCAUGGAUUGAAAGGCUCACAAACUACCACAACCACCUCAAUCCACCAGAUAACACACACAACCACCAUUGGGACCCACCAGGCAGUCACUCGAAGAAAGGCGGUUGCGAGGCGGCCCCUAGGGGGUCGGCCGAACCACCCUUGCCUCCCCUCGUCUCCAGCCUCCACGUGGCGACGAUUUACGUUGGUUAUGGGAUAUUCCCCAAAGAUUCCCUUACCUCUUGGAGAAUAUAAAUAUGAGGGGAGGGGCUCCAUUCUAGGACACACACCACAAAUGAAUCAUUCUCUCCCAUAUCUUUUUGCAAAGGUACUUAGAGAGAGUUAUAGAAUGUAUGGAGUAUUCAUUUGAUGUAUUGAUAGAUGGCAUGUUUUUGCGCAACUUCUAGUGUAGAAGUUAGCAUAUAUAGGUGGAGUGUACGUGAGCAGUUGAGCGAGGAUGUCGUGCAAGCACCAGCUGCCCCGUCCAACCAUGCGCCACUGCAUCUUCGAGCUCCACCGGUGAGAAUCUCAUUUCUUUCUCUGUAGUCCCUUCCAAUUCUUUGAAUCUACAUCUGCUUCACCGGAGAGCACUCUGCACAAGUUUAUUUCUGUCUAGAGCGGAGCCUAGUUACGCUUAGAGGUGGCCACGACCCCUAUGCUGUUGCAGUAUUUCUUUAGCGAAGAGUAAAUUUCACGGUGUGUUGUGUUAGAUUUGAGAUCCUUCUCUUACCUUGGCUGCUCUAGAUCUAUCUAUAAGACCGACAUUUGCAUUUCUAUGGUCAUGGUACAUUCUGUUCCUAUAUAUAAAACAACUGACCAAAUACUUAUUGUGCAGGGCCUAGUACCAAGUUUCUACAUUGCUGAAAUUCAAUCACAUGUCGUGAUAUGUAAUUAAACAAGUGAUUAUCCUGCUCCUGUAUUCUUUACUUUAUUAUGUUGCUUUAUUUAAGAUUGAAGUUUGACUUCUGCCCCUUUCAUUUGUAGGAUGAAAUAUUGAAAACAAUCCUUAGGGUUGCAGUACCAAAUUCUAGUCCUCAAGAUUUGCAGUCAAAUCCCUUCCUUGAUUAUAUGGCCGUGCAGCCCUACAAGCUCAAGACUAAGACAACAAGUUGUCGAAUAAGAGCAAAUGAUGAGCAACUUGAAGAUGCAGGCAUAGGCUUCAGAUGCCGCAAUGAAAAUGUAGUAUGAUGAUAUUGAAAGUUUAAAGAAAGCAGUAAGACAAAUUGAAUAUCUCUUUCGUCAACUGCUAAACUUGAGAGGGUAAGGUCAAUGUGUUUCUUAGGCAUAUGCUCAUAUCCUCCCAGCUGCUUGUGCUGGUUUGUGAUCUAGGCCAGCUUUGUCCCUGGUCAAAGAGAUAUCAUGUGCAGUGGUUUGUGAUCUCUUAUGGACAAUAUACUUGUGCUUAUUUUUUGGACAUGAAUAAUAAUGUGUGAAGUGUGAUGAGAAAUAUUUAUUUGUAUGUGUGAUAUGUACGAAUUAUUUGUGCUGUCAAUUACAGAAUUGAUUUGUAUGUAAUAUUAAAUUAGAUUAUAUUUUAAUUAAGCGCUACCUUGACUGCACCUGAAAAUAACUGGGCUCAAAAUUUCGUGGGCUCACCCCCUCGAUCCAUUAUUUCAUGGGCCUAAACAAAAAUAUGGCGACAACCAAUGUUUGGCUAAAUCCAUUAAGAAUUGGGCUAAAAAAAAUUAUGAUGUCAGCAUAUAUUGCGCUUGAUCCAAUAAGAAUUAGGUCUAAACCAAGUUAUGGCAACAACAAUUAUUAGGCUCGGUGCAACAAGAAUUGAACCUAAAUUAAUCUAUGACGAUAGUAAUUAUUGGGCUCGGUCUAACAAGAACUUAGCCUAAUUCAAUCUACGACGAAACAGUUCGUCACAAUUGUCAUGCCACAUCGGACUGUGAUCCAACGUGGCAUGCUACGUAGGAGCUAUUUUAUGAUAACAUGUGGGACGAAUUUUCAUUCUGAAAUAAAAAAGUGGGUAGGCAGAGGACAAUGCACACUGUGGUUGAAUUCAGUUAACUCUCGGCAACGGAUCAUGUGCAGAACCGUCACCCUUCUGCGCCCAUGUGAGGCCCGGCUGCAUCAGAGACCUGUUCCGCUCAUCCAGCCUCCACUCCCUCUCCGGGAUCUGCUUCGGAGUCGGGAGCUGCAUGUCCUCCUCAGCAGCCAAGUCAACAUGCUUGAUCUCCGGAGUGCACGGCUUGUCACGGACGGGGAGUCGGGAGACGAUGACGUCGCCGAGGAGGCCGUCGGGAAGGGCCCUGAUGCGGUCCACGCCGGCGGCGGCCGGGGUUUCGGCCGCGGCGGAGGAGAGGGACGGGGAGGCGGGGUGGUCGCUGGGGAACGCGCUCCUAAUUCCCUCGAUGAGGUCGGCGGCCAUGGCGUUGAGGGGUUUGCCACUUUGCCGGUUGGAUUUGGGGAGUUUUUUUUGCUGCGCCAUGUGCCCGUGGGCCAAAUGUUGGAAGAGGGUUUUGUCACAGGCCCAUGGACUGAACUGGCUGGUCCAGUGCAGAUUAUCGAGUGGCCCACGAGUGCUAUGUAGUCUAUGGCGAGCUGAGAGUGCCGAAAGGCUCAAUAGGGAUGCAGGUAGCAGCAAGUAGGGUUCUCGGCAUUAUUUACUUUCGCACACCACGUACACUUCUCAAAUUGAUUGACCAUUGCUUGGUACGAAUUAAAGUACAGAUGACCGGAUAAUCUAUCUGAAUAUCUUUAUACAACGCACUUGAAUGACCAUCAGAAACUGAAAACUUAAAUUGGACUUCACUUCAUCUCCGUAUUCUACUGAAACUAAAUUUGAUGUGUUUUGUUUUCUUGUUAAGUUACAUGCAAACAGAAAACAAAAAAAACAUGUUACAGAAAACUGAAAAUCAGGUUUUCCAGACGAAACAUACGUUAAACUAGAGCUGAAUUCUAGCACUUUGCUCACCAUUUUAGGUCGCGUUGACGUAGCAAGACUUGUCGUAAAUUCCACUUCCCUGCUCAACCUCAAGACAUCCACAAGUGGGGGCCACAUAGCCACAAGACUAACAGCCUAUGUUAGGGAAGCCUAAUCCCUAAUAUCUCCCAGCAAAACAAUAGCUUGGAGAGGGAAAGCAAUGGGAUUGCGUAUAAUGAGCUAUUUGGGCUGAUUAUAUAGGAGUACAUAAUUUAGAGGGCAAGUAGCCUCCCCUAGAAAUAAGGAAGGUUAUCCCAGGAUUACAAUCAAUCAUAAACUAAUCAUAUCUGGAGUUGCCUGAUAUACUCUAACAUCCCCCGUAGUCACAAUGGGAGUGCGCAGACGAUGAGACUAGAGAAUAAGCCGAAGAGAUGACAUCCCCCCGCAGUCGCAACCGUUGAUGCGUCGCAGAUGUUGUGGUUGGAAUGGGAGACGAAGAGGCUUGUCAAGCAGAUGGUAGCCCCUUAGUGCUGAAAUAGCCGAGGUCGAGGUGGACGUGAUCGAAGCCGUGGAGGAGGGCGCGCGUCCGAAGCGUCAGCGAAGGCGCCUGAAUACACAAAAGCAGUAGCUUCUUGUCGACAGGGUGAGCAGGACGAUAAGCCAAGCGCGAUGGUAGAUGGUGCAGCUAAAGAGCGCAAUUGCAUCUUCCUUCAGUAACGUCGGCUGCGGUGUCCGCGAGCGUGCGGCAAUAGGUGCGGACUCAGACCAAGAGCCAGCGUGACGAGAACCAGCAGCAUGGGUGGCGCCACCCCCUGAAAAGGUGGCGUCGCCGACGAGGAUGGCUUGAUCACGAGCAUUGCCACAGCAGCUUGAAGGGUGCAAUGACAACCUCAUCUUCGGGAGUGUCGACGAUGAAGCGACGACGGGACGGCAGGGCGACGCAACCCGAUCUCUGAUUGGGAAAAAGAAAAACAGCAGCACCAGGUGUCGGGCAUGCAUCCCAGGCCCACGAGUAGACCCUGGACGGCCCACUGUUGGGACGUACUCGGAUAUGAUCAGGAUGGGAUAGGCGUAUCCCACUCGGACUUGUCAAGUAUGUGUAUGGAAAACUACUCGAUCCAUAACCGAGUAGAACUCUGUAGUAGUACUCGACUAGGACUUAGACUUGUAACCCUGCCCUCCCGUGCAUAUAAGGGCGGGCAGGGAGCCCCCUCAAAGAAGGAACAACUCUGGUUCAUCCAAGAUCAAUACAAACCAACACACAGGAUGUAGGGUAUUACGCGAUCCAGUGGCCCGAACCUGUCUAAAUCGUGUUUCCUUGCGUCACCAUUGAUUCCUUGAUUCUCGACGAUCCUUACCGCACAAAAGACCACCUAGGGUACCCCCUAGGCGGGUUGCCGGUCUAAAACGCCGACAGCUGGCGCGCCAGGUAGGGGGACUCGUCGAGUUUCUCAGCGCGAACUCAAUGGCAACGGUCAUCAUCAAGCCUAUCUUCAUCAUCGAAGCGGGCGCAACCUUUGUUUUCAGAUCCUGGCUCUGCAUCGCCGAUGGCGCUAGCUCGUUCCGAUGCCAGAUCAUCAACGCCCAAGAGAAGAAAUCAGAGGGUCUGGUCAGAAAAAACCAAGAUUUCAAAGUCGACAACUUCGAGUUCGACUACGCGUCGGACUCGACUUUCCUUUGGACUAGUCAUUCCCAGUCACUCCCUAAGCCGGUUUCGACUCCAAAAUGGUUUCCGCACGGACUCCGCAAUGCAGCCGAAGUCCACCAGGAUUUUCUUACUCGAAUUUAACUCGAACUCAGGCACGACGAAGACUCCGACUCCGACUCGGUUUAUCCGCCAGAAAUACCAUUAUCUGGUUCAGCCCAAGGAUUGGUAAUAACUUCAACGUCACAAGGCAGAUUCGUACAUUGGCCAGGUUUGAGACCAUCUCUUCUUGCCCGCGACUACGACUCGCACCUUGUUGCUCAUAUAGACAACCUCCCAUAUCAAGAGGGUGUCCCACUCCCAUCCAACCGCGAGGAAAGUUCCACAGAGAUUGCAACGUCAAGUUCCGGAAGUUACUACCCGGACAGGGAAGUCCUUAUUAUUACUCAAAAUAACAACCCUGGUACUAGCCAGAACAGAACCCCCAGGCGAUUAGCACAACUCGACAACAUCUCAGAAGACGAGUCUACAACUGACGCCCCACAAAAUGAAACCUCUAAUCAAAGAAACCAAAGAAAGAUGCACAAUGCUACUCGAGCCGAGCGACGGCAGUCGAUGGCUACAAAUAUUCCCAUCGCAAAUCUUGAAAGAGCUUUCGACGCAGUUCAGGCUCAAGAGCACAAUACUCCACUUGCGGCAAUCACCUCAAUUAAUCUUUUAACAACGUUGAUGCCUCAAGACAGGGACAACGAAGCCACAGCUCAGCUUGUGUAGCGCGGCAACGGACUAAUCGCACAACUCGCGGAGCAAGCCUACAAGCUACUCGACAAAGAAUCACCAAUUCCGUCUGUUCCUUGCAUCACGUCUCACCAAGAAGGUAGCAGAGGUGCUGCAGCCAACAACAACGAUGCUCCAAGAAACGACAAUGAAGUCAUCAACCAGCCUCGGCAGCACAGCCAAGGCCCAAGCAAACACAAGGCCCCAGCACGCCAUAAGGAGGUUGGAGAGGCCAGCUGCACCAAUUCGGUAAAAAGUAUUCGCCCUACUCGGAAGAACCACGAGUGUCAAACUUCAGCGAUCUACGAGAAAUCCUCAACAGUCGGCGCGAGUGAGAAGUCGACAACUACAACCACUUUCCUGCUUUCACUAAUCGGGUAAUGAAGACAAGACUACCUGACAAGUUCAAGCCAACAGGAAUUACCAAGUACGAUGGCAAGCAAGACCCUAUUCAAUGGCUACGAUGCUACUCCUUGGCAGCCGGAGGCAAUAAUGACACCAAAAUCAUCGACUUCCCCGUAUGCAUGGAACCCGCACCAUUGACCUGGCUAGAAUCACUCAAACCCAAGUCUAUUGACUCUUGGGCAGAUUUGACAAAAGCUUUCACCAACAACUACGCUGGCUCCAUGGCUAGACCAGGCAACAAGAUCGACUUAAGUCAAAUUAAGCAAAAAGAAGGCGAAACCUUACGCGACUUUUUACGAUGGUUCUUCGAAAAGAAGGCAACUAUAGUUGACAUUUCAGAAACAGACGUCAUCGAGUGCUUUCAGAACGGACUCUACGAUCGACAAACAUACCAAGAGUUUGGUCGACGACGGCCAGCUAAUGUCAAAGACCUUAAAGUUAUGGUACAACAGUGGGCAGAUGAAGAAGACAAAGAGCGAGAACGGUUCGGCUCCCACCGCAACCGUGGAUGCGGCAACAACAACAACGAUGACCAGGAUAGAACUCAACACAAUGAUACUCGAAACAACUUCUUGAGUAAUCACAAUCGCAAAAGGAAGCCCGACAACACUAUUGCUGCCAUGUCCAACUUCGGGAAAAAGGGAUCCCGCAAAAAUGACGAAGGGCUGACCUUCAUAGAACUACUCAAAAAGCAGUGCCCAUGGCACCCGACUAGCAAACACUCGGCAAUAGACUGCUACAGCAUGCGCCGAGUAAUGCAAGACUUACCCGCACUACCACCCCUUGAGGAGUAUACCAAGAAAAAGGAUAAGGGUAAGAACAAAGCCCACAACGACGAAGAAGAAGAAGGCGACUUCCAGACUGCCUCCAAGACAGUCAACGUCAUCUUUGGUAGAAUCCCUGGCACCGCAUCAAAGCGAGCCAACAAACUCGUACUCAGGGAGAUCAUGGCCGUUGAACCAACAGAUCCAACACCGCUAAAGUGGUCAGAAGUACCCAUAGCCUUUAGUAGAAAGGAUCAAUGGACCAAGUUCUCAGAACCAGGCCAGUUCCCCCUAGUUCUCGAUCCCGUUGUGGCAGGCUCAAAGCUAACCAAAGUCCUCAUCAACGGCGGAAGCGGACUCAACAUCAUUUUCACCAAAACAUUGAGAAAGAUGUGCCCCGACGUCACUGAAAUGCUUACUCCAACAGAUUCACCAUUCUACGGCAUCGUACCUGGAAACGCAACUAUACCACUAAGACAAGUUGUCCUCCCAGUUACCUUUGGAACUAAGGAACACUACCGUACCGAGUACAUCAGAUUUGAAGUCGCCGACUUCGAGAUAUCUUACCACGCCAUACUCGGAAGGACAACACUCGCCAAGUUCAUAGCCAUACCACACUAUGUUUACUUGGUACUCAAGAUGCUAGGCCCCAAGGGAGAACUAACGCUACGAGGAGAUCUACGGCGAUCCUACGAAUGCGACACCGAAGCCGCGGAAAUCGCUGCGACUUCUCAAGCACCUAGCCCCAUGCAACAAGUCUUUACAGCUUCAAAGAAGCUCCAUCCAAAUGAACUCGAGAUCCCAGAAAAUAAGUCGGGGUCUACAAAAGUGAAACCCGCAAGUGAGCAAGACUUCAGGCCAGUCGAUCUCCAGACGGGCGACCCCUCCAAGACAACCCUGAUCGGAACAGGGCUAGAUCCUAAAUAGGAAUCCGCGCUCGUCAGUUUCCUUCGGGCUAACCACGAUAUCUUUGCUUGGAAACCAGCUGACAUGCUAGGUGUGCCCAAGGAACUAAUCGAGCACUCUCUUAAUGUUGAUGCCAAAGCCACUCCAAAACGGCAGCGACUUCGCAGAUUCGCUCAAGACAGAUGAGAAGCAAUCAAAAAAGAGCUAGCUAAGCUACUCGCCGCAGGGUUCAUCAAAGAAGUCUUUCACCCUGACUGGCUUGCCAACCCCGUGCUCGUCCGUAAGAAAAACAACGAGUGGAGAAUGUGCAUCGACUACACCGACCUCAACAAGCACUGCCCAAAAGAUUCUUUCGGUCUACCCAGGAUCGACCAAGUGGUCGACUCCACCGCUGGGUGCGCUUUAUUAUGCUUUCUUGACUGCUACUCCGGCUAUCAUCAGAUAAGCCUCAAGGAAGAAGAUCAAGCCAAAACAACUUUCAUCACACCUUUCGGAGCUUUCUACUACAAAACAAUGUCCUUCAGACUAAAGAAUGCAGGAGCAACUUAUCAACGAGCUAUACAGAUGUGCUUCGAAAAGCAGCUUCACCGCAAUGUCGAAGCUUAUGUCGACGACGUAGUCGUCAAAACAAGAAACAAGGAGGAACUUAUCGCUGAUCUGGAGGAAACUUUCUCUAGUCUACGAGCUUUCCGAUGGAAACUCAAUCCUACUAAGUGCGUCUUCGGAGUACCUUCUGGCAAGUUACUUGGGUUCAUCAUUAGCCAUCGCGGCAUUGAGGCCAACCCGGAAAAAAUAUCUGCCAUCACAAACAUGCAAGCACCAGCUAGCAUCAAGGAUGUGCAGAAACUCACAGGCUGCAUGGCCGCUCUCAACCGGUUCAUCUUGAGACUUGGAGAACGGGGACUACCCUUCUUUAAGCUUCUCAAACGCCAGGACAAGUUCCAAUGGAUAGAAGAGGCAGACAAAGCACUAACACAACUCAAAGACUUUCUGUCAAAGCCUCCUGUACUCCCUGCUCCAUCUCCAAACGAGGACUUGCUCCUAUACAUAUCAGCCACUACUCAUGUCGUCAACACGGCAAUAGUAGUCGAACGGUCUGAACUGGGCCACGCUUACAAGGUCCAACGACCUGUGUACUUCGUCAGCGAAGUACUCUCGGACUCCAAAACUCGGUAUUCACCGAUACAAAAGCUCUUAUACGCAAUCCUGCUCACCUCCCGAAAACUGCGCCAUUAUUUCCAAGAGCACAACAUCACAGUCAUCUCUGACUUCCCGCUCGGCGAGAUCCUUCACAACAGAGACGCCACGGGUAGAAUCUCCAAAUGGGCAGUUGAACUCGGAGCUCUCACCUUGGACUUCAAGCCAAGGACAGCUAUCAAAUCCCAAGCUUUGGUCGACUUCGUGGUUGAAUGGACUAAAAAUCAAGUACCAACACCAGUCGAGUGGCCGAAGCACUGGGUGAUGUACUUCGACGGGUCCCUCAAACUUGAAGGGGCCGGUGCAGGCGUACUCCUCAUCUCCCCAAAGGGAUACCAGCUCAAAUACGUGCUGCAAAUCUUCUGGGAGGUAUCAAAUAACGAAGCUGAGUAUGAAGCACUGCUACAUGACCUUCGCCUUGCAAUCUCCCUCGGCAUCAAAAGAGUACAGGGUGUACNNNNNNNNNNNNNNNNNNNNNNNNNNNNNNNNNNNNNNNNNNNNNNNNNNNNNNNNNNNNNNNNNNNNNNNNNNNNNNNNNNNNNNNNNNNNNNNNNNNNCUUACUGCAAAGAAGUCCACAAACUGGAAAACAAGUUCUCAGGAUGGAGUUCCCAUCACAUCAUCUGCGACAACAACGUAGCCGCCGACGUCUUAUCAAAAAUGGUCUCAACUCGUCCAGAGGUUCCAGCAUAAAUUUUCGUACACGAACUGCACAAGCCGUCCAUACGUGAACAAGUUACACCGCCAGUGGUCCAGACUACUGAUGUUACUCGAGAAAUCAUGAUGAUAGAAGUUGACUGGAGGACACCCUUCAUCGACUACAUCAAAGAUCACAAGCUACCAUCCGACAAAAAUUAGGCUGAACAAAUUUUCCGGCGAGUAAAAAAUUACGUUCUAGUCGGAGACAAGCUCUACAGGAAAAGUGCAUCCUCAGGGGUACUUAUGAAAUGUGUUACCCGGGAAGACGGCCAAGAAAUCUUAGAAGAAAUUCACAAAGGAAUCUGUGGCAACCACGCCUCUUCACGGACAAUAGUUGGCAAGGCUUUCAGAGCAUGCUUCUACUAGCCUAUGGCUCUGGCCGACGCUAAACAACUGGUUCAGAAGUGCAAAGGUUGUCAAUGCUUUAUCAAACAGAAGCAUGUACCGGCCUACAAGCUAGUCACAAUACCUCCAACAUGGCUGUUCGCCUGCUGGGGGCUCGACAUGAUAGGGCCAUUAGCAACUGCGCCAGGAGGAUUCAACCGAGUGCUCGUGGCAAUCGACAAAUUCACCAAGUGGAUCGAGGUCAAACCAGUCACUUGCCCCAAGGCAGACCGAGUCCUCGACUUCUUGGAUGAAAUCGUACAUCGUUAUGGUUUUCCUAACAGGAUCAUCACAGACCUAGGGUCAAACUUCAACAAUCACGACUUCUGGGAAUAUUGCAAGAAUAGUGGAAUCAACAUCCGCUAUGUCUCGGUCGCUCACCCGCGAGCCAAUGGACAAGUCGAACGUGCCAAUGGCAUGAUACUCGACACCCUCAAGAAAAGACUACAUGACGUCAGCAACACCAAAGGCGGCAAAUGGCUCAAAGGGUUACCCAAUGCUCUGUGGGGACUACGAACCCAACCAUGCAAGACUACUAGGCUCUCGCCCUAUUUCUUUGUGUAUGGCUUGGAAGCCAUAUUACCCACCGACAUCAUGUGGCAAUCACCCUCAGUUGAACAAUACAACGAAAAACUGGCAUAAGAAACAAGGCGAACAGAUCUAGACAGUCUAGAAGAAGCAAGAUGCGCGACGCUAGUGCAAUCUGCCAGGUACCUUGAGAGUUUAAGGCGUUACCACGACCGCAACAUCAAGGAACGAUCUUUCAAAUUGGGCGAUAUGGUCCUCAAGCGAAUCCAAGACACAACAGGGUUGCAUAAACUCAACUCACCCUGGGAGGGUCCUUACAUCGUAUCCAAGGUUAUGAGACCUGGAUCUUACAGAUUGCAAGAACUUUCAGGAGAACAAGUACCAAACUUUUGGAAUAUAGAACACCUUUGUCGCUACUACCCGUAGCAGCACCAGAGUAAUUGCAUCAACGCAAAAACUCAUCAGCUACUCGGGUCAACAGCUCGACUACCAACUACAAGAUACACUACUCUUGACAAGAUUAUCAACUCAACAAGCAUUACUGCCCUGGUACAAAGUUUCAGUGGUGGAGUAAUUCUUUACUCAGGACCAAAGAUACAUCAACAAGUUACAUACGAGUCAACGUACUCGAAAUACAAAAGGACUACAAGCAACUGCCUACUGGCGGGCUGCAUUUAAGCCUCAGGCUUUUACAAUAUCACAAGGCCAUUCAGGUCUGCCGACUACAAUGGGGAGGGCCUACACGCAAGGAAGCUGCGUAAAAUGCAGCCAUAUCCAGAUCCUCUACCCAACGCAACGCUAGGAACUCCUGCACCGCCGCUGCCUUGACAGCGGUAACGAUAAAUCCCGCGCGACGCACCAAGAGGGAACCAAGGCUGCUCUUUUGCUAGCCUUGCCAUUCCAACCCACCCUACGGCCACACCUCCACCUCUAAGAGAGCGGGAUAAAGACCGCGACACUCGUCACCUAUCACUCACGAGUUUCAGCGCGUACUCCACUAGAUCACAAGCUGCAAGAUGAGGCGCGUGAUGAAACCUCCUAUGAGGAUUCUUCUAGCAUCACGGCUAUCCCUACGAGCGCUGGAGUUUGUGGAGGGAAGGUGGUCUCAAUCUACGAGGAAUCUUCUAGCAUCGGUGCACUCUCUGAAGGCUCUCUACACUCAAACAACAGCAACCGAAGGCAAUCCAUUGCUACUCCAAAACAUGAUUCGGGUCGACCUCUAGGGGGAUCUAUUUAUAGCCAAGCGCUACAACUACCACCCACCCAGGAGUUACUAUGCGCCCGUAAUUAAUAAGUCUGACGACCUCUGACUGCCCAUGUGAAGGCAGUUAUGCUACAAAGGACAAAAGAGUACAGUACACCCGUGCAUUCGCAAAGGACAAAAGAGUACAGUACACCCGUGCAUCCCCAAAAAGUAGAGUACUCGACAGCAUCACGACUACUCGACACUCAGAACUAUUUUAGCCAAGCAUGACCUACGGGGGCUUGGAGAUAGCCGACCCUCUACUUAAGGGUCGGGCAAUACGAAGCCUUGUGACAAGGGGUCGGGCGCAUCCGACCCUGGGCCAAGGGUCGGGCGAAGCGGAGUUCCAUGCUCGAAGGGUCGGGCGCAUCCGACCCUGGGACCAAGGGUCGGGCGAGGCGGAGUUCUCCUCCCUCAAAGGGUCGGGCUCAGCCGACCCCGGGACUUUGGGUCGGGCGAGGCGGAGUGAACUACUCCUUGUGGCGGAACCGUCCAACUUAAACUGGUUUAAAUGCGCCUAAUUGCUGCCGACGCAGCAAUUAUCCGAAACACACUUAAAACAGUAUAAGUCCGGUCGUCCGUCGAGUGUCCCUAGGACUCCUCGAAGGAUCCACAUCGUGUCUCAUAGCCAUACAUCAGGAUUGUAUCCGCGAUGGGAUAGCAUCAACAAAUAUUACAUUUUUACAUACAUAUAUGAGGUACGAGUUAAUACAAGACAUAGUUUGAAUCAAACUUAGCAGUGCAGUGUUAGACAGAGUUCUAGGACUUAAAACAUUAACGGUUCGGUGGAGAUGAGCAUUAUAACACUUCUUCUAAGGGUAUUGUGAGACUCGUAACAAUACCCUAGGAUUUCGGGGCUUCCUCUUCGGUGGACUCCUGCGGUGCUUCUAAAAAUAGCCACAAGGGAUAACCCUGAGUACGGGGUACUCAGCAAGUCUUACCCGACUAACCAAUAUAAUAGUUUUUCUUGGAAGUACAUGAUAGCUUUUUUGGUGUACUUGGCUGAUACAUUUUUGUCAAAAAGCUUACUACAAGUGAGACCUUAGUUUUAUAUUUUAUUUGGGUUAAGUCGUUACCUAACUAUUCUAGGUGAUGAUAAAAGAUUAAUUGCGAACAACAAGGUAUUAAGUCAUACACCAAACCUUAUCAGAAAGAUAUGACAUUCAUGAAUUUAUGCUACGAUGCUCAACAGUGAUCAAGUGUAUUCAUAACCGAGAAUUGCGGCGAUCCGGAUCAUAUUACAUCCUGCAGGAGAGUACCCUGAUCACCAGCUAUAUACGACUGUCCAGGUCGUACGUACCGACUUUUCGAUUAGCAAAAUCAAUGAUUGGGAAUAAGACUACCCGGACCCAGGGACGCACCCCCACAUGGGACCCCACGUCUGGCCUGAUCACCAUGUGAGUUUCAGGCUACGCCCCUGCCAAUCUCCAGCACGUCAAGCGCGGGUACGAAGUAUUCCCGAUCAGAGAGUUUACUAACCUACUGGGCUUUACUGGUCCCAUACCCAGUAAGUGAUCAAAUGAUUAUCACUUGAUCAAAGGUUAAGACAACGAAUCGGGCCUUAACCAAAUUAAUCUAGCAGACAGAACUACAUCCUUAGCUUCUGUCCGCUUCUCAAUUUCCAAUUCGUCUUUCCAUGAUUAGUAUGUAUGACUCAAAAUUUGCCUUAAGGUUUGGUAAACCAAGUAUUUAAGCAACUAAGCAAUUCUAGACUUGGGUUAUCUACUAAAGGUUUGAACAAGUGGCAAAGAUGUCCUUAAAACAAGGUAUGAUAAUGCACAAGAAUGGGUUUCAAGCAACUCCUGGACUUAGUGCAUACACACAGCAAUAACCAAUAAUGGACACAUGAAAUAUUGACUCCAAAAUAAUAGGUAAAAUGCACCGGAGCUUGCCUUGUUCGCUAAAAAGGUUAGCACUGUCCGAAGGGUUGGCCUCGCAGGGGACCAAUUCGAAGACUUCCUCAAAAUUCGGAGAUCCUUCUGAAUAUUCCGAGAAAUCUCCUUCUGGUGCUUCGGUGUCUAUAACACAACACAUGCAGGGGUUAGGAAUGCAAAUUUUUGAAUAUAAGACUAUACAACUUUCCUUCAUGAUAGAGUUGCAAGCCAACAAGGACUAUACAAUUUAUCAUGAUAAAGUUGUAAGCCAACACACAAAACCCCGAAAAGAUUAGCCCACAAUUUUUAUUUCCUUAAUUAUCCUUACUUAAGGCCUUUUCUUUUAUUUUAGAAAAUGUUAUAAUUAUUUUCUAGCUUUAAAACCUAAUUUCCUAUGAAUUAAUAAUAAUUUGUAAUUAUGAAAAUAUUAUUCCAUAUUUUAUGCAUUUAAUAAAGAUUAAGUAUUUAUUUAAACGCCUUAAAAGAAAGGCAUUAAACAAAUACUCAAAUUUUUAGUAUUUUUCUAGGGUAUAAAAAUUUUAAUGCAUAAAGGAAAAUAAAACAAGCCUAACAAAAUUGGUUUCACUAAUUUUGGACACUCCUAGAAAUUUCUGUGAUUUAAAUGGUGAGAUUCGGAUUUAAACUAAUUAUUCUAUAAAGGAAAUCUAAUUUUUCCCGAAAAACACCCCCCGGCAACUUUUCUCACGCGACACAACUCUACCCCCUCUCUCUUACACUGGGCCCGUGGCGCGGACCCACCCCUUUUCCUAUUCAUCUUACCCGUCGGCCUACCCCGUCCUCUAACGGGCUCUCUGGGCCGAUUUCCUUUUUCUUUCUCUUUUAUUCAACUGGUACCGGCCCAACGGCCCACCCUUUUCAUUUCUUUCUCUCCUGCGAAACCGGCCUACUGGACCACCUGGGCCUCCGGCCUUCUUUUUCCAAGAGCCGCUCGCACGGGCUCUUUGGGCCAACUGGACUCCGGCCUAACUGACUCUCCCACUCGGCCGGCCUCCUUCUCUCCCCCGCUUCCUCUGACGCGUGGGCCCACCAACACCAGACUCUUCUUCCUCCUCCCGCCAAAACCAGGCGCGACAGGGGGCGGUGCGUCUCGCCGGCCAGCGCCCCACCGGCGACGGGGCUAGGCCGGGGAAGCAUCCCCAUGCCCUAGCGCACCCGUGCGCUGCGAUAGCUCCUCGGGAGAUGGCCGGAGCCACUCCCUCCACGGCGGCGGGCGGCGGCGCCUACGGCCGGUCGCGGCUAAGCACGACGACGGCGCAACCUACCCCGACAACUCCCUCUACGGCUUCCUAGCACCCCAAGGACCCGCCUACGACUACCCAAGAAGAAAAAGAACAAGCGCAAGAAGGUGCUCACCGUGAGCAGGAGGUGCGGCGACGGUGGACAGAAACAACGGUGGAGUAGGGUAUUCCGCCAAGGAUGUUGGACAAUGACUCGAUUGGGGUGUAGCUGGGGUAUCUGUGGAGGAGUGGGCGAGAGGAAUCGACGGGAGCUGUGGUGUGGUGGGAGAAUUUUACCCGGCGGCGGCGGCUUGGACAGAGGAGCAGCGGCGGUAAAACAAGAACGGCGGUAAAAGGGGUGGCGCGGGAGCGGUAGAUAUAUGAACGUUUUACCGCACGCAUGAACGACACUGUGGCCUACCUAUGGACUCGCGUGGCAAGGAGGUGGUGUAGCUGCUGCGCUGGCGGGCGACCGAGAGCGCCGGCGGCGACACAUCGAGCUCGACUCUGUCACCCCCCUUUUCAUUGUUUUCUGACGCCCGAAACUUCAGAUACAAAUCACGGUCGAUUUUGAAUCCAACGGCUCCACUGUCCUUUAAGCAAUGUUGUAGAUAAACUUGAACUUUCCAAGUUUUAUUUUUGCUCUGACCCGAGAUAAACAUCCUAGCACAGUGAAAUUUUGAUUUUCCUUUCUUCUUUAACUGAAUUUCUCUGAACUCAAAGUUCAGUUCGUCAGUUAUAUGACAGGGCCAUUUACCUCACUUUGUGAACGAUUUCAGUGAUCCAAACCCUUUCCUUGUAGUCCAACUUCUCCCCAUUUGUGUUCUACAACCUGCAAGGAUUCCAUUUUGCCCAUAAACACCUACACCUUUUGAUCUACAUUUCUCUGAAAUCAGCUCCAAACUCGGCCACAUAUUGCUGUUUUCAGACUUAGUCGAAUUCAGUAGUGCAGUCCGCCGUGACAAGAUGCUGACUUUGGGCUUUGAUUUGAAUUUAUUCCCCUUACUGUUCCUGCUCAACAACACCCAAAUCUAUUUUUCCAAAGUCCAUACUUUAAUAUGGUAUAAUUGUUUUGAUCCACUUAUUUGAAAAAUUCAGCCGAAUUCAAUUUCCAAAAAUGAACUCUGUGCUGUUUUUCUGAAAUUCCUGUUCUCGGACAGGGAACAGUAACUUUGAUUUUCAAUUUCUUUCUUUGAUUUUCUUGAGGUAUUUAGGACCAAAUCUUGUCCUAAAUCUUGAUCUUUAAGUUCUAAUCACCCUUACACCUCCAUUCCAUAUUUUUGCCGAAUUUUUCUAAAUUUCGAAUUCAAAAUUCUAAUUUCGGUCAAAUUUGACCCGAAUUUGAUUUUUAGCCAAUUUCUUCUCCCUUUCUUCAUGAAUUGCUUCCAUUUCUUCAAAGCUACUUUGGUGACUAAAAAUGGCAGGUAUUACAGCCUCUCCUCCUUAUCAGAAUCUCGUCCCGAGAUUCUCGGGGUUAAAUCCUCGGCUUUGAAAAUGGAAAGGAAACUGCGUCAGGCCAACUAUUUUUCUCUUUUCUGUAUAAGGAAAGUGGGGUGGUGGCUUCUGUUCAUUUGAUCCUGGCAGUUUCAAAUAACUCAGGAUAUUUAGACUCUAGGUCUUUAGCUUGUUCCCACGUAGCUUCAUCUGGAGUAUGAUUUUUCCAUUGUACCUUGUAAAACGUAAUACUCCGAGUUCGGGUAUCUCUUGUCUUUUCAUCCAGAAUUUUAAUAGGCCUUUCUUCAUAGGUUAGAUCUGGUUCGAGCUCAAUUUCUGGAUCUUCUAGAAUCUCUUCUGGAACUCUUAAGCACUUCUUAAGCUGGGAUACAUGAAACACAUCAUGUAUAGAAGUAAGUUGGUCUGGUAAUGACAGCUUGUAUGCUACCGGACCCUUUCGUUCCAGAAUCUCAUAAGGACCAAUAUACCUCGGGGCUGAUUUACCCUUUAUUCCAAAUCGUUGUACUCCUUUCAUCGGGGAUACCUUCAAGUAUACAAAAUCUCCGGUAUGAAAUUCCAAGGACCGUCUCCUUUUAUCUGAAUAACUCUUUUGUCGAGACUGGGCUAUUUUCAAAUGUUUACGAAUUUUCUGGACCUUUUCCUCGGUUUCUAUAACCAAAUCUGAUCCCAAAUGUGUCAUUUCCCCUAUUUCUGACCAAUUCAAGGGGGUUCGGCAUCUUCGACCAUAUAAAGCUUCGAAAGGUGCCAUCUUGAUACUAGCUUGAUAGCUAUUAUUAUAGGAGAACUCGGCUAGGGGCAAACAUUCGUCCCAUAGCUUAGAGAAGGUAAGGACACAUGCUCUUAACAUAUCUUCCAAGAUUUGGUUGACCCUUUCUGUCUGUCCUCCAGUCUGGGGAUGAUAGGCAGAGCUUCUGAUUAGAGUGGUGCCCAUGUCUUUUUGUAGUUGUUCCCAAAAUCUGGAAACAAACUGGGAGCCUCGAUCGGAGAUAAUUGUCUUUGGUACUCCGUGCAAGGAUACAAUCCGGGCUAUAUAGAGUUUAGCAUAUGUCGACACUAGAUAGGUAGUCUUGACUGGGAUGAAGUGGGCUGAUUUAGUAAGUCGGUCGACAAUAACCCAUAUGGAAUCAUAUUCUUUUGAAGUGGUAGGCAAUCCAACUAUAAAGUCCAUGGAAAUAUCCUUCCACUUCCAGACAGGGAUUUCCGAAGGUUGAAGCAAACCCGCCGACUUUUGUAGUAUGGGUUUAACUCUCCGGCAGGUGUCGCACUCGGCUACAUAUCUUGCAAUUUCAAGUUUCAUCUUGGCCCACCAGAAUCUUUGCUUUAAAUCUUGGUACAUUUUAUUGCUUCCGGGAUGAAUAGCGAACUUAGACAAAUGUGCUUCAUCUAAGAUAAUCUUUCUUAGGCUUUCAUUCUUAGGAACUACUAUCCUUUUCUUGAAGUAUAGCCCUCCAUCUUCUUCUUGAAUGAGUUCGGGAAUCUUUCCUUCUGCCUUCUGUUGAUAGAGCACCUUAAUCCAAGGAUCUUCUUUUUGGGCUAUUAUAAUUCUUUCCUUUAGGGUAUCUUGUACAAUAAUGUUUUGGAGGGCGCCUUGUUUUACUAUUUCCAAACUUAAAUCUUCCAUUUCCUCACAUAAGGUCUUAAGGUUAGGUUGGAUGGUAGUGCAGUGGCAUUGGGCCUUUCUGCUCAAAGCGUCGGCCACCACAUUAGCCUUACCAGGAUGAUAAUGGAUUUCUAACUUAUAGUCUUUAAUCAGCUCCAACCACCAUCUUUGUCUCAUGUUCAAGUCCAUUUGAGUGAAGAUGUACUUUAAGCUUUUGUGGUCAGUAAAGAUACGACAUUCACUACCCAAAAGAUAGUGUCACCAUAUCUUUAAUGCAUGGACUACAGCAGCAAGCUCUAAAUCAUGGGUAGGGUAAUGCUCUUCAUGACGCUUCAGUUGACGAGAAGCAUAAGCAAUAACUCUGCCUUCUUGCAUAAGAACACACCCUAUGCCUGUUCCUGAGGCAUCACAGUACACAUCAAAGGGCUUCUCUAUAUCAGGUUGAGCUAGCACUGGACCUGUUGUCAGCAAUUUCUUUAGGGUUUGAAACGAUUCUUCACAUUCGGAUUUCCACUCAAAUUUCACUUAUUUCUUUAACAAUUCUGUGAUUGGCUUGGAAAUUUUUGAGAAAUUGGGGAUGAACCUACGGUAAUAUCCGGCCAUUCCCAAGAAACUUCUUACUUCAUGUACAGAGGUUGGUGAUUUCCAAUCCAAUAUGUCCUUGACUUUUCCGGGAUCUACUUCAAUUCCUUUCUCGGACAGUAUGUGCCCAAGGAAUGGAACUUUCUUUAACCAGAAUUCACAUUUACUGAACUUGGCAUACAACUGGUGUUCCCGGAGUCUAUUUAGAACAAUACGCAGGUGUUGCGCAUGUUCCUCUUCAUUUUUAGAAAAGACGAGGAUAUCAUCUAUAAAGACGACCACAAAUUUAUCUAAUUCUGGCAUGAAUACCGAAUUCAUGAGGUAUAUAAAAUGCGCUGGGGCAUUUGUCAGUCCGAAAGACAUAACUAAAUACUCAUAUAAUCCAUAUCGGGUUGAGAAGGCUGUUUUAGGUAUGUCUUCGGGUUUUAUCUUAAUCUGAUGAUAUCCUGACCGAAUAUCGAUCUUUGAAAACACCUUGGCUCCAGCUAGUUGAUCAAAUAACAAGUCAAUCCGUGGUAACAGAUACUUGUUUUUAAUGGUUACCGCAUUCAAGGGACGGUAAUCCACACAUAACCUUAAUGUGCCAUCUUUCUUUUUAACAAAUAGAGCAGGGCAGCCCCAUGGUGAAGUACUAGGUCGGACAAAACUUUUAUCUAGCAAUUCUUGGAGUUGUACUUUUAAUUCUGCUAAUUCCUUAGGUGGCAUCCGAUACGAUCUUCUCGAGAUAGGAGCAGUGCCCGGUUCUAACUCAAUGGUAAACUCUACCGCUCUAUCAGGCGGUAGUCUAGGCAGAUCUUCUGGGAACACAUCUAUAAACUCAUUAACCACAGGAAUAGAUUCUAGAGCCACUGCUCUAGUCUUUUUGACCAUCUGGUCCAAACAGGGAUGAGUGGGUAAUUGGAGCUCAAAAGGGUGGCCUUGGUCAUCUCUCAUACUAAUGACCCGAUUAUCCAUAUCGAUUUGAAUUUUAUGUUCCUUCAUCCAAUUUACCCCCAAAAUAAUAUCUAUUCCUUGAUCUUCUAGAAUUAAAGGAUAAGCACCCACCUUAUUUCCUUCUAAAUUCAAAAUCACAUUACGAGCUACUUGAUUUGUAUUCUGAGUAGCCCCAGUAGCUUGAAUGGCAUAUUUGACAUUUAAGGUGUGUACUUCUAGUUGGUGUUGCGUAACAAACUUUCUACUUAUAAAGGUAUGUGAUGCACCCGAAUCAAAUAAAACCAUGGCAGGAUAAUUGUUAACAAGGUAUAUACCUGCCAGAAUAGGCUCUCCUUCCGAAAUCUCCUCCACAUUCAUAUAAUGAGCCUGUCCUGUCUUGGUGUUCAGAAAUUUGCGACGAACAAACUUCUGUCCGGUGCCCUGACCAGAGGUUUGAGCCCUCAAAUUCGCGUUUCCCCCAACCUUGGGAAAACGGCAGUCCCGGGCAAAGUGUCCCGGUUUCCCACAAUUAAAACAAACCUGUGGAUUCCCUGGAGGAGUCGGGUUACGAAACCCAAGAGGUGGUGCAUUUCCAGGACAAGGAGCAUUAAUAGGAGCUCUGACAUUCCAGGGCUGAAAGGGCCUCUGCUGAAAAGAAGGUCGAUACGCGGGUCGAGGAGGACCUCGAUAUACCACCUUCAUUCUCUGUGGGGCACUCCCAAAGGUUCCAAAAGGAAUAUUCUUCCUCUUCAAGGAUUCUUCUUUCCUUAAGGUUUCAUCUAAGAUUCUCAUCUUUUCUUCUGCAGUAAUGGCUGUGCUUACCGCAGAGCUAUAGUCAGCAAAGGUGCAGGUGGACAGCUUUUCCUGCAUCCGCGCAUUAAGUCCACGAAGAUAACAAUCUCGUUUUUUGGACUCUGUAUUGACAUGUUCCGGUGCAUACUGGGCUAAGUGAUCAAACUCAUUGGUGUAUUCAAGAAUGCUGCGGUUCCCUUGCUGUAGCCCUAAGAAUUGCUCCAGCUUCAUUCGCAUGAUACCUUCCGGUACAAACUGUGUCCGAAAGGCUUCCUUGAAGUUUUCCCAUGUAACCUCCCUUCCAACUGGUUGCCUAGCCAGAUAGCUGGUCCACCAGGUCCCAGCGGGACCUUGGACCUGGAGUCCUGCAAACUCUGCCUUCUGGGUGGUGGUGCACUGGGGAAUUACCUGAAAUUUCUGCUCCAUCGUCUGAAGCCAUUCAUUAGCUUCCAAUGGGUGCUCAGCUUUCAAGAAUAUUGGAGGACGAGUUUCCAGGAACUGGGUGUAGGAUACACCCCCUUCUGGGUCUCGUCGAUUUCCACCAUUGCCGGUGUUUUGCAUGAUCAUUUGAAGCAGUCCAGCCUGUUCGGCUCCUGAAUUCAUGAGGCUGGCUAUAGCAUCUGCCAGCGUUGGAGCUCUCGGUAAAUUCUCCUCGUGGCCCCCUGACCCUGAAGCUCGUGGACCUCUUGGAUCCGUCAUGCUGUCAAAAGCAAACAGAAUAUUAAUAUCUAAGUUACAUUCCACCAACAGUUCUCUGCGCACAUUAGUAUUUCACACAUCACAGCAUGACCAUACACAAACCACACUUAUAUACAUAUUUAUUUAUAUUACAUGACUUGAAGUUACUUUUUACAAAACCACCGUACUACUUCGUCCACUGCCUUUAUCUUACAUAACUACAUCACAACAUCUCUUGGUUAAGGUCUUGCUUCAACCAUCAUAAGGGUAGAUGCCUAGCUCUUUGGCAUUUAAUCCUAGCCGGGCCAUCGCAGCAUGCAGAAUAUCCUGGUCCACUGUCAUCAGCAUCUGUCCCGGAGGAGCGAUAGGUGGGGCCUGAUUUACUGAGUUCUCACUUUCUGACUCUAGCCCGGGGUCACUCGAAGUAUAGGAAGUGUAGGAUGCAGAUGUACUAACUCCGGAAUUUCCCUCCAUUUCUUCGGGGUCUUCUUCUUCUUCCCCGUCUUCCUGCUCCGCUUCACCCACUGCUGCAUUGGUCCGUAGCCUUGUGGAUCUAACCCAUUGGCGUUUGCAUUGGCCUAGGCAAAUUGUUGGUUUCCCAUGGGAGCUUCACCCUGAUCAUCUUCCAUGUCAACAUCAAACCCUUCUAAGUUCUCGUGAGCGUAUAAGUCAAUCUCGGGAGCUGCAGGUGGAGCAAUAUCACCCUCCACUCCUACAACGUCCACCAACUGAUCUGCUUCUUCUGGGUUCGGUGGCUGGGGUUCUUCUGGUGGUGGAGGCGGUGGAACAUUGACUAUGUUCUGAGCAGGUACCUGGGCCUGCAUUUCCUCCAAAGCCAGAUGAAGAGAUAAGAUUUCGUCCAGCUGCUGGAAUCUUUCUGCCUCGAGCCUAUUAACAUUGGAUUCGGCUUCUUCUCUUGCCCUGUCUGCCAUACUCCUACUGGCCUCUAUGAAUCCUUGCAUUACCCUGAGCUUCUCUUCAUAUUCAUCUAUUCUUCUGGACUGCUCUCUCAUGAUUUUCUCCAUGUCGUGUUCCCUUGCUAAUGCCGCCUUCUUGUACAACUCCUUAUCGUGUCUGGCACCCAUUAACUCCAUCUUGGCAUCUUCAUUUUUCUUCCUCUGAUUAUAAUACUCUCUGAUGCAAGACUGGUGCAAGUUGUACAUGGCCGUCAUGUAGUCGGAGGCAGCAGCAACCAAGAUGUCAUGCUCUACACGAGAAGAGUUCUUCAGGGCUUUAAUCCUUCUCUUCCAGAUUCCAUCGUCUUGAUGCUUUAUAGGAUAAAAUCGAGCAGAGCUCGACCCUAUCUCUACCUUGUGCUUCUCACAUAGGUCGGUGAGAGCAGUCAUAGCUGCCCUUUCAAUUGUGUCGUUGAACUCGAAGCCCGACUCCAUCACUUCUUCUAGACGCCAAUUGGGGUUGGUGUCUUCAUCUGGAAUAUGCACAUAAACAGUGCAGCACUGCUUGUGACACGUGUCCUCCUUCCUCCAAUAGUACUCUGGAGGGUUAUGGAAGCCUAACUCUUGCAGCGUUUUCCAUAGCAGCUGCACAAACCCUGGCUUAUCCAGGUAAUGCCCUCGGGUCCAUCCGUCCUGGUCGGUGUAGCCUUCUUGGAACAUCCUAUAAAAGAAACGGGGUUAGGUCUAAUGGCACUCACCAAAACCCAAAAGUUUUUAAAACAUGCUUAUGCAACAUGAUGCAACGACUCCUACAGACUCACAGACUCAUAUACACACUCGUAGAGAAAUUGGUGGCAUCGUAAUCUCUCCCUAAUAAUAUACUACCGAAUACUAGCGACACGCAGCAAACAGCUAGCAUCUGCAAAACAAACAACCAGUUAACACUACUGCCACCUGUGACUCAUGUUUUCUUUGUUUAAAAUAGAGUCUCAGUAUUUUAAAUGGUAAUAUUUGUUGAUUAUCCCAACCUACGGCUCUGAUACCAGUUGUGGCGGAACCGUCCAACUUAAACUGGUUUAAAUGCGCCUAAUUGCUGCCGACGCAGCAAUUAUCCGAAACGCACUUAAAACAGUAUAAGUCCGGUCGUCCGUCGAGUGUCCCUAGGACUCCUCGAAGGAUCCACGUCGUGCCUCAUAGCCAUACAUCAGGAUUGUAUCCGCGAUGGGAUAGCAUCAACAAAUAUUACAUUUUUACAUACAUAUAUGAGGUACGAGUUAAUACAAGACAUAGUUUGAAGCAAACUUAACAGUGUAGUGUUAGACAGAGUUCUAGGACUUAAAACAUUAACGGUUCGGUGGAGAUGAGCAUUAUAACACUUCUUCUAAGGGUAUCGUGAGACUCGUAACAAUACCCUAGGAUUUUGGGGCUUCCUCUUCGGUGGACUCCUGCGGUGCUUCUGAAAAUAGCCACAAGGGAUAACCCUGAGUACGGGGUACUCAGCAAGUCUUACCCGACUAACCAAUAUAAUAGUUUUUCUUGGAAGUACAUGAUGCGCGACGCUAGUGCAAUCUGCCAGGUACCUUGAGAGUUUAAGGCGUUACCACGACCGCAACAUCAAGGAACGAUCUUUCAACUUGGGCGAUAUGGUCCUCAAGCGAAUCCAAGACACAACAGGGUUGCAUAAACUCAACUCACCCUGGGAGGGUCCUUACAUCGUAUCCAAGGUUAUGAGACCUGGAUCUUACAGAUUGCAAGAACUUUCAGGAGAACAAGUACCAAACUCUUGGAAUAUAGAACACCUUUGUCGCUACUACCCGUAGCAGCACCAGAGUAAUUGCAUCAACGCAAAAACUCAUCAGCUACUCGGGUCAACAGCUCGACUACCAACUACAAGAUACACUACUCUUGACAAGAUUAUCAACUCAACAAGCAUUACUGCCCUGGUACAAAGUUUCAGUGGUGGAGUAAUUCUUUACUCAGGACCAAAGAUACAUCAACAAGUUACAUACGAGUCAACGUACUCGAAAUACAAAAGGACUACAAGCAACUGCCUACUGGCGGGCUGCAUUUAAGCCUCAGGCUUUUACAAUAUCACAAGGCCAUUCAGGUCUGCCGACUACAAUGGGGAGGGCCUACACGCAAGGAAGCUGCGUAAAAUGCAGCCAUAUCCAGAUCCUCUACCCAACGCAACGCUAGGAACUCCUGCACCGCCGCUGCCUUGACAACGGUAACGAUAAAUCCCGCGCGACGCGCCAAGAGGGAACCAAGGCUGCUCUUUUGCUAGCCUUGCCAUUCCAACCCACCCUACGGCCACACCUCCACCUCUAAGAGAGCGGGAUAAAGACCGCGACACUCGUCACCUAGUACUCGCGAGUUUCAGCGCGUACUCCACUAGAUCACGAGCUGCAAGAUGAGGCGCGUGAUGAAACCUCCUAUGAGGAUUCUUCUAGCAUCACGGCUAUCCCUACGAGCGCUGGAGUUUGUGGAGGGAAGGUGGUCUCAAUCUACGAGGAAUCUUCUAGCAUCGGUGCACUCUCUGAAGGCUCUCUACACUCAAACAACAGCAACCGAAGGCAAUCCAUUGCUACUCCAAAACAUGAUUCGGGUCGACCUCUAGGGGGAUCUAUUUAUAGCCAAGCGCUACAACUACCACCCACCCAGGAGUUACUAUGCGCCCGUAAUUAAUAAGUCUGACGACCUCUGACUGCCCACGUGAAGGCAGUUAUGCUACAAAGGACAAAAGAGUACAGUACACCCGUGCAUUCGCAAAGGACAAAAGAGUACAGUACACCCGUGCAUCCCCAAAAAGUAGAGUACUCGACAGCAUCACGACUACUCGACACUCAGAACUAUUUUAGCCAAGCAUGACCUACGGGGGCUUGGAGAAGGCCGACCCUCUACCUAAGGGUCGGGCAAUACGAAGCCUUGUGACAAGGGGUCGGGCGCAUCCGACCCUGGGCCAAGGGUCGGGCGAAGCGGAGUUCCAUGCUCGAAGGGUCGGGCGCAUCCGACCCUGGGACCAAGGGUCGGGCGAGGCGGAGUUCUCCUCCCUCAAAGGGUCGGGCUCAGCUGACCCCGGGACUUUGGGUCGGGCGAGGCGGAGUGAACUACUCCUUGUGGCAGAACCGUCCAACUUAAACUGGUUUAAAUGCGCCUAAUUACUGCCGACGCAGCAAUUAUCCGAAACACACUUAAAACAGUAUAAGUCCGGUCGUCCGUCGAGUGUCCCUAGGACUCCUCGAAGGAUCCACAUCGUGUCUCAUAGCCAUACAUCAGGAUUGUAUCCGCGAUGGGAUAGCAUCAACAAAUAUUACAUUUUUACAUACGUAUAUGAGGUACGAGUUAAUACAAGACAUAGUUUGAAGCAAACUUAGCAGUGCAGUGUUAGACAGAGUUCUAGGACUUAAAACAUUAACGGUUCGGUGGAGAUGAGCAUUAUAACACUUCUUCUAAGGGUAUUGUGAGACUCGUAACAAUACCCUAGGAUUUCAGGGCUUCCUCUUCGGUGGACUCCUGCGGUGCUUCUGAAAAUAGCCACAAGGGAUAACCCUGAGUACGGGGUACUCAGCAAGUCUUACCCGACUAACCAAUAUAAUAGUUUUUCUUGGAAGUACAUUAUAGCUUUUUUGGUGUACUUGGCUGAUACAUUUUUGUCAAAAAGCUUACUACAAGUGAGACCUUAGUUUUAUAUUUUAUUUGGGUUAAGUCGUUACCUAACUAUUCUAGGUGAUGAUAAAAGAUUAAUUGCGAAUAACAAGGUAUUAAGUCAUACACCAAACCUUAUCAGAAAGAUAUGACAUUCAUGAAUUUAUGCUACGAUGCUCAACAGUGAUCAAGUGCAUUUAUAAACGAGAAUUGCGGCGAUCCGGAUCAUAUUACAUCCUGCAGGAGAGUACCCUGAUCACCAGCUAUAUACGACUGUCCAGGUCGUACGUAACGACUUUUCGAUUAGCAAAAUCAAUGAUUGGGAAUAAGACUACCCGGACCCAGGGAUGCACCCCCACAUGGGACCCCACGUCUGGCCCGAUCACCAUGUGAGUUUCAGGCUACACCCCUGCCAAUCUCCAGCACGUCAAGCGCGGGUACGAAGUAUUCCCGAUCAGAGAGUUUACUAACCUACUGGGCUUUACUGGUCCCAUACCCAGUAAGUGAUCAAAUGAUUAUCACUUGAUCAAAGGUUAAGACAACGAAUCGGGCCUUAACCAAAUUAAUCUAGCAGACAGAACUACAUCCUUAGCUUCUGUCCGCUUCUCAAUUUUCCAAGUCGUCUUUCCAUGAUUAGUAUGUAUGACUCAAAAUUUGCCUUAAGGUUUGGUAAACCAAGUAUUUAAACAACUAAGCAAUUCUAGACUUGGGUUAUCUACUAAAGGUUUGAACAAGUGGCAAAGAUGUCCUUAAAACAAGGUAUGAUAAUGCACAAGUUUCCUUCAUGAUAGAGUUGCAAGCCAACAAGGACUAUACAAUUUAUCAUGAUAAAGUUGUAAGCCAACACACAAAAACCCGAAAAGAUUAGCCCACAAUUUUUAUUUCCUUAAUUAUCCUUACUUAAGGCCUUUUCUUUUAUUUUAGAAAAUUUUAUAAUUAUUUUCUAGCUUUAAAACCUAAUUUCCUAUGAAUUAAUAAUAAUUUGUAAUUAUGAAAAUAUUAUUCCAUAUUUUAUGCAUUUAAUAAAGAUUAAGUAUUUAUUUAAACGCCUUAAAAGAAAGGCAUUAAACAAAUACUCAAAUUUUUAUUAUUUUUCUAGGGUAUAAAAAUUUUAAUGCAUAAAGGAAAAUAAAACAAGCCUAACAAAAUUGGUUUCACUAAUUUUGGACACUCCUAGAAAUUUCUGUGAUUUAAAUGGUGAGACUCGGAUUUAAACUAAUUAUUCUAUAAAGGAAAUCUAAUUUUUCCCGAAAAACACCCCCCGGAAACUUUUCUCACGCGACACAACUCUACCCCCUCUCUCUUACACUGGGCCCGUGGCGCGGACCCACCCCUUUUCCUAUUCAUCUUACCCGCCGGCCUACCCCCUCCUCUAACGGGCUCUCUGGGCCGAUUUCUUUUUCUUUCUCUUUUAUUCACUGGUACCGGCCCAAUGGCCCACCCUUUUCUUUUCUUUCUCUCCUGCGAAACCGGCCUACUGGACCACCUGGGCCUCCGGCCUUCUUUUUCCAACAGCCGCUCGCACGGGCUCUUUGGGCCAACUGGACUCCAGCCUAACUGACUCUCCCGCUCGGCCGGCCUCCUUCUCUCCCCCGCUUCCUCUGACGCGUGGGCCCACCGACACCAGACUCUUCUUCCUCCUCCCGCCAAAACCGGGCGUGACAGGGGGUGGUGCGGCUCGCCGGCCGGCGCCCCACCGGCGACGGGGCUAGGUCGGGGAAGCAUCCCCAUGCCCUAGCGCACUCGUGCGCGGCGAUAGCUCCUCGGGAGAUGGCCGGAGCCACUCCCUCCACGGCGUCGGGCGGCGGCGCCUACGGCCGGUCGCGGCUAAGCACGACGACGGCGCAACCUACCCCGACAACUCCCUCUACGACUUCCUAGCACCCCAAGGACCCGCCUACGACUACCCAAGAAGAAAAAGAACAAGCACAAGAAGGUGCUCACCGUGAGCAGGAGGUGCGGCGACGGCGGACAGAAACAACGGCGGUGUAGGGUAUUCCGGCAAGGAUGUUGGACAACGACUCGACUGGGGUGUAGCUGGGGUAUCUGUGGAGGAGUGGGCGAGAGGAAUCGACGGGAGCUGCGGUGUGGUGGGAGAAUUUUACCCGACGACGGCGGCUUGGACAGAGGAGCGGCGGCGGUAAAACUAGAACGGCGGUAAAAGGGGCGGCACGGGAGCGGUAGAUAUAUGAACGUUUUACCGCACGCAUGAACGACACCGUGGCCUACCUAUGGACUCGCGUGGCAAGGAGGUGGCGUAGCUGUCGCGCUGGCGGGCGACCGAGAGCACCGGCGGCGACACGUCGAGCUCGACUCUGUCACCCCCCUUUUCUUUGUUUUCUGACGCCCGAAACUUCAGAUACAAAUCACGGUCGAUUUUGAAUCCAACGGCUCCACGGUCCUUUAAGCAAUGUUGUAGAUAAACUUGAACUCUCCAAGUUUUAUUUUUGCUCUGACCCGAGAUAAACAUCCUAGCACAGUGAAAUUUUUAAUUUUCCUUUCUUCUUUAACUGAAUUUCUCUGAACUCAAAGUUCAGUUCGUCAGUUAUAUGAUAGGGCCAUUUACCUCACUUUGUGAACGAUUUCAGUGAUCCAAACCCUUUCCUUGUAGUCCAACUUCUCCCUAUUUGUGUUUACAACCUUCAAGGAUUCCAUUUUUCCCAUAAACACCUACACCUUUUGAUCUACAUUUCUCUGAAAUCAGCUCCAAACUCGGCCACAUAUUACUGUUUUCAGACUUAGUCGAAUUCAGUAGUGCAGUCCACCGUGACAAGAUGCUGACUUUGGGCUUUGAUUUGAAUUUGUUCCCCUUACUGUUCCUGCUCAACAACACCCAAAUCUAUUUGUCCAAAGUCCAUACUUUAAUAUGGUAUAGUUGUUUUGAUCCACUUAUUUGAAAAAUUCAGCAGAAUUCAAUUUCCAAAAAUGAACUCUGUGCUGUUUUUCUGAAAUUCCUGUUGUCGGACAGGGAGCAGUAACUUUGAUUUUCAAUUUCUUUCUUUGAUUUUCUUGAGGUAUUGAUAUUUAAGUUCUAAUCACCCUUACACCUCUAUUCCAUAUUUUUUCCAAAUUUUUCUGAAUUUUGAAUUCAAAAUUCAAAUUUCGGUCAAAUUUGACCCGAAUUUGAUUUUUAGCCAAUGUCUUCUCCCUUUCUUCAUGAAUUGCUUCCAUUUCUUCAAAGAUACUUUGAUGACUAAAAAUGGCAGGUAUUACACUCCUCCCCACAUAAAGACAACUACUUCAAGCUACAAGAGAAAGAACCAGUAUCCCUUUCUUAAAGUAUCGUUCAAAGUACUCGAAAACAACUACAAGGGUACAUAAAAGUUCAAGGCUCCUCCGAAGAGACAAAUUCAGACAUCUUGGACGUGAUCGGCUCUGCCUCCUCGAGGUACUGCGCAUAUGCUUCUUCUAUGUAGUUGCGAGCCAAGCCGUCACCAGCCGCCGACAAAUCUGUCCUCGGGUAGUAUGACUUCACCACAGAAAGGACUUGUUUGCAAAUAGCCUUGCAGAAGACCUGCCACUUUACCAGGGGGCAGCCUUCAAUCGCUCGACUAGCGAUUGGUGUCCUGCGUCCUCUUCCACGGGGGCUAUGGCGUUCACUAGAUCUUGAGCUGCCACAGACAAUUCUUGGAGUUCGCCCCGAAGUCUUCCUAUGGUUUGGACAUGAUCUCUGCAAGACACCAUGGCCAUAGCAAGCAUCACCCCAUUCUGAAUCUUCCUGUCACGCUGAUGCUCGCAAGCAGCCUGUGCUUCUAUCAGCGCAGCCCAAAGACGUUCAGCUUCAUCUGCCACUCGGUCGUGCGCGUUUCUCCAGUCAAGGAGUUGGCUACUUACAGCAGCCUCCUGCCUCUUGAGCUCUGCAAACACGGCCAAGUUUAAACACCAACCGACUACAGUCGGACAUACUCGAAAGAUACAAAGUACUCACCUUGAUACUUUUUGUUCAAAGACUUGUAGCGGCUCUCCAGCUUCUGCUGCAAGACUUCGUGAUCCGACCGCUCCACAGGAAAGGAUCUCGCUCCAGUUUCAUGGACCCUUAAGGCUUCUGUAAGUCGGGCACACUCCCGCUCCAAUUGAUGCCUUCGUUCCUGCAGGGCCCGAAUGUGUAAAUCAAUGCGAUCAGUCAAAGACCUUGAAAUUACUCAAUUUGUUCGACAGAGCAAAAGAAACACACCUGGAAGCUCCGAAACACAUCAACAGCUCUCUGAAACUCUAACUCCGACGAAAGGCUGAGUACUGGACUUUGAGUACUCUUCGCAAGAUGAGGAGUAGCACCCAAAGCAGUACCUAAAGAGAUUAUCAUCAGUCACUUGACUACUAUGACCACAAUACCAAGACUAUUGAUACAUACCUGGAGCAGUUGAUUCUUUGGAUUUUUCCACAUCCACUACAGUUAUAGCUCUGCCAGUAGAUGUCGACACAGAAGCUUUCCCAGAACCCGAAGCAGCGGAGGGAACCUCCACCGAACGAAUCACUUCUUGAAGCAUAGACAUGGUAGCUCCAAGGCGACCAGCGUCAACUUCGGGUACUUCCUCGAUAAUAAAAUCUUCCAGGGGAGCAGAUAAAGUAGUCGGGGGAGACAACUCUAUUCCUAUCUCCACAGGGAUAGUUUCCUCCGCAUCCCUACAUCAAAGCACAGUCAUUAUACAACUUCAAGACAACUUAAUGAUAUAUACCAAGGGCAAACAAACUCACCGAGUUGAGCGUGGUGGAAACCGCACACGUUUCUUCUCGGCAACAUGUGGCCGCGUACUCGGCGCCACAAGAGCAGCUACUGACGCCGUCUUCUUGCCAAGACCUGGGAAACAGAGAGUCAAGACCACAGUACAAUUCGGACUAACACAGCUAGUCGCGAAAGACAGCUUACCACUGGCAAUUACAUUAGACAACAAAGAGCCAGUAACAACAACUGGCGACACCUUCUUCGCUACUCCAGCAGGCAAUCCCAGGACUGCCUGGUCAGCAACCAGCAGAGCGUCGCCGACGGAGCCUAUGCGGUUAGCUCGGGGGCUACAUAGCAUCCGCUGGGGGCACCUCCUCUGGCACCUCCUCAACAGACGCAAUACCAACGCCUGGGUCGGUCACGACUACUUCUCCAGAAGCAGUCUCAUCAUCACUAAGUGCCGCAUCGACAGCCUUUCGAACACAACAAAGUAAUCAAAAGAUUGCAAGAUUCAGUCUAUUAGCUACAAUUGAGUACACGGUCACAUACGUUGGCACCAUGAGAUUUCUCAGGAGUUGAAGCAGACUUAGCCGCAGACAUCUUGCGGACUACUCUCCGUUUCUUCAUAGGAGGAGAGGGCUCGUCCUCUGACUCCUCAAUGACAAUUUCUUCUUCUUCCGACUGCGCCAAGUAGCCGGCAAGAACUCAGGACUGCAAAAAACAAGUCGAUAUUUAAAACAAAUAUCGUGAAGGCCAAAAAGUACAAGUCAAGUGCAAGGACAUACCACUUCUGGUUCCUACCAGACAUCAUAUUGCCGAAGAGCUGCAGGGAUUACUAGUACUCCCUAGUAGUUCCUGAAGAACUUGGCCAACAACGCCUCCACAUCAUCAUCGGAUAUAUCCUCAUCGGGCAUACGCGAUGGAUCCUUAAAACCUGUGUACUCACUUCCCGAGUGAGUCCGUUUCUGAAGCGACUGAACUCUUCUGUUCAGAAAACUGGCCAUCACGUUAAUCCUGGUGAGACCAAGUGCUUUCAACUUGGUAAUCUGCUGCAGCAAAUGGUCAAGCUCCGGGGUAUCUUCGGGUUCGCUCACCCAGUUCUCUGCAUGCUUCGACACGUGACCAGUAACCACUGGCAAGCGAGGAUCAUGGUUCCCAACAUAGAACCACCUUUUCUUCCACUCCCCAUGGGAGUCAGUCAAAUUGUACUCAAUAUACGUGCCCGAGUUCCUGAGUUGGAACCCAGCGCCUCCAAAGACCUCUGUCCUAACUGCACUAGGCUGAGGUUUACAGCAGAACAACUUCCUAAAUAGCUCAAGGCUCGGAAGAACUCCCAAGUAAACUUCGCAGAGGUAUACAAAAAUUGACAUAUGCAGUACACCAUUGGGAUUCAAGUGAACAAGUUGAAGCUUAUAGUACUUGAGGAUACCUCUGAAGAAGUCGGAGGUAGGCACGGCCAAUCCUCUCUCUACGAAGUGUGCAAGCAUCACUGUCUCGCCGGGGUGUUGCUCGAACUGCCACGCAUUCGCAAAAGCAGUAAUCCACUCGAGUACCUUCUUCAUCUGCAGAAGCUUGGUGUCAACUAGCGCCUGCACGGCCUCCUCCUUUAUCACCGAAUGCUGCCACGUCGCUCCAGGCGGCAGCAGCGCAGUCUGGUUCAUCGGCCCCACCAUGGGCGCGGCAGCACCAGCUCCUUCCCUUUCUUGGAUUUCACCUUACCCGCCACUGGAGCCUUGCCUUGGAUCCUCUCGGGUUGCUUGCCCAUCUUCUUGGUGCGCAUAUGCCGAUUUCAACCUCAGCAAAAUGCACUCACCCUCGGAUCUCUCUCAAAGAACAUCAAUGGCGGCGGCAGCACUUGGCAAUCGCAAUGGCGGAGGAAAAUAGGAACGGAAAAGUAGGGAAAGAAGAGAAACAGAUCUGGCUACAGUGGGGCGUAAACCCAACCGAAAGGGGGCCCUCCAUUUAUAUCUUUGUCACCUCCGGAUUCUAAGCGUCAGUUACGCAACGGGUGGAUUUCAAGCAGAUUAAUUGCCUUAAACACCCAACUUCUACUCUUUUCAAUGGGUUGUUGACCACUUCAACGACAAAAAUCGCCUAAGUGCUCGGGGGCUGCGGGUACCGUACCUGAUGGUCAGAUUUUUCUUUUUCAAAUUUCCGAGGGUAAAACAGUCAAAAAGCAAGAUUGACCCUAAGCCUGACUCUUCGACUCAACCUAAGGCUCGGGUGCUACUCCAUAUGGAGUGCGAUUGACAUCGCACUACCAUAUAAAAACUCUCGGAACAAAAGCAACUCAAAGGAACAAGAAGAGUACCUUCCAGCCACGUGACAAUACUCGAGCACUUCGGACAUUCCAACCUCUACAACAAAACUGCUCGGAUGGUACUCGAGACUGUGGCGCACGACUACAAAGUACUCAGGGGCUUGUCGGGCAUGCAUCCUAGGCCCACGAGUAGACCCUGGAUGGCCCACUGUUGGGACGUACUCGGAUAUGAUCAGGACGGGAUAGGCGCAUCCCACUCGGACUAGUUAAGUAUGUGUAUGGAAAACUACUCGGGCCAUAACUGAGUAGAACUCUAUAGUAGUACUCGACUAGGACUCAGACUUGUAACCCUGCCCUCCCGUGCAUAUAAGGGCGGGCAGGGACCCCCCUCAAAGAAGGAACAACUCUGGUUCAUCCAAGAUCAAUACAAACCAACACACAAGACGUAGGGUAUUACGCGAUCUAGCAGCCCGAACCUGUCUAAAUCGUGUUCCUUGCGUCACCACUGAUUCCUUGAUUCUCGACGAUCCUUACCGCACAAAAGGCCACCUAGGGUACCCCCUAGGUGGGUUGCCGGUCUAAAACGCCGACACCAGGAAGAGACCCAUGGAGAACCGGUCUGACCGGCGGAGGACCGGUCAGAGCGGUCGGAUGCGCUAGUCGGAGGUGCCGACGGAGUGGUCGGGAGCGGUUGGAUGCGCCAGUCGGAGGUGCCGGUCGGGGGCAGCGCCAGGAUGCGCCUAGAGGGCGCCUGCCGCCACUGGGUGUUGCUGCGGCCUGGAGGGGCGUCCACCACCACCGAGGCGGUCAGGGGCGGUCGGGGCGGCCGGAUGCGCGGGUCGGGGCGGUCGAGGGUGGCGCUAGGAUGCGCCUGGAGGGGCGCCCGCCGCCGCCGGGGGCCGCCGCGGCCGGGAGGAGUGGAGGACCACCCACCGCCGACCGCCGGGGUCCGCCAUGGGGGUGCGGCCUGGAGGGGCGCCCGCCACCGCCAGGGGCUACCACGGCCUGGAGGAGUGGAUGGGCGAUUUGCUUGCUGCUUGACCACGAUCGGCACGGUGGAUCAGAGGGAUCGGCCGCGCAUCCUACAAGGACGCUGCCCCAGGCGGAGAUUGAUCUCCCCGGGGGCGACGCGAGGGUAGCGGAAGCCGGAGGCCUAGGUUACAUUUGUAACCUAGACUCGUGAUACCAUAAAAACAAUAGGGAUUGCAUAUAAUGCGUGGGAUAUAUUACUUGAGCCCCUUGGACUAAUUAUAUAGGAGUACAUGGCUUGGAGGGCAAGUAGCCUCUCCUAGAGAUAAGGAAGAUUAUUCCGGGAUUACAAUAAAUCCUAAACUAAUCAUAUCCGGAGUUUCCUAAUAUACUCUAACAGAUAGGUCAAACAUAAAACGUAUUACACAGCAUGUCAAACGUUGGUCAGGAUAUAUAGAGAUAUCGGUAGCAUGAAUCAAAGCUACAACAAAGGCAUCGCUAGUCCAGCCUUCAUCAUCACCAAAACAUGGAAUUGUGUAAAUGCCACAAGAUGGAAUCGUGGUAGAAGGAAUAUAAUCAGAAUUCAGAAAAGACCAUAAGUAAUUCUCAUGAUAAAUGAAAUUGACAGAAAUCCAUGCACGAUCAAACCAGUGAGUACAAUCAGCAGGCCGCUGAAAGUGCUACGAACUGAAGAAGUUAGCAUCACAAUUCAUAAACAAUGUAAUAUCCCAAUAAAAAUUACCACAGAAAGGAAGGGGGGCUCAUCAAACAUGAAAUGAUACAGCAUUUUAUAGAGCUAGUAACAUCAACACUUACAACCAUUUGUGCUAAUUGGAAGUUGAAACAUGUCUACCUCCAGAAAGGAAAUGCUGAGAAAAUUAAAAGACUGAAAUGAGUAGCUGCAUAUGUAGAUACAUCAACAUAAUUAAGAGUAAAUCAUUCCCUCAAGGACAUCAUGAAACAUGUAGCCACCUUCAAGAACAUCACCAAAAUGGGUCUUUAACAGAUAGAUCAGAUGCUUUAGCGAAGCUCCAUGUGUUAUCUAACUUAGGCCCCACAAGCAACACUUUACAAUCUUUACCGACCCAUGAACAUGUAGUUAGAGCCCUCAGCUGGCAAUUCACUUUACGCACCUCACGCACUGAAGCGAAUGUUUCUUCGGUCAACACAAGCACCAAAGUCUGGAGCUUCCGAGUGAGGAAAUAAUGGGCUGGCCCAUUCCAAUUUUAGAAAUUCUAAAUAAAUCUCAGAGGCCCAUGUGAGCAUGAGCAAGCGGUUGAGUGGUGCAAACCUUUAGUCCCACACUGCUAGUGGAUGAGGAGGAUAGCCAACUUAAAUAUGGAGGUUGUCUCCACUCCUCCAAACUAUGUGUGUGGGGAGAGAAGGAAAGCUCUAUGUGCGCUUGCCUCACCUUGCCGGGUGGGGCGAAGGGUGCGGGCAUGCGACGCCUGCAUGAAUGGUCCGCCAAAAUCCAGUCUCGUCUUGCAGGGCGCGGUUUCCGUUUGCCAUUUUAUUUUUUGGUUACUUGUUCUUUAAGUUAGCGAGAUAUAUGGAAGCCCCUGCUGCGUCGCCACCGUAAUCUACUCUAUCCCAAGCGUCCGCGUGCACCGGUGAACGGGAGAGCAGGUCUUUGGAACCUCUCGCUCUUGUGAUCCUGCACCGGGAGAGGGUAAAUAAGGUUUUUGGGAAGCACUCCGCGCGACUGCUCAAGGUCUUCACCACGACUCGUCUUCCGUCCCAGUCCGGCGUUGCGGCGGCCCAUCAUCUUCGUCUUCAAUACCUAUUCACCUGUCGCUAGACUGACCUCUGUUCGAGCACUACUUUCUCUAGCUGCCUCGUAUAGUCUUAUCAUCCACCAGAUGGAUGUAAAGACAGCUUUCCUAAAUGGAGAGUUGGACGAGGAGAUCUAUAUGGAUCAACCUGACGGGUUUGUGGUGAAGGGUCAAGAAAGUAGGGUGUGUAAGUUAUUGAAGUCGUUGUAUGACCUGAAACAAGCACCUAAGCAAUGUCAUAAUAAGUUUGACAGAACUUUAACUUUUGCGGGCUUUGUCAUUAACGAGGCUAAUAGAUUUGUGUAUUAUCGCCAUGGUGGGGGUGAAGGGAUUAUAUUGUGCCUGUAUGUGGAUGACAUACUGAUCAUUGGCACAAACAUUGACAUGAUCAAUGUGGUCAAGUCUUUUCUAUCAUAGAACUUUGAUAUGAAAGAUUUGGAAGAAACUGAUGUUAUUCUGAACAUCAAGCUAAUUAAAGAUAAGAAUGGGAUUAGUCUUUCGCAAUCCCAUUAUGUGGAGAAGGUUUUGAACCAUUUUGGUUAUAUGGACAGCAAGCCUUCUCCAACACCUUAUGAUCCCAGCGUGAUACUCAGAAAGAACAAGAAAACUGGUAAAGAUCAACUGAGAUACUCUUAAAUUAUCGGUUCACUCAUGUAUUUAGCUAGCGCAACGAGACCCGACAUAGCUUUUGCUGUGAACAAAUUGAGCAGGUUCAUGUCAAACCCGGGUUCUGAUCAUUGGCAUGCACUUGAAAGGGUUAUGCGCUACUUGGUGGGUACUAUGUGUUAUGGGAUUCACUAUUCUGGGCAUCCUGCGGUGCUUGAGAGAUAUAGUGAUUCGAACUGGAUUUCGGACGCUAAUGACCUAUAUGCCACUAGUGGGUAUGUGUUUAUCCUUAGAGGUGGUGCAAUAUCAUGGAGGUCUUGCAAACAGACCAUUCUAACGAGGUCAAAUAUGGAAGCAGAACUUACUGCUUUAGAAACAGCCACUGUUGAGGUAGAGUGGCUGCGUGAUCUCUUGAUGGACUUAUUUGUGGUUGAUAAACCAGUGCCGACAAUCCUUAUGAACUAUGACAAUCAAAUGGUGAUAGUCAAGAUGAACAGUGCUAAGGAUAACGCGAAGUCAUCAAGACAUGUCAAGAGACGACUAAAGUCUAUUAGGAAGUUGAGAAACUCCGAAGUAAUAAGUGUGAUUUAUAUUCAAAUAGACAAAAACCUGGCAGAUCCCUUCACAAAAGGGCUAUCACGGAAUAUGAUAGAAUGUGCAUCGAGGGAGAUGGGUAUGAGACCCGUUUGAGUUGCAGUAGUGGUAACCCAACCUAUGUGAUCAGAGAUCCCGUAAAUUAGGAUCUGGGGAAAACAAGCUAUCAAUUGACUGUGGAGAGUAAUUAUUAAAGUAAUUAUGAAACCCUCUCUAUAUGAAAAUGCAAUACUCUCAAAUGCUAUAAGGCAGGUUAGCAAUAUGCUUUAAUGUGUUUCUGUUAGCUUGGUUAAGUGAAGAUGCUGUCCUAGAGAGCAUUCUUGAAAGAACACAGCUAUAUAAGCCUGACCGUAAAACAUCAUAGUCUAUGAGACUUGGGUGAUCUCUAGUAAACUCAUGAAAAGAUCAAGGAGUACGACGAAUAUGCUCCACCCGCGGGGUAGGUUACUGGCAGCCAGGUACUAGUUCCGAUUUUGAGUGAAACUUGUCUGCACAAAACUUGCAAUUCAAGGUUAGUCCAAUUUUCAAGUUGUGGAUGAAUGUAGCUUGAAACUCUAGGUGAGAGUUCAGCUUAACAGUCCUUACUAAAACACUGGUAUAUAAACAGCAGUGAGAAAUAGGCAAAAUCUCUUAUGGACAUCUGAGAUCUGGUGGGGGAUUGAUGAAAUAAUGGACUUGGCCCAUUCCAAUUUCAAAAAUUCCAAAUAAAUCUCAAAGACCCAUGCGGGCAUGAGCAAGUGGUUGAGUGGUGCAAACCUUUAGUCCCACAUUGCUAGUGGAUGAGGAGGAUGGCCAACUUAAAUAUGGAGGUUGUCUCCACUCCUCCAAGCUAUCUGUGUGGGAAGAGAAGGAAAGCUCCGCACGCGCGCGCUCACCUCGCCACGCCACGCCACGCCUCGCCGGGCUGGGCAGGGCGGGGCGAAGGGCGCGAGCGUGCGGCACCUGCGUGAAUGGUCCGUCGAAAUCUGGCCCCGAGCCUUGCGGGGGCGCGAUUUCCUUUUGCCGUUUUAUUUUUUUGUUACUUGAUCUUUAAGUCAGCGAGAUAUAUGGAAGCCUAAUCGGUUUAGAUCACGAUCGCGACAUGAGAUCGUGGGCUUUCCUAUAUAUACGACCUAUCGGCCUCUAACGAAAAUACAUCUAAUCGAGCUAGAAUUUUUACCUCUUCUCGCUGCUGCGCCACCACCGUAAUCUACUUUAUCCCAAGCACCAGCGUGCACCGGUGAACAGGAGAGCAGGUCACCAGAACCUCUCGCUCUUGUGAUCCUGCACUGGGAGAUGGCGAAUAAGAAUUUUGGGAAGCGCUCCGCGCGACUGCUCAAGGUCUUCACCACGACUUGUCUUCCAUCCCAGUCCGGCGUUGCGGCGGCCCAUUGUCUUUGGCGUUGUCUGUUGUGCUCCGUCCGCAACACUGUCGUUGUUCCGUCAGCACCGCUUGCUAUCACGACUGCUAUGGUGGAACCGCUCAAACUAACUUAGCUAAAGCACAAUUAAGUCGCCUAACACACGAUCAUGCACUUUAAUCAAGUUAAUUCAACCGUCCGUCGGAUUCCAUCCGAUAAACCACUUCACAGGACUGAGAAAGCAUAGCUCACACGAAGGUGAGUGGUUCCAGAGAAUACAAUAGAUCAUCCAAAUUAACCAAGAGCAUUAAUUUAUUACAGCAUCUGGUUCGAAAUUCAAACAUAGUUUGCAGAGUUCUUAAGCAGUGGAAAUAAACAAAUGGAAGCUAACACCGAUGCCGGACGUCAUGAUGAGGCCGAUCAUGACAUCAAUGGUCCCAGUCCUCGCCGUCUGAGGAGGGAUCCCACUCGACCGUCCACCUAGGAGGAAGCUGGGGAGGCCAAGUGCCACUUGCAGCAAACUCAGGGGCGUCAACAUCACCUGAAAAGAUGUGCCACAACAAGGCUAAGCGACUACACUCAACAAGAUUUAACCGACCGGUGGUUCUAAUCCACCAACGCCUAGACAUGCAAACUCUUUAGCUAUGGGGUUUGUUUUGCCAAAAGCGACUAUAGUAGGUCCUUCAUUUUAAUAUUUUAGCCACAGGUUCUAAGUUCAUUUACUUGUCUAAGUUAGCAACUACACUAAACAAGCAUAAUUUCUCAGACAAUUAAUGACAGGCAUUAAUAUUGAAAUCAUCAUCAAGUCCGUUCUUACUCAGUGUAGCAUAGCGAUCAAGUAGUCCCAAUCUGUGAGAGGCAGACGAAUCGAUUCGAGUUUCUUAACCAUGCAUGGCGAACCUAAUCUCACAACAUCCAUGCACCAUAAAGGGUCGCUUCACUUGUCCGUUGUCCCCAUCAAUUCCCAGACCCGUGUCGGGCCCACUUCCCUUGGUACAAGACUCCAUAGACCCAGCCUCUACCGUCCUAUGACCGCUCUUGUCACCACAUGCGGCCGCAAGGGAACUCCAUUCCAGAGAUAGUGGAACGAACCGCUCACGUCCUGGUUCAAUCAGGUACUAGGCUUCCCCAUCUCAUACUAGGCAUGAGUUAGUACUUUCAAACACUUGAUCAUGAACACUAUCACAUCUCGACCUUAGCCCAAUUUCAUGUAGACAGACAGGGCAAUCCACUGACCACCAAAAUAGUUCACAGAGCCCUACCCCGUCCAUCAUCCUUAUAGUUGUAACAAAAAGGAGAGCAAACAACUCCUAUAACUCGCGAGUGACAGACGAUCACUCGACUUUUACCGAGACCUAUUAAGCAUUGCAACUACUUGGCCUAUCAUACUAGUGUUCAGAUCAAAGAGCACUAAUUCAUGCAUCUACGGUUUCAAGCAAUUCCUAAAAACGUAAAUGCACAAUCAAACAACCAAAUAUGUUGCAAGUAGUUAAAGAUAGGAAUUUAUGCUCCGGGGCUUGCCUUCAAGUGGGGAGGUAGCGAACUGGUCUUCGGUGUGCUCGGGCUCGGCUCCUGCAGGCGGCUCAGCUAUGGCUUCUUCCUCCGACGCCAGGUGAAGCUCGUAGGUUCCGUUUGCGAGGUUCAACUCUACACGAAAUGCAAUGCAUCAAGUUAAAUUCUCAACUUUUCAUGGAACGCAAACACAAAUUAGUGCUGAAGAAGAAGAAGUUAUAUAGGCCACAUUCACCUAAACAAGAUUCUGAACUUUCUUUAUUUACAUGAAGAAGGUGGGGUGUGGUAUAGGCCGGGGGUUUGUUUGAUAGAGAUUGUCUACAUAUAUGUAACAUCACUUUGUUAAGCUUUAGAUCGGAAAGUUAUCCUAUUCCUAAAUGUUCUUUUGUACCUCUUCCAAUAUAGCCUUUAUUACCUUAAGGUAGCUGGUAUUUAUCAAUUUUUGCGAAAAGGUAUCGUUUUCUAUGCAUUUGCCCUAUUUAUUCUUCUCUAAACAGGAAAGGGGUUCACCUAUGUAAUUCUGGUGGUUUCCAUAUUUUUCCCAUAAAUUGAGUUACAUCACCGAUUUAAAUCAGAAGGUUUCAUAUUUUUCUCAACUCCAGAUUAAUUGUUAUGCAAAAAGAUGGAAACACUCUUAGAUUUCCAUGGCAAAACUUGAACAGAUGACUUAACUUCUGAGCUGGGCUCUAAAACAUUUUUCCUAGCUUCUACUGCUUGAAACAAACAUAUAAGAGUUGGUUUCAUCUUUUUAUCAUCUUUCUAUGAUUUGUUAUGAUUUAAAUGGCUUAAUCAAGAAUUAAAACAUACCACAUUAAUUCCAACAGUGACAUAUGACAAAAGUAUUUUUAUUAAAAACUACUCUUUAUUCUAAGCCUAGCAAAAUUGGUUUGGCAUUUUUCUGAGUUUUCUACGAAUUUUGGUGAAUUUCCAAAGUUAAACACAAUUUCUGCCGAUUAAAUCAUUUAAACAGAGGUAAACUUGCGGACUAACCCCUAGGUCUAGGGUUUAAUCGCGUAAAGGUCCUAGGUUUUAACACUAAGGUCCCUGGUUCACCUUUCCCAAAAGCAAUUGGGUCCUCGGGCGCGCGGGCGGCGGCAGCGGGUAAAAUCCCGGCGAUGCGCCGGCGACCUUGGGACGGUGAGUGGCCGGGAGGGCUUAUGGGCUCACCUUGGUCCGGUUUGAAGUGGUUGGGGGUGAUGGGGAGGCUUGGCCGGGGCGAAACGGCGGAAGGCGGAAAGCUUCGGCUGGCGGCGAGGUCCGGCAGUGUUCCGACGGCGGUGGUGCUUCUCACGGGCAACAAGCAAGCUCUAGAGCUGCGCGAGAGGUUGGCGAAGCGGUUGGUGGUGUUGGCAAGGCGUGGGGUCGGACGGAAGGGGGAGCUCCAUGAAGAGGGUGUGCGGCAGAGUAGGGAGUGGAAACAGGGGAGGCACGGGGAGGUUCGGGCGAGCGGGGAAGGGGGCACCGGCGGCGCUGGGCUCCCCUUUUAUAGGGCUAGGGCGAAGCGGUGAACGAGGCGGGGUUGUGGCUCUGGCGGGCAGAAUCGGAGGGAAUCCGGGGCGCUGCUACGGCCAUUAAUGGUGGUGGCGCCAUUGGUGGACAGGGGAGAGGGAAGGAGCACGACAGGCGAGGGCGCUGGAGGCGAGGUGGCAGGCACAGGUGGAGCGGGCGUGCGCGGGAGUGAAGGCUUUGUCAAGGUGGCGGGUUGGCGAGGCUAGGCCCGAAGCGUCGCGGCCGGGGUGGCAGUUGGCGGAGGCGGUGGCACACUGGCAGGCGGGUGCGGGGGCGCGUGCUCGACAGCGGCGGGGGUCUUGAUGGGAGGGUUGGGAGGCGUUGGGGCGCGGCUGAAGAUCCUUGUGGGCGGAUUGCACGUGGGAGGCGAGGUGGCACCGGCGCGGCAGCGACCGGUCUUCGGUCGCGGAGUAGCUGGGGCGACGGCGGAGCCGCGGGCAGCGCGCCUGGCGCAGCCGGCGAGGCCUCGGGCAGGCGAGACGGGACGGAGCGGAGGGGCUACAUUUCAUCAUCAUGCGCGACUGGGGAGCGAGGCGCGUCGACCCAUCUUGUUGCGACCGACGACUGGGCGAGGCGGCGCUUGCCGGUGAGGCCGCGCCACGCGGCGGCGGCGCUCUGGAGUGCGACACACGCGCGCUCGGGCGCGCUCUGACCAAUGGAUUCGCGGGAUCUUUUGCUGGGCCUGUCUUGGAGCAUCUGGAUCUCCCGAUUCUCAAAAACAUUGGUAUAGAGCUCGGCUCCAGUUCAUACUAGAAAUUUCAAAAUAGAGAGCCCCAAAGUUGGGACCUUGCCUGUUUUAAAACAAAACAAUAUUUCGGAUUUUUGAAGCUCUUCUGCUCAGAUUCAAGCAAAACACCAAAAAUAAAAAGUUGUUAGGAAGGUUGAUUUCUACAACUCUUAGUUGGACAGAUUUUUAAGUUCUUAAGCAAAAAAUGGAGUUACGGUUUGGGCAGCGUUUUAACCUUGUGAGGGCAAAAGGGUACAUUCAUUUGCCUUAUUGUUGCCAAAGUUCUUCUUUAAGCACUAAUGACUUUUUUUAAGAUCAAAACAUAGCUUAAUUAAUCUAGGUUGUUACAGCUGCAUCCGCAAAGUACGUACGUCGUGAUCCGAUCUGUGAUUUCAGCAUGUUUUCUAAGAUAAUGAAGUUGUGCUUGCUGUUGCCUAAUAUGUUAGAGAAUUGCAUGCUAGAUUUUAUUCUUGUUAUGACAAAUCUAGUUCGAAAAUUAAUCAUGCAGUUGUCUAAUUUCCAACACCGAGCACGCUUGGCAAUGAACUUGACAAAUUAGAACUCGCUUUGCUCCCCUUGAAAUUUAUGGAUGAUAAUUUGUUGACGUGUGACUUCACGUACUUGAUAGGGUCAACCUCCUGCCAGAACUUGUCAUGGUGACUGCCAGUGGCUUCACCAUCUCUAGAAGACUGCAAAAUCAGUGAGGAAUUCAGUCAGUGAUGAACUGUGGCCAAUUUUUUUUUCCAAACUAUGAAGGAAACUGGGUGAAUGUGAUUAGCAAAUGACAACUGAAUGAGUGAGUGGAAUGCUACCACAAUGUGCAGUGUCUCAACGUUGGGAAAGCAUCGGAGGAAGCUGGUUAGCAUAUUGACAUCUUUGGAAACACCAAAAUUGAGCUCUAAAGCCAAGAUCUUGACACUUGGGACAAUGCAACUUGGGCUCACUUUUGUCCGAGCCUGCAAUGAAACAUAGAAUGUUCACGGACCAGUGAGAUGGGCAGAUCAAACUUCCUUACUGAGAAAUAGAUGAAAGGUACUACUAGUACAUUGAUGAUGGUGUUUCUAAUCUGCAGUUGGUGAAGUCUUGGAUCUAAGCGACCAAGCACACGCAGAUCAGGUGCACCAUCAAUCUUGAGUACCAUACGCUUACAAUCACCAACCACUCGCCAGAGGACGAGCCGCUCCAGAUGCGGGGCAUCCACCACAGCAAGCUCCUCUACCACUGUACCACACCCGCCCAGAGGAGCAUGCCCUUGAGGCUUUGGCUGCGGAGGUGGAUGCACUUGGCCAUUCUGCUGAUGAUGUGCGCGAGGGUCUCUAGCUCGGAGAAAUUUUGAUAUUUGACGCUCAAUUCACGCGCUUUACCGGAUUUGACAUCCAAUUCGUAUGCCUUUCAAUAUUUGACACUCCGCACGCGAAUUAUUUUGAUUCAAGGGUUUCUCUUCCUCUUUUCUCAAUUUCCAUCUUUUCUUUUUGUUUUCUCUCACCAGGCCUAGUGAACGGAUAAUAAUAUCUCUGUUCUUAACGCUUUGCAAGAACCAAAACGUAAAAGCAGAGUACGUCUUCACUGGUUCUUCCUCCGGCUUUUCUUCCCCAACAUCACAAAUUCAAUCAUGGAGCUCACCCAUCGAACCGGAGAAUCUCAACCAUGGAAUGGAACUAGAGAAAGAUGCAAUAGAAUGAGGGAAGGGAAAUGAGUCUGAUUUCGUGUUUUUUUAGCCGGAUGGGGAGCGCUGGCGGUAUCCGAGAACGUGCAAGUUGCAAGGAAGAGUCGGCGGAGUGAGGUGCAUCGGAGGUUGUCGGCGGGGAGUCGACGGAAUGAGGCGCAUUGGAGGAUGUUGGCGGAGCACCACGGCAAAGGUGGAUUGUCGAGGAAGAUGAGAUCCUGGAUGCCCUUGUCGGCGAGGAGGUGCACUAAAUCGCCAAGCUCGCGCUCACAGGAUGUAAGGGAGUAGUGGGAGAGGUUGACAUUGCGGAAGGGACCCAGGUGGUCGGUGAGGAUCCGACCGAUUGCUGCAUCGUCGGAUGCCAAGAGGACGAGUGGGGCGGCAUGCUAGCAUCCGUGCUAGUAGGGGGCGAGCGCGGCGGUGUGCGUGGCAUCGUGGACGAGGAGGCGGGAGAUGACAUUGAGUAGGAGCUCGUCUAGGAGGGCGCUGAUGUGGUCCACGCUGUCGGUGGCUGAGGUCUCGGCUGCAGUGGAGGAGAGGGAGGGGGCUACGGGGUGGUUGUGAGCGCCAAGAGAAUGGGCGUUCCCCGAGGAAGGCGCUUACAAGUGGGAGCUGCCUGCAGAAGGGAGUCACCACCGUGCCAAGCCAAGAAUGUUGGGCCAAAAGAUACAUAGCCUAGGAAGGGCCUAAAAAAUACCACUUCCAUGCCGUGGGGGCCUACUGAGGACCCCACACAGUGUUGUAAAAUGCGGCCAGAGGGACCUCCCGGGAAGCUUCUCGGGAGGGUUUGCUUCCAGGGUAAGCAGACGAUGACAUCUCCUGGCAUGGCAUUCGAGGUGGACUGUCAGCAGGCACACCGUCCCCGUAAAAAUACCAUCAUUACAGUUGACACGACGUGUGUGGAGGCCUCGGGGACUGGUGGCCGCACCCGUUCCAUCCAACAGGCGGCGAACGCCAUCCUCAUGUCAGGAGCCCUCACCUGGCUCCUAGCCACCCUCUGCUAGAAGGGUGGGCCUGCCGCCCAGACCUGGGAGGCUACAAAAGCCACCCGGGGACUUCGUCGGGAGGUGGGGGGCCCGGGAAGCGGCAAAAGAUUACCAGGAAGGAUCCCGAAAUCCAAGAUCAUCACCUCUUGUCCCGAGGUGGUGGGCUCGGACUUGAAGAAGUAAUCAUUACUAAAGUAAGAUGGUAAAAUAUGAAGAUUACCAUAAAGAGGACUUGGACGAGGAGCUCCGGCACCAACCAUACCAAGGCAAGGAAGCAUCAGGGCAAGAGGACGGUGUGUCAGAAGAGCUGUAGCAAGGAGGGAGGCCACUGGGCCGCCGUGUUCACACGCAUACAGUGUAAAGGGAUAGGUUGGGAUGCAAGGCUCGCCUCUAACCAGUCUCCCCAGACUUGGCCUAUAAAAGGCUGGUUCUUGUACCAAGCGAGAAACAAGGGAAAAGAAGUUGAAACAACUAAAGCAACACAACACACAUGACGUAGGAUAUUACACUUUCGAGCAGCCUGAACCUGUCUAAAAACUCUCUUAGCCAAAUCACACACUAACUCCCCUAACCUCCUCUCAAAUCCCUAUGCACGAACUAACCCCAGGCUGGAUCUCAAAAAGGGGGUCCUAUCAGAUCCCCGCUCCCGGUGCUCGACCACCGUCAGCUGGCGUGCCAAGUAGGGGGAUGGUGGUGUGUUGAGAUUUGAAGCUUCCUAUCCGCGCAGAGGCAAUGGGAGCUAUUUCAAUCAUCGCUAGGCUCACCACAAUGAGUCAGACAAUGAGGCCAGCGGGCGACGGCGUCUCAUUUGGCGACGCCCGUCUCUGCUCCGCGGUGGCCGGAUGUUGCGGCUUCAGCGCUGCCAUGCAUCAACACUCCCAAUCGGUCUCCGUUGUCCCAGGCACCUCUGCCUCCCAGGGUCUUUGAGAAAUGGCUCCCACAACCCACUGCUACGGUAGCCGACCAUAGCGAAGGGGAAGCAUCACUACCGUGCGAGAGGACCCAGGCCUUGCCACAAGAGGGAAGCCCUGUGCUCCCUGGGACCAUCGUGGAUGGACGACAUCCGUGGCUUCCUGAAAGAAAACAUCCUUCCCGAGGAUGAUGCCACCGCAAAGAGGAUUGAACAACAGUGCAAAUGCUACAUCAUGAUAGAUGGGGAUCUAUAUCGACACGGCACAGACGGGGUCCUCUUGAGAUGUAUAUCUCGGGAAGAGGGCGGCGAGCACCUCGCUGAGGUCCACGAAGGCAAGUGCGAGAGUCACCCCACCUCCCGCAUGCUGGUCAAGAAGGCUUUUCGGUAGGGUUUUACUAGCCAACAGCCCUCGAGGAUGCAACUAAACUGGUUAAGCACUACAAGGCAUGUGAAUUCCACGCAAAGCAGAUUCAUCAACCACCACAGGCACUCAACACCAUCCCUCUUUCAUGGCCAUUUGCGGUCCGGGGGCUUGACAUUUUGCGACCAGCCUUGUCAUCUCUGAGUUCAGCAGUGGAUCAUCAAUCAACUGGAUGUCCUCUAGAGUGAUCUUGCUAGCUUUUCCAAUAUCGGCAUCCACGCUUGCAUGAGGAACCAUGGCAAGAUCAGUGUUCGUCCCAGGUUCAGAAGAUGAAUUCAUGGUCGUGAUCCCCUGGGUUAUCACCAUUCUGACUUCUAUCUCUAGCUCGGGGGCUACAUUUGCAGCCACGGUGCUAGAGGUAGUCGCUAUUUCACCCCCAAUCGGCUGCGCGGAGGCUGUAGAAGUAGCCGCCAUGUCCACGGUAGCCUCCGUCUCCUCGGGUACUUGUUGCUCGGGGGCUAGCACCACGACAUUAGUCAAAGAUGAUAUUACUUUCUGCAUCAACGCUACUACAAAAGACACAACACCUGGACUACUUGUCGUCGUGGGUUGAUUUUCCGGCUGUGGACUUGCUUGGGCCGGGGCAACGUCCUGGACUGACAGGCUAUUGCCAUCGGUCGUGGGCCUAGAGCUAGGUCCUCCAAGGUCCAGAUGAGAGGAUUUCCUGCACAAGAUAAAACCUUAGCAACAAAAAGUUACAAUAAGUACUCGAAAGGAGAGGAAAGAUUACUUUGACGAUAUCCUCAACUUCAAUGUGGGUUCGCUAAACAAUCGCAAUGGCUUGACAGAUGAAGAUGGCGCUUUCAGUGGGGCCUGCACGUCCACAAGAGGAUCUUGACCAGCCUUGAGCUUCGCCUCGGCUGCUCGAGUUGUCUUUGCGACAUUGAGGUUUAUCACUUGUGGAUCAUCCUGAACUACAUCUUGAGGCUCUAGAUCAUCCUCAUUCUCAAUCAGCUCCUCGGUGAUUGGCACCUUGCUUUGAGCAGUCACAGCAUCCGCCUUCUCUCCUUUGGUCGCCUCUUCGAGUACCUACAAACCACCAGUGUCAUCCUGAGUAGACACGAUUGGUGAUACUGGAAACACCUUUCGGGAGUACACGAUACUUAGGAGCUUGUCCUUCCUCAUAAGUAAUUACCGUGGGAGGCACAUCUUCCGCAGGUACAGACUUAUUCACGACCCAUUCUGCAAUAACAGAUCGCUUCUUCUUUAGCGGUGGAGGAAUGGUGUUUUAUACCCGGCAACCUACCGAGGGGUAUUCCGAGGUAGUAGAUUGGUUGGUGGGGGAUCACCAGACCUGGAACUCGAAGGUAAAAGCAAGGACACAAGACUCAGAUUUAUACAGUUUCGAGCCGCCAGAGUAGCAUAAUACCCUACGUCCUAUUUGUGGUGUUGUAUAUUGCACCCUGCGCUUGGGUGUUGUUUUGCCUUGGUUCAGGCUUGAGGAUUUGUUCCUCUGUUGUGGUUCUAUGAUGUCUUCACCUACCGAUCUAGAGACCCCUGCCCUCCUUUAUAUACUCCAGGGGGCAGGCUUACUAGGUGGUUACAAGGUAGGAGUCCUAGUACGAUUACAAGGUAUGAGUCCUAGUAGGAUUACAGGGAAAUCCUUAGUAGGAGUUCGUCUUCUUCCUUCCUUAUGAGUACCGGGGAUCUAUCCCCGACAGAGGAAUCACAGCUCCAAGCUCAUUAGCAGCCAAGCGUUUCCUUCUUCCAGAGGAAGACCCAGCCUUAGCAGAUGGCUGAGCCUUGACUUCAUCUGUGGCGUCAGAACUAGUGCCGCUGGAGGACUCGACUACCUACUACUCCUAGUCAUCUCCUAUCAUGACUUCCCGCAUAAACACACGAGGAGCAGCUUCACAGGAUACUUCGGAUCUAGGAGGAGGAGGAGCAGAGAAAUACAAAUCAACAUCUUCCUACAAAGAAAGAUAAGUUAGCAAACCCAACAACUUCAAAUAAAGUACUCGGGGGCUACGGCCACGGGUACUUACAGGCUUUGGUGGGUUGGCGGCACUGAAUUCCUGCACAAUAGUGGUGAUCUCACCCAUAUUUUUUAACAUCCAUUUGAGCCACACCAUGACUUCAUCAGUGCUAGUCUCUUCUGGAGAGAAUCUAGAGGGAUCAGCUAGGCUGGUGUACUGAUAGCCAUAGUGGCACCUUUGCUGCCGGGGCUGGAUGUGUCACUUCAUAAAGCUGAACACCACUCCAAUUCUAGUAAGGCCCUCUUGUUUCAACUGCGCUAUUCGACCCAUUAGAUCGGGUAGUUGGAGGCAAUCUCCAUAUUUUGGUUCAUCAAGCCAGUGGUUGUUCCAUGAGGGGUGAUGCCCUGUCAUCUUGGGUAGUUUCAGAUCAUGGUUGCCAAUGUAGCACCACUUUUCCUUCCACCCGGCAUUGGAGUCUAUCAACUCGUAAUCUAGGUGCUGGCCGCUUGCUGUCUCCCGUAUCUGGAUAUCGGCGCCUCCAACCAAGAGAGUAUGAUCCUUUGAGGGUUGUGGCUUCACACGAAAAAACUUUCAGAAUAAUUCAAAGUGCGACUUGAUCCCCAGAAAGGCUUCGUAAAAAUGAACAAAGAUUGAAUUAUGGAGGAUCCCAUUGGGGUUCAGAUGCACCAGCUCAAUUUAUAAUAAUGCAGUAAACCUGAGAAGAAAUCUGAAGAUGACAAUGCAAAGCCUCACUCAAUGAAGUGGGUAAAAGUUACCAUCUCACUGGGGUAGGCCUCCAAAGGGCAGGCGUUGCCAUAUGCAGAUCGCCAGUUGAUGAAGUCCUGAUCUUGGAGUAAAUUGGUAGCUAUGAGCGUCUUCAUAUCCUCCUCCUUCAGAGUUGACCACUUCCAAGCUCAGACGGGAUAUGGUGGCACGGUUUGAUCAGUUUUUUCGUACUUGGGCACGGGCAACUGUGGCUCUUUCUUCUUGUCAUAUGUUUUCUUCUUCUCACCUUCGCCUGAUUUGGUCGCAGCAGCUUUCCCACCCCUCCUUGAUGUCACGAGCUUCUUCUAUCACAUACGCUCGGGGGCUGCUUGGUGGGGGGACAGCGGCGCUAGUGUUCGGAGAUCGAACAGUGGCAGUGGCGCUAGGGCUCAAAUGUGGAAGUUGGAAAGGCAAAUGGCAAGGGUAACACAGAAGGGAUAACUUCCUCCGUUAUUUAUCACAACGGCUUGGUAACAACGGCGCAAAUGAAGGGAUUUUGAUUUAAAGGAUCCCUAGAAUUUUGGACUCUUGAUUGGCAGUUACCUUUAUUUCAGGAGGAGAUAAGAUCUCUUUCCAGAGAUGGUCACGUUGAUCAAAGUUUGACCCUUAUACCCACCAAACUACUUGGCUAAAGGCUCAGGGGCUAUGUGCCACGUGUCCAUCGACAGAAAGUUUUUUUUUUGGGGUUUUAAGAAGAAAGUGAUGCGAAUUACAGAUUGACCCUCAGCCUGAUUCUUCGAUUCAACCUAAGGCUCGGGGACUACAUCAUUUGGAGUGCGACUUUUGUCGCACUUCUAUAUAAAAUUCAAAAUUGAAGGAUAUGAGACUGAGUUAAAUGAGGCUUGAGCAUAUUCUAGCCGCAUGGUAGUUUUUGUACCUUUGAAGACUCAACCAGAUGAAAUACUUGAAGAGCACUAAAACUAGUCGGUGAAGUCUACAAAAGUACUCAAAACUGUUGCGUUCGAGUAAAAAGUACUCGGGGGCUGGUCAUACAUACAUCUAUGAGCCUACCAGAAGGUUUGAACAGUCCUAAAUAUGCGGCUAAACACCCAGACACAUCUGACAUGGAGACCAUGGCACAGGACGGUGUAGUUUACAUGGAAAGAUAUGAACUAGUCAAGGAUUUGGAAAGUACUCAUUGUAAUAAGAGUAAAACUCUUCUAGUCGUAUCCAACUAGUAUUCUUGUAACCAACCGACCUGUAACCCUACCCCCAGCAAUAUAAGGCGAGGCAAGGACCCCCUCCAAAGCAAUUCCAUCCAACCAACACACGGGGUGUAGGGUAUUGCGCAAUCUAGCGGCCCGAACCUGACUAAAUCAUGUGUCUACAUUUACCUUUGAGUUCCUGAUCUCGACGAGCCCCACUAACCUAUUGAAGCAAAAAAUCGGAUAGUGAUCCCGACUCCUGCGUCGAGCACACGACCCGAGAGAAUCUGCUUAACUCCUGUUCGGGUUAUCGCCCUGGUGCGUUUCGCACGGCGUGCCAGUCAAUUUGACCUAUUGAAUGACAAGGAAGAAAAGAUAUCAAAUUCCGAAGAUUUGAUCGGCUGAAGUUCCGAUCUACUCCAAAAGAUGUAUCAGCGGAUUGGCCAAUUUAGUAUAAGGAUGACCGGCUAUGAAACAGCCGAUAAUCACGUAGCAAAUGUAAGAAAAACUACUAGAGUAACCUAAACAAUGAUACAGAGACAACACCUGAGAUAGAUCUAAUCGGAUGUAUGAUGAUAAAAAAAGUGUAUUAAUAUAGCCGACAGUUCGUACCUCAAGCUGGAUAACUGGUGAUAAGAAAUAAAAUAACAGGCAAAACCUAUAAUUCUAGCAAAUAUCGAUAACUGGUAAAUAAAUCUAAAUGAAACAACAGUGAUGCGCCCAAAGUUAAAGCUUAGAUAUUAUUCAAAACGCGGAACUUACAAAUUGGUCGGAGAUCAUGUUGAUGCAGCCCUGCCAACUCGCACGAACUCGUGAAAAGAAAAGGAUUUGACGAAGUCACCGACUUGAAAGUAAAGUUGCGUGAAAAAGUAGAUUUUGUAUUGAUGUUUGUUGAUUAUUUUGCAAGCUUCACGAGGCACCUAUUUAUACCCUGUUACAACUUGUUUCCUAACCGACUACGACUCAACAUUCUAUUUCUUAUUCAAAGCAGCAAAUAUUUACAUACGGAUACAACCCGCAUCGGAGUCGAACACCAUCCAAUCCUCUAUGCGCCAACCCUGUUUUCUUGUUACCACCUUGGCCCAUUCAGGCCCAUAUCGGCCGAGCUAUUCUGGCUUCCAAUCGGCUAGUCCCCAUCGAUCUCAUCGGCUAAUCGGAUGAAACACUGUAGCUUUAUCGGUCGAUUUCUCUAUCCAUAGCCUCUUGUCUAACCGCAUCGGCCACUUUCUUCUCUUGACUUCGACCCUGAAACGUGUCAAAAACUGGCGUCAACACAUGCCCCCCAGUUUCGAAGUGAAACAUAUCUUUUGCUCCGAAAUUUUCUCAAGUCCAAUUCCUUCCUCCGAAGAGACGCAACAAUAAAUGUAGCAAAACCCUCUUUGCUCCCAAAAUCUUCUCCUUGAUGAUUGCAUUUUUUCGAAAAGAGAGCCCGCAGGCAACCGCUCUUUUCGAAAUUAGCGCAGACGUCAUGGUAAAAAUUCCGUAUUUACCCUUUUCUUGAGCCAUCCCACAGAUACUCAUCUCUUUCGCCGCUUCUUCUUCCUCCGGGCGAAAAGGGUUUCCUUUCCGGCGAAUCAUCUCCCGGCGCAUCCCAGCGACAUUGCUCGUGCCGCCUCUAGGCACAUCCCAGUGCACUCCGGUGACUUGCUCACGUCCUCCACCAACCGCACCGGCUUCCAGGUUCCAAUGGCAGCACCCACAGCUACCAUGGCCUUCGUUCCUGAGGUAAGUCUUCUAGGCUUUCCUCAUCUUUUCGUGAUUUUGGAUCUGUUCUUAGUCUUUCUUCACAUUUGCUCAGGAACUCAGGUAGAGAAUCACCAUCCCCAUGGCCGACACCCCUGGAUUCAUCGGCCUUGGCCCUAUGGGAGAUCCUGACCCAACCAAUCUGAUUAGCCUAGAAACUCACAGGAUCCCUUUUAAGCAAUCAACCAUCGAAUUAGACAAUUGGGCGAACACCUUCAAGUCUUGGCUGAAUCAAACCCUCGAAUGGAGAGAUUGGUUUUUCAGAAUGUCAAAUUCCAACAGAGUCUUUUGGGAUGAGCAAAAAAUCGACCAUUGCAUAAAUCUAUCUCUAUCUCAUAUGGAGAAGAAUGAAUCUCUGCUCAUCACGGCAUCUUACUUCUGGUCCGACGCUCUCAAUGCGUUUCUUUUUCAGCCAUGGACCAAUGACUCCAACCUUGGCCGAUGUCUUGAUGCUGAAUGGCCCAGAUGUUUCCUCUGCUGAUUCACCUUUUGAUUUCUUAAUCAAACCUACCCAUUGGCUGGAGACGAAAGCAAUCGGCGGAUGGAAAGGUUUUAUUAAGAAGAACAUGAGGACCAGACCCAUUACGGAAAAGGAGCACACUGCCUUCUUGAUCAUGUGGCUGGAAAAAUAUGUCUUCUGUGGCAAAUUGGUCGGUCCUACUUCCAACACACAGGCUUUGGCCGAAGCACUAGUCAGAGGUGCCGCAGUCCCUUUGGGAAAGCACCUGCUAGGGGCAGUGUAUUACAUGUUGCAUCAUGUCACCAUGAAGCUAUCAUCUGGAGAACCCAUCGGGAAUCCUGGUGGUCCUUGGUGGUUUGUCAAUCUCUGGCUCAAAUUAUACAUGAGUGAAAUCUUCAAGGAGCGGAUUGAGACCAAGACUUUCCCCAAUGUUGAGUCAGAGACUGACCCAUUGGCAAGACGCCGAUGUACUUCCUUUGGCGAAGCUGUGUCCUCUUUCCCAGGCGGCAAACUCGCCCCCUCAAGAAUAGUCGAGCAUUUCAGAUGCUUUUAUAACGGCUUUAGAGAAGCAGUGACGAAACUAGUAUCCAUAUUAGAGAGAGAACCCAAAUUUCGAGAAUCCUAACUGCUUUGACUCGGUUGCCAACACCUUUGACGAGGGAAUCGUGGACACCCUGAUCAAACCUGGGAUUCUACCGGCAAAUUUCUUCUCAGGCAAGGACCCUCCAACAUAUGAGUUCUAUAAUAUGUCGGUAGCAGCUCGGUAAUUCGGCUUGGGACAGAUGCCAAUCGGAGUUCACUUCGUCGGCCGAGUGAAAUUUUGAGAACUGGUUUCAAAAGGACUGGAAUACAACAGAUUAUGUAAUCUGGCACCGGAUUCUGACACUAUUGACCUGAGCGUUUGGCUGGUGGUCCCCUUCUCUACAUAGCAAUUCAAAUUGUGGUGGGCCGAGUGGAAAUAGUACCUUUUCUACGUGGCCCCUACAGUGUACUGCAAUCAACUGGACCCUGCUCAUGCUGAACCAAAUGUAGAGGUAACAAUGCUUUUUCUGCCGAUUCCUUACUUUUUAUUCUUACAUGCCACGGAACUUUUCCAUCGUUGUCCUUUUUUCUCUGCGCAGGUCGAUAGCCAAGUGCCUCCAACACACAGUCGGAGCGGCAGACUGAUAGAGACCCGUCAUCCGUACACACCGUACCCUCUCAUCGGCUAUCACGCCCCAUCAAUGGAAGACGUAGCCACCGGCCGCCAUAAGCUCAAAAUGUCUACCACAAAGAAGACGAGUCACAGGGUGCGAGCUCGCACUGAAUCGACGACAACUUGGACAACCUACCAAUCGGCAGCAACAUCGGCUGAGCUUUGAAGACUCACGUUGAUCAAAGGUUGACCAAUAUACCCACCAAACUAGUCGGUAAAAGGCUUGGGACCUGUGUGCCACGUGUCCAUCGGUAAAAAAGUUUUUUCUCUGGGCUUAAAAAGGAAAAUGAUGCAAAUUACAAGUUGACCCUUAACCUGAUUCUUCGAUUCAACCUAAGGAUUGGGGGCUACUCCAUAUGGAGUGUGACUUUCGUCACACUUCCAUAUAAAAAUUCAAGAUUGAAGGAUUCAAAACCAAGUUAAAUGAGGCUUGAGCAUAUUCUAGCCGCAUGGCAGUGCUCGCGUACCUUUGAAGACUUAACCCGAUGAAGUGCUCGAAGAACACCAAAACUAGUCGGUGAAGCCUACAAAAGUACUUGGAACUGCUGCAUUUGACUAAAAAGUAUUCGGAGGCUUGUCAUACAUACAACAAUGGGCCAACCAAAAGGUUUGGACAGUCUCAAAUAUAGAGCUGGACAUCGAGAUGUAUCUAACAUGGAUACUAUGGCGCAGGACGACGUAGUCUACGUCGCAAGAUAGGAACUAGUCAAGGAUUAGGAAAAGUACUCGUACCAAUCAGAGUAGGACUCGUCUAGUCGAAUCUGACUAGUAUUCUUGUAAACAACCGACCUGUAGCUGUAACGCCCGUAAAAAUCUACCCAAAAUAAAUCACUCGUUAAAAAUGCUUUCCAAAAAUUUUCCGUCUGCUGAGCUCCAUCAAAUCUUUUCCCUUCCAUCGGACCCGUCAUUCCAGCCCCGACUCGUCAACCCUCUUUUUCCGUCCCCGUAAUUUUCACCGCGUGCCCGUCAAGUCCAUCACGCGUGCCGUCGAAUCCCGCAAUUUUCGCCACCUUUCCCUCCCCUUUAUCCUCCUCUUUUUCCUUUCCUUUCCUCUUUUUUUUCCCUCUCUCUCUCUCCUUCUCCCUCCUACUGCCGCGCACCUUUCUCUGGCGUUUGGCUCCGGGCCGCCUGCCGCCAGACGCCGCGCACGCGCGCCGGGCCGCGCGCUGCGCCGGGUCGCGCUCGCCCGCGCCGCGCGCCUGGCCGUGCUCGCCCGCGCCGCUCGCUCACCCGCGCCGCCUCCUACCACGCCGGUCCCACGCCACGGGUGCCUGCUCGCCCACGCGCGCGCCCGAGCGGGGUCAACCGCGCCGCGCCACCCGCUCCGCGCCAAGCCGCCAUCCCGUCGCCGCUCCUGUGGCCAUCCCGCCCGCCGGUCACCGAACGCCGCCCUCUCCCAGCGCACCUCCCCACACCGGUCGCCGCCCCUGCUCCCUCCCCUCGUCGACCGAGCCCACGCCAUCCACGAGCUCCGCUAACUCCGGGCACGCCACCGGCCGGAAGGACCGAUUGCCAUCCUUGCCGGCCGCACACCGCCCCCUCCCGUCGCCUAUAAAAGGGGGGGCAAGGCCGGGCGUCCUCAUCUCCACAACGUAACAACCUCAGCCCGAGCGNNNNNNNNNNNNNNNNNNNNNNNNNNNNNNNNNNNNNNNNNNNNNNNNNNNNNNNNNNNNNNNNNNNNNNNNNNNNNNNNNNNNNNNNNNNNNNNNNNNNNNNNNNNNNNNNNNNNNNNNNNNNNNNNNNNNNNNNNNNNNNNNNNNNNNNNNNNNNNNNNNNNNNNNNNNNNNNNNNNNNNNNNNNNNNNNNNNNNNNNNNNNNNNNNNNNNNNNNNNNNNNNNNNNNNNNNNNNNNNNNNNNNNNNNNNNNNNNNNNNNNNNNNNNNNNNNNNNNNNNNNNNNNNNNNNNNNNNNNNNNNNNNNNNNNNNNNNNNNNNNNNNNNNNNNNNNNNNNNNNNNNNNNNNNNNNNNNNNNNNNNNNNNNNNNNNNNNNNNNNNNNNNNNNNNNNNNNNNNNNNNNNNNNNNNNNNNNNNNNNNNNNNNNNNNNNNNNNNNNNNNNNNNNNNNNNNNNNNNNNNNNNNNNNNNNNNNNNNNNNNNNNNNNNNNNNNNNNNNNNNNNNNNNNNNNNNNNNNNNNNNNNNNNNNNNNNNNNNNNNNNNNNNNNNNNNNNNNNNNNNNNNNNNNNNNNNNNNNNNNNNNNNNNNNNNNNNNNNNNNNNNNNNNNNNNNNNNNNNNNNNNNNNNNNNNNNNNNNNNNNNNNNNNNNNNNNNNNNNNNNNNNNNNNNNNNNNNNNNNNNNNNNNNNNNNNNNNNNNNNNNNNNNNNNNNNNNNNNNNNNNNNNNNNNNNNNNNNNNNNNNNNNNNNNNNNNNNNNNNNNNNNNNNNNNNNNNNNNNNNNNNNNNNNNNNNNNNNNNNNNNNNNNNNNNNNNNNNNNNNNNNNNNNNNNNNNNNNNNNNNNNNNNNNNNNNNNNNNNNNNNNNNNNNNNNNNNNNNNNNNNNNNNNNNNNNNNNNNNNNNNNNNNNNNNNNNNNNNNNNNNNNNNNNNNNNNNNNNNNNNNNNNNNNNNNNNNNNNNNNNNNNNNNNNNNNNNNNNNNNNNNNNNNNNNNNNNNNNNNNNNNNNNNNNNNNNNNNNNNNNNNNNNNNNNNNNNNNNNNNNNNNNNNNNNNNNNNNNNNNNNNNNNNNNNNNNNNNNNNNNNNNNNNNNNNNNNNNNNNNNNNNNNNNNNNNNNNNNNNNNNNNNNNNNNNNNNNNNNNNNNNNNNNNNNNNNNNNNNNNNNNNNNNNNNNNNNNNNNNNNNNNNNNNNNNNNNNNNNNNNNNNNNNNNNNNNNNNNNNNNNNNNNNNNNNNNNNNNNNNNNNNNNNNNNNNNNNNNNNNNNNNNNNNNNNNNNNNNNNNNNNNNNNNNNNNNNNNNNNNNNNNNNNNNNNNNNNNNNNNNNNNNNNNNNNNNNNNNNNNNNNNNNNNNNNNNNNNNNNNNNNNNNNNNNNNNNNNNNNNNNNNNNNNNNNNNNNNNNNNNNNNNNNNNNNNNNNNNNNNNNNNNNNNNNNNNNNNNNNNNNNNNNNNNNNNNNNNNNNNNNNNNNNNNNNNNNNNNNNNNNNNNNNNNNNNNNNNNNNNNNNNNNNNNNNNNNNNNNNNNNNNNNNNNNNNNNNNNNNNNNNNNNNNNNNNNNNNNNNNNNNNNNNNNNNNNNNNNNNNNNNNNNNNNNNNNNNNNNNNNNNNNNNNNNNNNNNNNNNNNNNNNNNNNNNNNNNNNNNNNNNNNNNNNNNNNNNNNNNNNNNNNNNNNNNNNNNNNNNNNNNNNNNNNNNNNNNNNNNNNNNNNNNNNNNNNNNNNNNNNNNNNNNNNNNNNNNNNNNNNNNNNNNNNNNNNNNNNNNNNNNNNNNNNNNNNNNNNNNNNNNNNNNNNNNNNNNNNNNNNNNNNNNNNNNNNNNNNNNNNNNNNNNNNNNNNNNNNNNNNNNNNNNNNNNNNNNNNNNNNNNNNNNNNNNNNNNNNNNNNNNNNNNNNNNNNNNNNNNNNNNNNNNNNNNNNNNNNNNNNNNNNNNNNNNNNNNNNNNNNNNNNNNNNNNNNNNNNNNNNNNNNNNNNNNNNNNNNNNNNNNNNNNNNNNNNNNNNNNNNNNNNNNNNNNNNNNNNNNNNNNNNNNNNNNNNNNNNNNNNNNNNNNNNNNNNNNNNNNNNNNNNNNNNNNNNNNNNNNNNNNNNNNNNNNNNNNNNNNNNNNNNNNNNNNNNNNNNNNNNNNNNNNNNNNNNNNNNNNNNNNNNNNNNNNNNNNNNNNNNNNNNNNNNNNNNNNNNNNNNNNNNNNNNNNNNNNNNNNNNNNNNNNNNNNNNNNNNNNNNNNNNNNNNNNNNNNNNNNNNNNNNNNNNNNNNNNNNNNNNNNNNNNNNNNNNNNNNNNNNNNNNNNNNNNNNNNNNNNNNNNNNNNNNNNNNNNNNNNNNNNNNNNNNNNNNNNNNNNNNNNNNNNNNNNNNNNNNNNNNNNNNNNNNNNNNNNNNNNNNNNNNNNNNNNNNNNNNNNNNNNNNNNNNNNNNNNNNNNNNNNNNNNNNNNNNNNNNNNNNNNNNNNNNNNNNNNNNNNNNNNNNNNNNNNNNNNNNNNNNNNNNNNNNNNNNNNNNNNNNNNNNNNNNNNNNNNNNNNNNNNNNNNNNNNNNNNNNNNNNNNNNNNNNNNNNNNNNNNNNNNNNNNNNNNNNNNNNNNNNNNNNNNNNNNNNNNNNNNNNNNNNNNNNNNNNNNNNNNNNNNNNNNNNNNNNNNNNNNNNNNNNNNNNNNNNNNNNNNNNNNNNNNNNNNNNNNNNNNNNNNNNNNNNNNNNNNNNNNNNNNNNNNNNNNNNNNNNNNNNNNNNNNNNNNNNNNNNNNNNNNNNNNNNNNNNNNNNNNNNNNNNNNNNNNNNNNNNNNNNNNNNNNNNNNNNNNNNNNNNNNNNNNNNNNNNNNNNNNNNNNNNNNNNNNNNNNNNNNNNNNNNNNNNNNNNNNNNNNNNNNNNNNNNNNNNNNNNNNNNNNNNNNNNNNNNNNNNNNNNNNNNNNNNNNNNNNNNNNNNNNNNNNNNNNNNNNNNNNNNNNNNNNNNNNNNNNNNNNNNNNNNNNNNNNNNNNNNNNNNNNNNNNNNNNNNNNNNNNNNNNNNNNNNNNNNNNNNNNNNNNNNNNNNNNNNNNNNNNNNNNNNNNNNNNNNNNNNNNNNNNNNNNNNNNNNNNNNNNNNNNNNNNNNNNNNNNNNNNNNNNNNNNNNNNNNNNNNNNNNNNNNNNNNNNNNNNNNNNNNNNNNNNNNNNNNNNNNNNNNNNNNNNNNNNNNNNNNNNNNNNNNNNNNNNNNNNNNNNNNNNNNNNNNNNNNNNNNNNNNNNNNNNNNNNNNNNNNNNNNNNNNNNNNNNNNNNNNNNNNNNNNNNNNNNNNNNNNNNNNNNNNNNNNNNNNNNNNNNNNNNNNNNNNNNNNNNNNNNNNNNNNNNNNNNNNNNNNNNNNNNNNNNNNNNNNNNNNNNNNNNNNNNNNNNNNNNNNNNNNNNNNNNNNNNNNNNNNNNNNNNNNNNNNNNNNNNNNNNNNNNNNNNNNNNNNNNNNNNNNNNNNNNNNNNNNNNNNNNNNNNNNNNNNNNNNNNNNNNNNNNNNNNNNNNNNNNNNNNNNNNNNNNNNNNNNNNNNNNNNNNNNNNNNNNNNNNNNNNNNNNNNNNNNNNNNNNNNNNNNNNNNNNNNNNNNNNNNNNNNNNNNNNNNNNNNNNNNNNNNNNNNNNNNNNNNNNNNNNNNNNNNNNNNNNNNNNNNNNNNNNNNNNNNNNNNNNNNNNNNNNNNNNNNNNNNNNNNNNNNNNNNNNNNNNNNNNNNNNNNNNNNNNNNNNNNNNNNNNNNNNNNNNNNNNNNNNNNNNNNNNNNNNNNNNNNNNNNNNNNNNNNNNNNNNNNNNNNNNNNNNNNNNNNNNNNNNNNNNNNNNNNNNNNNNNNNNNNNNNNNNNNNNNNNNNNNNNNNNNNNNNNNNNNNNNNNNNNNNNNNNNNNNNNNNNNNNNNNNNNNNNNNNNNNNNNNNNNNNNNNNNNNNNNNNNNNNNNNNNNNNNNNNNNNNNNNNNNNNNNNNNNNNNNNNNNNNNNNNNNNNNNNNNNNNNNNNNNNNNNNNNNNNNNNNNNNNNNNNNNNNNNNNNNNNNNNNNNNNNNNNNNNNNNNNNNNNNNNNNNNNNNNNNNNNNNNNNNNNNNNNNNNNNNNNNNNNNNNNNNNNNNNNNNNNNNNNNNNNNNNNNNNNNNNNNNNNNCCCUCUCACCGCCCCUGCGCCACCCGCCGCCGCCGCCAGGAAACCACCACCUCCCUGCCGCCGCCGGUCCCCUUCCCCUCGCCCUGGCCACCAAUCGACCGAGGUGACUCCUCAAAUGGGUUCCCCACCCUCUCCUUCCCCUUCCCAGCCACUCGGUCUCGCCGCCGGAAGGCCGAGGCGGCCGGUCCACCGCCGGCCGUGCGCCCCCCCCCCCCUUUCCUCUGUUCUGAAGCCAAGGAAAAAAGGAGGAAGAAGGGGGCUCGAAUUUCGAUCUGCCCCUCGGUUUCCUCCUAUUUGCAACCCGGUCCCUCCACCUCUGUCCAGGGAAUUCCACAAAUAAGCCCUUCCACUUUUUAGAGUAUUUACAAAUAGGUCCUCGGUUUUCACAAUUUAGUCCUAAACCACAUUUUAAAGCCCCUAAUACUCCUUUAACCCGUCAUUUCAUGCGCCAAAUUUCCUUCAAUCGAUCCCAAAUUCGACCACGGCCUCCUCUCAUAUAUUUCCGCCGAGGCAUAUCCAAAGUUCAUGAAAAUACCCUUCCUACCUAUUUUCCGUUCAUAUUUCCUGUUCGGAGCUCAACGGGUAAAAUCUUUUUCCUUUUUAUUUAUUGUGUGCUCGUUUGUGUGUGCCGUAGAUCGCGGAGUACCCGAGGAGGAGCGCGAGGAGGAGUUCGACCGCGAGCCCGAGCCCGAGGACCAGUACCGCGAGCAGGAGCUCCCGGAAGGCUUUGAGAACGGCAAGUCCAAUCUCACCCUUUGAUACAUAUUUAAUACCCAGUUUUUCAGACACAACCUAUUGGCCUGUUUUAUAAAAUGCAUGUUGUUUUAUCGCAAGACAUGGUUGGAUAGCCACCCCUUGAUUGUUAUGAUUAUUCCUUGUCGUCCCAUAUUUAUCUCUAGAUAUGAGUUGCUCUGUUUAGAUGAUAAAUACUGCUAGAAUGCUUAGGAACUCAUUAUCCAAAUUCAAUCAUGACUACAUCUAUUUAUUCGGAAAAUAAAUGUGUGAGUGUAUUCAACUGAGGAGUUGGGUUUUUCGGGUGAAAAGAGAGGUGGUGGAUGAGAUGGAUGGGCGUUUCUUGUGUGGAAUGCCGGUUUGUUGAGCUCGUACCUUAGUGGUUGAGCAGAGUUGGGAGAUAUCCAUCUUGUCAUGGCUAAGGAUCGAGUUGAUGUGUCAUCCUACCUAAUUCCAUCAUCGUACAACCACUCGACCGUUGUAUGGGCAACGGCUUAGCAUAAACCCCACUAGCUAAACUGCUAGGCUUCAGGUGUGCUGGUGAGCAACAGGAGCCCUUGGAAAAGGACUAAGCUCUCGGUGACUUAGGUCCCGGUUUUGGCCCCGUGGAUGGGCUGCUAACCCCUUGGGUGCUUCCGUGUUGUCUAGUCAGUGUUGGCUAAGGUGGGUAAUGGCUUUGUUAGGAUCCGUACCAUCACUAAGGUGAUCGUGAUACGGUACCCUACUUGUGGGAAAAGUGUACAACCUCUGCAGAGUUAAAACCUAUCCGGGUAGCCGUGUCCACGGCAUUGGACGAGUUACGGCUCGGUCACACAACUAGCUUUUGGGAGAUGACUGGUAUUUACGGUGUGUGUGUGUGUGUAGGAUUUUGGAAGUGUCCGGCAAUUGUGCCGUGCGCUACGGCGGACGGGGAGUCCGGUAGCGAUAAAACUUGGAUCUUUUGUGUAGGAUCAACCCCACUUGGUAUAUCGUUUAUUAAGAAAAUGUUUUAUGAAAAUUCUUUAAAAUGAAACCCUGAAUAUGUCAAAAAUCCAGCUUUAUUGCAAAUAAACCCUAACCAUAUCCUUGUUGAAUCAUAUGCAUAUUCUUGUUGUAUCCCCUCCGUGGAGGUGUUGGACUUGUUGAGUACUUUUGUACUCACCCUUGUGUUGUUGCUUCAAAGGAGGAUCCGGACUUCGUCGCCGAGAACUUCGAGUAGGAGGUUGCGUCUGCACCCAACGCUGCCUGCGAUGUUGGCCCUUUUGCAGGAUGCUUCCGCUGACGCAUAGUUCCGAUUGCAGUCCGGAGUCCGACUGGACUGCAACUUGGAUUUGUAUUGUUAUCGCUUUAGUCUUUCUUUGGGUGUGGCUUGCCCGCCCGCUCCUUCGGGAGUUGUACGGUUUCUGAACUAUCUGUUGAAUAAAUGUGUUAUCAGCCUCCUGGGACUGAUAAUUGGAUCACAUUUAGUCUCUACUUAUGUGGGGACGCUUCAGUAGCCCUACCCCGAAAAUAUAAGGUGAUGCAGGGAUACCCUCCAAAGCAAUUCAAUCCAACUAACACACCUUUGAGUUCCUGAUCUCGGCGAGCCCCAUUAACUAAAACACUACCUCGGGCACCCCAAGGUAGGUUGCCAGGUCUAAACACCAACAUGGCGGCCACUAGACCGCCGUGUUCACACGCAUACAGUGUAAAGGGAUAGGUUGGGGCGCAAGGCUUGUCCUGAACCAGUCUCCCCACAGGCUUGGCCUAUAAAAGGCCGGUUCUUGUACCAAGCGAGAGACAAGGGAAAAGAAGUUGAAACAACUAAAGCAACACAACACAUAGGACGUAGGGUAUUACGCUUCCGAGCAGCCUGAACCUGUCUAAAAACUCUCUUAGCCAAAUCACACACUAACUCCCUGACCUCCUCUCAAAUCCCUACGUACGAACUAAUCCAGGCUGAAUCUAAAAGGGGUCCCAUCGGAUUCCUACUCUUGGUACUCGACCACCAUCAAUGGUGGCUGGGGAAGUGGCCGCCAGGGAACGCGCCUAUGAUUCCCUUGAUCUCGAUGUACCCCGCCAUGGCGGAGAGGGUUUGCAUUUGGUGAUUUUUUUUUUUGCUCGUCAAGGAGGGGGAUGAGAGUGAGUGAGUGACUAACUAGCAAGUGAUGAGAGUGAGGUACCGAGGUGGUCGGUGGCCUAGGGUUUUGGCGCUGCCUUCCGCCGUGCGCCGUGGGCCAAAAUGCUGGAGGCGGAUUCCUAGCGGGCCCAUGACAUGCAGACAAAGAAAGAUGUUCUUGCAGUUGCUUCUGCCUCCGUUUAUAUGUUGGCCCACAAGCAAGAAUUUCCUUCCCGUUUUCCCUGUCUUCUCAAGUAUAUCCAACUAUGAUGAGCUGAGUAAUUAUGAGGUUUAAAAAGGACUGUAGAAAGGCUUAAAAGAGGCAGAUUGCAUGUACUGUCUCCGUUCCAAAUUAUCUUGUUACAAUUACAGAUGGCCAUGACAAUCUAUUUGAAAAUAUUUAUAGAACGCACGUGAAUGACCAUCAUGAUUGAAGUGUAGCUUUGAAAACCAUUUCCUUUUUUAAAAAAAUUGUUGUAGAACACAACAAAUUUGUGAUUGCAUGAUAUUACUCUCUCCAUCCCAAAUUACUAUUUAUUUUAGCUUUUAUAGAUACAUUGAUUUUGCUAUGCAUCUAAAUAUAUAUAUUAUGUGUAGAUAUGUAGUAAAAAGCCAAAACGAAUAGUAAUUUGGUACGGAGGAAGUACUUUUCACGACAAAUCAACACAUAUGAUUUGGACUGAAAUCAAAUAUUUCAGAAAGAUAUUGAUAGACUAGACGAGCUUCUACUAUCCAUCCAUAGCAACAAAGGAAGAAUGUAGCUUCUACUCUUCUUGACAGUGAAAUGCUUUGCCUGAUCACCCCUCCGCCGCCUCAUUCAGAGCACAUUAGCUCGAACGUAAACAUUACAUACUACUAUGACAGAAAUAAGAACUUUAAAUAGUGUAAUUAAUAGCAGAUUUUCUACGGAAUUAGGCACCGAUUAGGGUGGUAUGAGGCUAAAGCAUCAGUAACAAUUAAUCAGUAUUAAUUUCUGAAUUCCGAAAAAAGGAUCUUCAUUGGCAUCAACAGAACAGCUGCAGCAUGUUCAAAAUCUGAACCAACUAGAAGCAUAAUGAGUCAAAGAUACUGUAACUUUAAAAGGUUUGUGCAAGAUCAAUCAAAACGAUUGUCACCGAAUAUUGCAACACAAACAGACUGCAACAAAUAAAGCAUAACUACCACUGUUGCUGCCAUUACCAAUUCACCAUAAUGCAUUGGUAAAUUAGUCAACACAACUCAACAUAGCUUGCUCUUUCUUCACGGCACAGUAAAAGAGAACACUAAUGACUACAACCAUUAAUGAAAACUAUCAGGUAGUAGUAACAAGCAGAUGUCAACUGUUUGCAUUUUUCUAUAACACCAACCAGCAAAAUUGUCGAGUGCUGCCAAUUUCAGCACUAACAAUUUCUCAUCCUAUAUGCUACUACCAGCCAACAGUUUAAGAUGGUAACAUGCGUGCAGAUACUGCAAUAAAACAGAACAUACCCAUUUUCAGGAAAACGUAGCUUGGAUCAUGAGACACCCAGGGUAUACUGAGUUCAGAAGCAAUAAUAAAAAGGGUCAGUAACAGAAAAAUCAGAUGCUACUUGGUAGCUCCAAGAAGAACCUCCUCCAAAAUUACUGCUCUCCAAGACCACCAGGUCACAGUUCCCACUGGCCCGUUUCACAUAAGAUGAUCCUGUAUCAGUUCGGCGGCCGCCACAACCCCUGAAGAGAAACUGUCAUUGGCAAACACAAUUGCCAUCUGCUGCAACGCCUCUGCAUUCUCCAGGAUGAACUUAAGGAAGGCAAGCUCACUUUGUUUCCCUCAUGGAAAACAAUCUCCCUGAUGUGCGACUGCACGCAUUCGGUACGACAGGCCUCCUGCCAGAACUUGUGACUGAGCGUACCAGUUGGUUGAUCAGCUUUCUCAGACUGCGAAUCAAAUCAAUCAGUGGUUUAGCUAGCUAGCGUUGGAUCAUUCAGUGAGCAUAAAUCAAAUGCUAGUGACAAUUCAUAUGGGUGCCAGAUUAACAGAGCAAGCAGGAUCAACUAACCUCGAUAUGCAGGGUCUCUACGCUGGGAAAGCAUCUGAGGAAGCUGGGAAGCAUCUUGGCUCCAUUGCGGACUCCGAAAUGCACCUUCAAGGCCAAAAUCUUGACACUUGGGACGAUGGUGUUUGGGCUUGCCUUUGUCCCAACCAGCAACAUAGACGGUUUUUCAAUGGAAAGAUCACAGAACCUUUGAUGUACAGAUACAGACUAACUAAGAAUUGCUUAAAUAAAUGGAAGAAGAACAUGAGCAUGGCACCUUGAUGACAGUGUCGCCCACCUCAAGAACAUGUACCCCAGGCACCAAAAAUCCCACUGAGCGCAGAUUGGAUCCAUGCCCAAACUUGAUCCUGGUGCGAACCCUGUCGCCGGGCACACAACGAAUCGUCUCCCACAGGAAGAGCCGCUCCAGAUGGGGAGCUUCCACCACCGCGACAUCUUCGACAAUGCACGUGCACAGCUGCACACACCGCAGGCUGCUGCUGACAAUGCGGAGGUUCACUUGCUUCUGGCUCGAAUAGAGCACGAGAGUCUCCAGGACGGGGCUCCUGGCGAGGACGAAGUCGAGGUCCCUGUCCUCCAUGACGACGCAGCCGAGGGUGAGCUCCCGGAGGGCACCGCGCGGGAGGUCCGCAGUGUUCGGGAACCUCCAAAGACCGAGGUGGAGGCACCUGACGGACGCGAGGCUGAAGAUCGCGGGCGGGGCGCCGGGAAGCUGUUGUGGGGGGGGGGGGGGGGGGGGGGGGGGGGGGGGCCCCACCCCGGGGGAUUUUAAAGGUCGAGGUGCGCGUCCAUGUAGCCGAUGGUGAGGUCGACGCAGCAGCGGAAGGGGCCCGGGUGCACCUCCAGGACGCGGGACACCGCGGUGAUGACGGCGCUGGACUCGGCGUCCCGGGUUAGGCUCCCGUCGUGACCAGCGCCCGGGACGAGGAGGGUGUGGACGAGGACGAGCGGCGCGGAGCGCCAGCGCGGCGUUCUUGGCGGGGAGGCGCGAGACGACGUUGCGGAUGAUCUCGUCCGGGAGCGCGCUGAUGCGGUCCUCCUCGGCGCCGGCCCCGUCGCCGGCGGACGAGAAGUCGGCGGAGAGGUAGGCGUCGGCGUAGACGGGCGGGUCGGGGAGGCUGGAGCGGAGGAAGUCGUACAUGAGAUCCAUGCCGUGGAGUACAUGCGCGUCCAUCCCCUGACUCACCAUCUGGAGCAGCAUACCCUCUGCCUCCAGGGUGAUCUGCGGCGGCUGGUCCAUGGUGGCCGCCGUGCACCCGACGGACGGGGAGCAAGGCGAAAGCGAGGGGGUUGGGCUUUGAUGGGGAAAUUUUGUUUGGUGGAUGAACUUGGCUUUGCUGGCCCAGCACUACUAUUUAGUGGUGAUUCAUAAUAAGGUGAUCCUAUUUAGUGGGAUAACUAUAUUCUUAAUGUUUAAUGCUAAUUAUGUGCAUAUGAGAAAUGAAAUGGUGAUGGAUCAGCCAAUUUCAUUUCUCAAAGCAAAAAAGAAUUUUGAGGGUGAGGAUGUGAUGAACCAUUCCAUUCUUCUAGCCAAACCCAUCUUUAACAUGCCUUUGGUGAAAUUUCAGUUAGCAUUUUUCUGUCAAAAGACUUAGCUAACUCAGGAUUCUGGGUAGUACUUUACCAUCAGCCGAAAAUACCUUUUCCCUUUACAAAACCCGGUGAAAAUUUGAAUCCUUGUGUCUCAGCAGUUUCUUUUUUAUUCACUUCGUACGUGGCUGCUGCUGCACUAGUAACUAGCAAACUGACAGCAGGGAUAUGUUCAAAACUGUACAGAUCAUAUUUUCGAUCAGAGAGUUUUUCAUUAAGGGGCCGUCCUGUUAGAGCUAAAAAGCCAAAAGAACAGGUGGAAUGGCAAACCAAAUUUUAACAUCCUAAAAUUCGAGUGGACAAAUCAAUUUAAUAAGCUUCGGUUGUUGCCUCCAUACGAAAUAUGAAAGUAUAUGUCAAAUAAGUUGAAGACACAAAUAAAAUUUCAACACAGACCACAACUGAAUCUUGUCAAAUUUGGCAGAUUCUAAUUCAAAAAAAAAAACUUGACAGAUUUUAGGACGCUGUAGCCCACGCGGACUUCGCUUUGGCCCACGCACACCCAGGGCUGCCUGUCUGCAACCGCUAUAUAUUCAAGCCGAGCUCGGCCGAAAUCGAAUCAGCAUUUCCCUACCAGCACAACUUCCCCACCAACUGCCCGGCCAUCUCCACGGCGACCGCACCGUCAACUUUGUCCUGCUGCCCCCUCCCCACCGUCACCAUGGCCGCCACCCUCGCCGACGCGGAAGGCGAGGGCCACGACGGCAGGGACAGCUUCAGAAUCAGCGACCUCAUCUGCGACCACGACGACGACGACCUCAUCAGCUUUGUCCUGUGCUGCUGCCCCCUCCCCACCGUCACCACGGCCGCCACCCUCGCCGACGCGGAAGGCGAGGGCCGCGACGGCAGGGACCGCACCAACGACCUCACCGACGACCUCCUCCGCCAGGUCGUCUCCCACCUCCCCAUCAGGGACGCCGUGCGCACCACCACGCUCUCCACACGCUGGCGCCACAUCUGGCACUCCGCGCCGCUCGUCCUCUUCGACCAGCAUAUCUCCGCCGCCACCGAAGCCCAGCACGUCGCCGCCAUCAGCAGCAUCCUCGCCAGCCACACGGGCCCGCGGAUCCGCACCGCCCACCUCACCGGCUUCAACUUCCACGAUCGCAAGCCCGAGCUCGCCCAGUGGGCGCGGAUCCUCGCCGAAAAGGACGUCGAGGACCUCGUCCUCAUCACAAGGCCCCGCGUCGGGUUCGGGAACGCCCUCAUCACCAGCACCUUUGGCUAUCCCGGGCUCGACCUCCCCGCCGACAUCCUCCUCCGCUGCAAAAAACUCCGCCGCCUCUACCUCGGUUAUUGGGCGUUCCCAAAGAUCACCAACCUCCCUGGUGGCGUCGGCGUCUUCCCCGACCUUGAAGAGCUUGCCAUCCUUAACACUUACACGAAGGACAAUGACCUCGACCACAUGCUCGCUUCCUGCCCCGCGCUCAAGAAGCUGGCGCUCGUCCUGAACUACCUCAAGCCAGAGCAUGUCCGCCUCCGCGGCAAAGAGCUCGAGUGCGCGAUCGUCUGCUCAUCCGUUGCGGACGUCGCGCUGGAGGCAAAGUGCCUGAAGCGGCUCAUCAUGUGGGAUAUGUGGGCACCUGAUUUAGCGAUCCGAAUUGCUGGAGAUGUACCUGCGCUGAAGGUGCUUGGAUACUUGGAUGCAGGAUGCCACCAGCUCCAAUUUGGGGGGGUCCAGGUGAUGUCUGAUGAUAUGAUACUCCUGUGUAUGAAUGAUCACCUCAUAACUAGCUGUCUAUGUUCUAGUGUCUGAUGAUAUGUGGAUGCAUUGCAGGUGCAGGCUGGCACGAAUGCAAGCCCAAUGCGCAGGGUCCCGAGUGUCAAAAUCUUAGCAAUAAGGGUGGAUUUCAGUGAAUUCAGGCAAGUUCAGAAGCUGCCCAGUUUCCUCGGAUGCUUUCCCAACAUCGAGAUAUUGCAUGUGGAGGUAACUAUCUUCAUGAUAAUCCAGUCAUUUGACAUUUUCAUCGUCACUAGCAUGGUUCUUCUGUAAUAAUUCUGGUGUUUGCUAAUUUUCAGUCUUCUGCAAGUUAUGAAUUGAGAAAGAACUACGCCAAGUUCUUCGAGGAGCUCGGUCCCAUUGAAUGUUUGCUAUUCCACAUCACAAAGGUGUUUCUCUACGAUUUCCGAGGUCAUCAAAGUGAUAUGGAAUUCCUCAAAUAUCUGGUCUCGAGAGCAAGUCAGAUGCAAAAGUUGACACUUGUGUUGCCUUUUGAAGAUCUUAAGCAUUCUGUGGAUGAGAAUAAGAUCAAGGUUCUACUUGGUGAACUACUACUGGAACCUGAAUGGGCUACUGAAACUUGUAAGGUUUUGCUUCUGAGGCCUGUAGCAGAGCUUGUUUGCUUCUUCCACAGGGCAUUUGAUCUUUCUAUUGAGGACCCGUUUCUCAAGGAUGAUGGGGAGGAGCUCUUCAGCUCCAUGAAAAGGAGAGAACAAGAUGUUAACUGAACAAGCGCCAGUAGAUGAGUUCACCAGUAUUGAGGACCCUUGUAAUCUGAUUGACAAGAAGGCGGUUAAAUGUUUCAGAAUCUAAACUUGUUUUUUGGGGUAGUAUUGUCAAGCUAAUCAUGAAACAAAAUCUGAACUGCGUUGCAUAGCGUCAGCAUUGCAGCAUGAUGGCUGUAUUUGUUGAUAUUCCGUAACUAUCUGCAGUUUGAUUCUGAAAGACUGACAUUUGAGACAGUAUAUUGCGUAACCCUCGUAUACUUACAUUAGAAUUUCACUUUUGAAAAUCAUUCCAUGUAUUCAUCACUAUGUGUCCUUUUGGUCUCUACGUGCAUGUGUUAUGAAUUUCAACAGGUUAUUUUUCCUGUUGCCCAGAGUUGCUAUUCUGGCCUGUCUGUGUUUGAAUCAGUGCAGAAACAAGAAUUUGGUCAUGAUGACAAGUACACCUGCAUCUUUCAAACUUUUCUUUCCAGCAUGUUGUAUGUAACAGAAAUUUAGCAUGUUUAUUCUGGGCAAUUGGUGAAUGUCUGUGCUUUGCCUGAUAUAUGUUGCUUUUGUCUCUGAAUUUUCUCUCAACUUGUUGCUUCCACAAAAUCUUGUUAGUCAUGCUUUCAGAUAGGUGCUGCUAGCACGUCAACUUAACUAUGCAUGCUUUACUUCCAGUAUUCAAGCUUGGCACAGUUUGCUCCUAGCAGGUUAACUUCAUUUCCAAAGUUUUACUGCCGUUUCAGCUUGGCACAGUUGCCAUCCUUUCUUCUUGCUUGCCUUACCUUGUACUUGAACAUGCAUACUGGGCUACUGGCCAUUUCAGAUGACCUAUGCUACUUGAACAGGCUGUUUGUUCUUGAGGGGGCACUGAAGGCCAGCUGGAUCUAUUUUGCAAGAACAUUCCUCCUCUCUGAUGGACCCUGGACCCCCUCCGCUUCAAUUUGAGACUCGCAAGGAGGCACCGGCCGGAAUCCUCUCCUAAUCGAAUUCGUCCCCUCCCCUGCAAAAUCAAAUCCCCAUUCCCCCCACCGCCACCGGCCGAAACCUUCCUCUCCUGUUCUCCGCACCGGCCGCCAUGGCAUUGGCCUUGUUUAGGGAAGUUAUCCUCCGUGACGUCCUGUCCUACCGCCCCGGCCUCGCCGUCACCAGGCGCGCCACCCUCCGCGCCGCGGACGGCGAGGACCGCAUCACCGCCCUCCCCGACGACAUCCUCGGCCUCAUCUCUCCCGCCUCCCCAUCGACGACGCCGUGCUCACCACCAUGCUCUCCUCCCGCUGGCGCCGCAUCUGGCACCGCGUGCCGCUCGUCCUCUGCGACGACCACAUCCCCGCCUCCACCGAAGCGAGCGCAUCGCCACCAUCGACCACAUCGCUCACACGGGCCCGUUCCAGUCCCUCGAUCUCGCCUGCUGCUUCAAGGAGAAAGAGCGAGAGCUCGCCCAGUGGCAGCACCUCCUCGCCGACCGGGGCGUCCAGGACCUCGUCUUCGUCAGCAUACCGGGAGAUUUGGACCUGCGCCUUGCCUCGGACAUCCUCCGCUGCGACAAGCUCCGCAGCCUCUGCCUUGGUUACUGGACCUUUCCGGACACGCCCAACCUCCCCGACGGUGCGGGCGCCUUCCCGUACCUCGAGAAGCUUGCCAUCCUCUUCACCAAAAUGGAGGACCGGGACCUCGACCACAUGCUCGCCUCCAGUCCGGUGCUUAAGACCCUCACGCUCGAGCCAAUGCAGUGGCGUGCCCAACCACAUCCGCCUGCUCAGUCAAAGUCUCUAGUGCGCGCUCAUCGUCAAAUCCGGGAUCAUGGAUCUGGCGGUGAUGGAUGUCCCAUGCCUGGAACGGCUCAUCCUGCAUGGUAAUUCUGUCAACUUACCUCUCAGGAUUAUUAGAGCACCUGAGCUGAAGGUGCAUGGCUACGUGGAUACCAAAGCCCACCGGUUUCAAAUUGGGGACAACGUCAUAAAGGUGCAAUGUGCUUACAUGAUUCCUCGUGUAUGGUUGUGUAAUUACUUGGUACACAUGUGCAUGAUUCAUGGGUGUUUUUUUUGUUGAAGGCUGACACUGAGGUAAGCCCAAGCUCCGAGGUCCCAAGUGUCAAGAUCUUAGCAGUGGAGGUGAAUUUGCAUAUCUUCAAAGAAGUUCAGAUGCUGUGCAGCUUCCUCAGAUGUUUUCCCAACAUUGAGAUACUACAUUUGGAGGUAACGAUUUGCAUGAUAAUUCAUUUACUUGUUUUUUUCCAUCAUCAUUAGCAUGGUUCUUCUGUAAUUUUGUUGUUUGCCAAUUUCUGUAGUCUGCUGGAGCUGAUGAACCCAGUGACAAGCCCGAUGCCGAGUUCUUUCAGCUGCCCAGUCCCAUUGAAUGUGUGCAAUCACACAUCAAGGAGGUGUUUCUCAAUGAGUUCCAAGGUCAUCAAUGUGAGAUGGCAUUCCUUAAGUACCUAUGUCGGAGAGCAAACCAGAUGCAAAAGUUGACACUAGUGUUGCGUGGUACAAUGCUUGACUCUGUGGAUAAGAUCAAGGUUCAACUGGAUGAUCUAGUUCUUCCAUCGGUCGCUAGUGAAGCUUGUACAGUUUUGCUUCUAGGGCCUGCAGUGGAUCUAUAUUGGUCCUCCUUCUAUAGGGCAUCUGAUCUUUCUAUCCAUGAUCCAUUUCUUUCAGAUCAUGAGAAUGAGCCCUUCAUUUCAUUAAAGAGGGAGAAUAAAGUGUGGAUAGAACAAACAUAAGUCCAGGAUUGUUUCACGACCCAAACUGUGCAGGGAGGAGGAAAUAAUCCAGAGCCUAGAGCUGAAGAAGAGGCCAUGGGCCGUGGCGAAAGGAUGAAGAAGCCUCUGAAGCGAAUGAAUCUGUGAAGACCUUGUAGUGGCAGAGCCCUGGUCGAUGUAAUAUAGAUACUGGAGAGCUCGUGAGAAAGGGUAUUGUUGAUGUCAUGAGUUAAUAAACUCAGACCCUAGCUUCUAUACCAACUUCCCUGUCUGCCUCGACUGUUCCAGACUUCCCAUCGAAUUUUACCAUAUGCCUAUCCAAUUAUCAUGUUUUGUGUUGAUUGAUCGAGAUUAUUGUGACGAUGGGAAUGAGAUCUUCAGUGACAUUAAAAAGGGAGUACAAGAUGUUAACUGAACAAGCACCAGCACAACACAGAUGGAGAUGAGCUCACCAGUUUUGAUGAGUCUUGUAAUCUGAUUGACUAGAAGGUGGUUAUAUGUUUCAGGGUCUAAGGUAGCCUUAUAAGAAAGUAUUGUCAUUCUGGUCAUGAAACAGAAGAUAUGAACCGUGUUACAUAGCGUAAGCAUCAAAUUGUGCACUAUGAUGGUUCCCUUUAAGAAUUUUUGUUACCUUUAUGAGGUUCGUUACUAUUUACUACAUCAUAGAUACAUGUGUUUGAUGGUAUUCCGUAGCUAUCUGCAGUUUGAUUCUGAAAUAAUAUAGGGACAUUUGCAACACUAUAUUGCUUAAACCAUAUACAUUUAUGUUAGAAAUUUUCCCUUAUGAAAAAUAUUCCAUACACUCAUCACUAUGCAUUACAUGCCUAAUUAUGCAUCCAAGUUGAUCAUGCCUAUGUCUAUGAAGUGCUUCCUCAUUACUCCCUCUGGUUUUUUUACAUGUCACAUUAGGUUUGUCCUAAGUCAAAGUUAUCCAACUUUGACCAAAUUUAUAGAAAAAUAUAACAACAUCCAUACUACCAAAUAUAUGCUCUAUCAAAAUAUAUUCCAUGAUGAAUUUAGUGAAACAAAUUUGAUAUUGUAGAUGUUGUUAUAUUUUUCUAUAAACUUGGUCAAAGUUUGACAAGUUUGACUUAGGACAAACCUAAUGUGACAUGUAAAAAAGAAUGGAGGGAGUACUUUUGUGGCAAGGUCCUGAUUCAUGUGUUGACCUUCUCCGUCUGGUCUCUCUAUGUGUAUGUGUUAUGAACUUAAAUUGGUUAUUUCCUGUUGCUCAGAUUUAACACUCCUAUCUGUGUUUAUUUAGUUCUUAGUGCUGAAUCAGUGCAGCAACAAAAAUUCGAUCAUGUAUGACAGACAUCUGCAUCUUUCAAAUAGAACUAUUUUGUUAUAUGACUUCACUUUUGCUUUCUAUCAUGUUCGAUGUAACAAAAAUGUGGCAUGUUUAUGCUUGGCAAGUGGUGAGUAUCUAUGUUUUGCCUGAUAUAUAUUGCUUGACUGCAUUUCCUCUCAACUUGUUGCUUCAAGUAAGUCUUUCUAUACAUGCUUUUGUAUAGGUGCUGCUAGCACGUCAACUGGACUAUUCAUGCUGUACUUUCAAGUAUUCUAGCUUCGCAUAGUUAUGCUCCUAUCAGGUUAAUUAACUUCAGCUGUAAACUUUUUUCAGCUUGGCACAACCCUCUCUGUUUGCUUUCCAAUUAUCUUGUGCUUGAAUGUGCAUACUGGCCAUUUCAUAUCACGUAUGCUCUUUCUGGGGUCUGCAGUUUGGUUCUGGAAGGUAGUUACAUGUGCGACAACAUAUUGCUUAAACCUUGCAUAUUCAGGCUAGAAUUCCCCUUGCGAAAAUUAAUCCAUACAGUCAUCAAUAUGAAUUAGGUUUAUUUGCCUGCAAUGCAUCCAUGUAUGCAUACCUCUAUUAAGUGCUUCCUCGUUACAUUCAUAUGAUGAGAUUACCCUUUUGGUUUCUCUAUGUGUAUGUGUUGUGAACUUCAAUUGGUUAUCUUUCCUCUUGGCUAGAGUUACUGCUCCUAUCUGUGUUGAAUCAGCGCAGCAACAUGAAAUUGAUCAUGGUGUGACAGUCAUCUUCAUUUCCUGAAUGGAACUAUUUUAGUCAUAUGACUCCGCAUGUGAUGGAUGUUUAUGUUGUGCCUGAUAUAUGUAACUAUUUUCUGAAUGGACCUUUUCUUUCUAGCAUGUUCUAUGUAACAAAAACUCAAUCAAGUGAUGGAUGUCUAUGUUGUGCCUGACAUAUAUUGCCUGUCUCUGAAUUUUGUCUGAACUUGUGGCUUCAAGAAAGUCUUCCUAGUCAUGCUUACAGAUAGGCUCUCCUAGCAUGUUAACCUAACUAUACAAGCUCUUCGUUUUUCAGUAUUCUAGCUUGGCUCCGUUUGCUCCUUUAAAAAAAAUAGCUUCUAUUUCAGUCAUCCUUCCUUUUGGCUUGCCUUAUCUCUUAUUUUGCAUACUGCACAUUCCAAAUAACCUAUGCUAUUGCUGGAAUGUGGAGUUUGGAUGGUAUCUUCAGUUUAAUUUUUAACAGCUUAUGCCACAUGAUUUUGGUCGAUGCUUCUCGAGUAAUGACACACAUAGAUGUUUGUCAGUAUCCAUGGUGCAUGUUCUGAACUUCUGAUGAAGGGCGGUUUUAUCAUUGAUAGUCAGUGUUGAGUCAUGUUGGCUGCAAUCUGCAAGGCUUAGUGCAUUUGGUAAUUUUUCUCGCAUCUGGCCUAGCCUAUUUCACCUAGUAGUCUUUGUAACGAGUCCUGCUUCACAUAGUUACAGUUUCUCUGGCUGCCUGCUGUGAAUAAAGCAGUGACCCAGUAAAGGAAUGUUGGCUACCUCUGCCUUUUCUCGUUGUAGCAAGUUUUUUUUCUCCCUUCAGAGUUCAGAGGUUGCAUGUUAAGUUUGGACAGCCAGUAGCAGAGCGUGCUCUGCCGAAUAUGAAAUGCCAGCUACCAUGCCCUCCAUUUCAUGCGAAUUUGGUCUUUAGUCAUGACUCAUGAGCUCAUCUCUUGCCGAUAUUCUGCCAUACACUUGGAAUGAAACUGGACAUGUCCCAACUCCACAUCGAUGAUGGAUCACAAGCUAGGCGCCUAGGGCUCCGUUUUCUUCCACUGACUUAUUUUUAGCACCCGCCACAUCGAAUGUUUAGAUACUAAUUAGGAGUAUUAAACGUAGACUAUUUAUAAAAUCUAUUACAUAAGACGAAUCUAAACGGCGAGACGAAUCUAUUAAGCCUAAUUAAGCCUAAUUAAUCCAUCAUUAGCAAAUAUUACUGUAGCAACACAUGGGNNNNNNNNNNNNNNNNNNNNNNNNNNNNNNNNNNNNNNNNNNNNNNNNNNNNNNNNNNNNNNNNNNNNNNNNNNNNNNNNNNNNNNNNNNNNNNNNNNNNACUGAUCCAGGAAAUUAUAUCCUAGUAACUAGGCGGAAACUGUAGCAAGGACACAUUCACUUAGCAGUAAUUAAUGGGGGUCAUCAUGUAAAUUAUUUUCUCAGCAAAUGCAUAUGUAGAUUCACCAUUACACAAGAACGUUAGUGAUCGUACCUUCGUAACAUCCUUGUUCUUGACUCCAAGCUUCCAUUCUGAGAAUUAAGUAGCAAGAACUUGGCUUAAAGAAUGUAGAUGCGGUUGAGGUUCGUCUAAUGUGAUCGUGUCCCCUUAUCAAUCCUGUUUUACACUCCUAAUUAGUAUCUAAACAUUCGAUGUGACGGGUGCUAAAAAUAAGUCAGUGGAAGAAAACGGGGCCAAAAUUGCUAUGAAAGAUAGUGGCAGAAAUAUGCCUCUUGACUUCAGUAAUUAGUAGUAGUACAGCAUACUCAAGUGGACAAAUCAAAGUUUCGAUUGUUGCCUCCAAAAUAAAACAAAAUGAACGCCAAACAAAUUGAAGACCUUAACUGUUUUUUUUUUCUCGUGAUGAAACCAACCUUAACAAAUUUUUUACUUGAACUACAACUCUGGUCCGUUUGGUAGAGCUUCGGCUCCUUACAAAAUGGCUUCGGCUCUAACUCUUUUGGUGAAGUGGCUUCUCUAGUGGAGCUAAAGCCAUUUUGCAAAAUGUUUGGUAAAACGGCUUUUCAAUGGCAAUAUGGGUAAUUUUAUGAUCACUUAAUGCUUGAAGAGAGAGGAGAAGCCGGUGAAGCCACUUUUUUUGCUCCUCCUCUACAGUGUAAGCUGUUUUGUGGCUUCUCUCCAGCUUCGGUGGUGGAGCCAUUUUGAAAUUGCUCCUUUGAUAGGUGUCGAUGCGGAAUCCGACCGACUAGUAAAUAUUAGUAGUUUUGCCAUGGGUUGGAUCGGAUGUGACCUAACACUCAAUGAUAUAGGAUUUAUUCUGGUUCGGACAACGGGCUCUACGUCCAGUUCAGGAUCAGUUGGUUGACUAUAUUUCUGAGCCUAGGUGCUCAAAGUUUUGCAGUGAGGGUACAAACGAGUGAGGGAUGAGAAGGGGAUGUCCGAGUCCUGAUCGUGCUUUGGUCCAAGUGGGAGAGAGUGACGGGGGCUCAAACGUGCGCUAUGUGUUCGAGAGUGUUCGCCUAUGUUAGAUGUGGAGGGUACGUCCCCUUUUAUAGUGCAAGGGAUGGCCUUACAAGUCAGAGAGAGAGUAUGGGUGCCACCUAGUCUUGCUGAUGCCCACAUCAUCGGGUACAGUAUGGCCACUGUCCUCCAUCCUUGUUCAUCUCGUCAGACCACUCCAUUGUAGCGGGUAGGCUGUGGCGGCACUGUGCAGGGCGUGCGCAGGGUAUGGUGUGGUACGGUCCUUUGUACGGUGGUUGAUCCAGGCGCUUUUUCUUAUCCGUUCCACCUACUCCAUGAGCCCACAACGAGCAGGCGUUCCCGGUAGGUCCCAACCGUGUCGGUCGGGGGGAGCGGUGUGCGUCGGUACGGCACAUCUCCGGUCGGGGGAACUCGGUCGGAGUCGGAUUGUAGUCCUCACCCUGACCAGGCCUUGCGGUCCGGGUGCCGACCAGACCUCCUGGUCGGAGGUGCUGAUCAAUCGCCGGAUCUUGAUCUCGGCCUGACGUUGCGUAGCUGGGCGGUCCAGGCGUGUAUUGUCAUUGCGCCUCCUUGUUGUGCCGAGCGUUGCGGAUAGGCGGGCCUAUUGGGACUUUGGGUCUAUGAACCCGUCAAUAAGACUUUAUCAAAAAUCCGUGGAGAAACACUUUGAGAAGCUUGAAUCUGGUCCAAGUUUAGCAGAUAUUAGGAAGGGGUAGCCGUAGCCUGGUUCGAACGACUGUAUCAUGGGCCCGCACGGAACUCGCUUUGGCCCACCAAGUCAGCAACCGCCAUAUAUACACGACGAGCUCGAACGAAACGAAAUCACUAUUUCCCCACCGGCACCCACCUCCACGCCUCCACCCCCAACUCAAACCAUCUCCAAUCCGCGGCGCCCGCCAUGGACGCGGUCUUCAACUUAUCCUGCAGCACCCGCCCCACCGUCACCAGCACCUCCACCCUCGCCGCUGCUGCAGGCGUGGGCUACGACGACGGCAAGGACCGCAUCAGCGCCCUCCCCGAAGACCUCCUCUACGACGUCGUCUCCCGCCUCCCCAUCAGGGACGCCGUGCACACCACCACGCUCUCCAACCGCUGGCGCGACAUCUGGAGCUCUGCGCCGCUCGUCCUCUUCGACCAGGACAUAGACAUCGACCCAGGGCCCAAGCGCGUCUCCGUCGUCGACAGCGUCCUCGUGAGCCACCGGGGCCCGUUCCGCUCCGUCGACCUCUUCUCGUGCGACUCGAAGGACCACGAGCCCGAGCUCGCCCGGUGGACGCGGAUCCUCGCCGAGAGGGGCGUCCAGGACCUCGUCUUCAUCAGGCCCCGGGUGACCGUCGACAUGGCCCUCCCCGCCGCGAUUCUCCGCUGCGACAAGCUCUGCCGCCUCCACCUUGGUUUCUGGGAGUUUCCGGACACCACCAACCUCUCGAACGGCGUUCCCAACUUCCCAAAGCUUCGGGAGCUCAAGGUCUUCGGCAUUCUCAUGGCGGACGGGGACCUCGACCGCAUGCUCUCUUCCAGCCCCGCCCUCGAGAAGCUGGCGCUCGACAUGAGCCACCGCCCGCCAAAGCAUGUCCGUCUCCUCGGCCAGAACCUCAAGUGCGUGAUCUCCUAUGGUACAAUUGCAGUCGAGGUCGCCGUAGUUGAAGCGCCGUGCAUGCCUGGAGCGACUCGUCCUGUGGGAAACUUAUCCUUAUUCUGAAGUGGAUGCCUCUGAAGAUUCACAUGUGGGGGUCAGGAUUGUUCAAGGCGCACCUGCGCUGAAGGUGCUUGGGUACUCGGAUACAAGAGUCCACCAGCUCCGAUUUGGGGACAACGACAAAGUCAACAAGGUGGCGUCUGAUGAUAUGAUGCUCCUGUGUAUGAUGAUCACGAGAUUGCGCGUGUUCUUUUUUUAGAUAGAGUUCCGAGACUUCAUGUUCUUUGUAUCUGAUGAUAUAUGAUUUAUGGUUUGCAUUGCACUGCAGGUGCAGGCUGGCACGAAUGCAAGCCCAAUGUGCAGGGUCUCCAGUGUCAAAAUCUUAGCAAUAAAGGUGAAUUUCUUUGCAGAAGUCCAGAUGCUGCCCAGUUUGCUCAGAUGCUUUCCCAGAAUCGAGGUUUUGCACAUAGAGGUAACUGUUUACGUGAUACUUUCACUACUUCAGUUAUUUGGGCGUUUUUCAUCUUUACUCGCUUGUUUCUUAUGUAAUUGUGAUGUUUGCUAAUUUUGUAGUCUGCUGUUUCUGAUGAAUCGGAUGAAGAUCACAUUCCCGAGUUCUAUGAGGAGCUCAGUCCCGUUGAAUGUGUGCAAUUAUACAUGAAAGCGAGAUGGCAUUCCGUAAAUACCUAGUCCUGAGAGCAGAUCAGAUACAAAAGAUGACACUUGUGUUGCCUUAUGAUGAAAAGUUUGAUUCUGAGGGUGAGAAAAUAAGAUCAAGGUUCUACUUGGUCAUCUACUUGAUCAAGAAUGGGCUAGUGAAGCUUGUACAGUUUUGCUUCUGAGGCCUGCAGCAAAGCUUGUUUGCUCCUUCGACAGGGCAUUUGAUCUUUCUAUCGAGGACCCAUUUCUGUUGAACGAUGGGGAGGAGCUCUUCAGUGACAUUAGAAGGAGACAACAAGAUGCUAACUGAACAAGCACCAGCGCAACACGGAUGAACUAAUUCACCAGUUUUUUUGACCCUUGUAAUCUGAUUGACUAGAAUAUGGGUUCAGGCUCUGAACUUUAUUCUGGAGAAGUACUAUUCUGAUCAUGAAACAGAACAUAUAACUGUGUGGUAUAGGGAAAGCAUCAAAUGUUGCUGUAUGAUGGUCCACUCAAAGAAUUUCCAUUACCUACAUAAAGUUCUUACUUUACUACCACUUCGUAGAUAGAUAUAUGUGCUUGGUGAUAUUUCUUAGCUAUCUGCAGUUUGGUCCUGACUUCAGAAAGAUAGUGACAAUUGAGAUAAUACAUUGCUUAAGUCUUAUAUAUUUAUGUUGGAAUUUUCCUUAUGAAAAUCAUUCAAUAAAUUCACAAGUAUGCAUUAGAAUUGUUGCCUGCAUGUUAUGCAUCCAGGCAUGCACCUCUAUUAAGUGCUUCUUCAUUACUCCUGAUUCAUAUGUUCGGCUUAAGACAGACAUCUUCAUCUUCUGAACAGAAACAUUUUGGUCAUAUGACUUCACUUUUUCUUCCUAGCAUGUUCUAUGUAACAAAAAUUUAGCAUGCUCAUGCCUCUGAAUUUCGUCCCAAAUUGUUGUUUCAAGAAAGUCCUUCUAGUCAUGCUUUCAGAUAGGCUCUCCUAGUAUGUCAACUUAACUAUAGAUGCUACCUAGUUCCGAGUAUUCUAACUUGGCUCAAUUUGCUCCUAGUAGAUGCCACUUCAAUUUUUAAAUUUUAACUACCAAUUCAGCCAUCCUUCCUGUUGCCUUGCCUUAACUCUUACUUCGCAUACUGACCAUUCCAGAUAACCAGUGCUAUUGCUGCAAUCUGCAGCUUGGAUGGUAUCUCCAGUUUAAUUUGUUGUAACAGCUUAUGCUACAUGAGCGAUGCUUCUCAAGUGAUGACAGAGUUAGAUGUUUGUCAGUAUCCAUGGUGUAUGUUCUGAACUUCUAAUCAAGGGUGCUUUCUCAUUGAUAUAUAUUCAGUGUCGGAGUCAUGUUGGUUGUAAUCUGCAAUGCUUUAGUUCAUCUCUUGGUAGUUAAUUUUGCUCAUCUGACCGCCUACUUCAACGCAAUGUUAGAGUCCUGCACAUAAUUACAGUUUCUCUCUGGCUGCGAAAGCUGUAAGCCAGUGACGCUGAAUGUUAAGUUUAGACUGGUAGUUUCAGAGCAUGCUCUGCCGGAUCAGGAUUCAGGAAACACCUCGGAAUAUUCCUUGUUUGGAUGCUGCACGGCAAUGAGCGCGUCCUCGUAUUUUCCGGGUACAAACACAGCACAUACGCGGCCGCGGGUCCGUGUCGAAGGGGGAGGGCCCACCAGACAGUGUGUGAUCGAUCGAGGGUUUAAAGUGCCCUGACUCCUCUUCGACUUGGGCUAGAAUUGGAAUAGCCACCGCCGCUGCUGCUGCUGCUUUCCCCUCCCUCCCUCUUCUUCCACCUCGCCCGAUGCCCCUCCCCUUUCCCCUGCGCGCUUCGCUCGAUCGCAGCAGGGCUUCACCGCGUCGUCGCGCCGCGGGACCGAUCGAGAUGCACGCCCCGAUCCUCGCGCCGCACCCGCCAGCGGCGAGGGGCUCGCUGAAGAGAGCAGUGGACGAGGAGAUCGAGGCCGACUCCGCCGCCUUCUGCCGCACCUGCCACGAGCCCGGUAUGCACCUGCCUCGAGCCCGGUAUGCACCGAUCUCUCACAUCCCCCGCCUCGUUCGUUCCCGUGGGCUCCUUCCUCGCGCCUCUGGAUUAGCCGGGUUUAAUUGUGUUGGGACCCGGGAGGGGUUAAUUUUCGUGGUGAUCGUGCUGUGCUGCUGUUGCUGGUUGAUGAAGUUGCUUCUCCUUUGUUCCGGUGCAGGUGAUGAGAUUAUCUCGCCCUGUAGGUGCAAGGGGACGCAGCAGUUCGUGCACCGCUCUUGCCUUGACCACUGGAGGUCUGUCAGGGUAAUGCCUGCUUAUUUGCCUUAUUUUGCUCACUUCUGUCAAAUUCGAUCCACCUAUUGCGCCUUGUUUCUUAUCUGUCGUUUUUCUAAGCAAAGCAUAUAUAUCGUUGGAGUUUGUAUGGCAACAUGCCUUUUCUUAUUCUUAUAAAGCUUGUUCUCAGUUAAUUACUUAAUUUUAAUCUACGAAACGUACUCAAUAAACCUGUGGCAGCAGGUUUAAUGUGCUGACAUGUAUUAUGGCUGGCUACUUUUGAUGAUGAAAGCAUGGGAUAAUUGCUUGUUACUGAUUUUUUUUUCGUGAAUACGCAGGAGAGCUGCGUAUCUUUGUAUUAAGAAGAUGUUGUAAAAAGGAUUAGUACAACGCGGGCCGUCCGGGCGCACGCACACGGUUAACAGUUUAUUGUCUAUUACAUGCGAGAUUAACAAUCGUUUUAGAAUGAGACGAAGCUCAGUUUAUCGAUGAAGCCGUUCUCCCGUUGCUUGAGCUUCUGUCGCUGCCGGCCAGCCGAUGGUGACCAAAUGUUUGGCACCCGCUGCUGACCAGAGAACGGUUUCAUCGAUGAGCUGCUGUAAAAGCUGCGCCGGCUGCAAGGGGGUGGCUCUGCCAAACACCCUGUUGUUGCGCUCUCUCCAGAUCAUCCAGGAUAUAAGCAUUAUGCUGGAGUCAAUACCUUUCUUCUGCGUAGCGUUCAGGCCAUGUCUCAUUUGGAGCCACCAUUCAGUUAAGCUCCCGCCCGGCACUGGACCGGGAACGAUAGAGUGCAGGAUGGACCUGAUGAGGUGCCAUAGCUGUUGAGUGUAUGAGCAGCGAGCGAACAGAUGGUCGGAGUCUUCUAGUUCCUGAUCACACAAGGCGCAGGCGGUGCUGUCCUGUAAACCACGACGAUGGCGUCUGGCUGCUGUCCACAAGCGAUCUCUGCAGGCUAGCCACAUGAAGAAGCACACCUUCAUCGGCGCCCAUGCUUUCUAGAUCAAUGAGCCUGCAGGAGAUGUUUGUGAUCCGAUGAAGAACGCCCGGUACGCAGACCUUGCUGAAUAAACCCCCGAAGGCUCCCAUUUCCAAGUGAUAACAUCUUCAGAACCUGGCCUUAGCUGAACGCGCUGCAGUUGGUGCCAGAGAAGCACAUACGGAUGGAUGGCUGGCACUGUUAGCUGUCCAACAACGUCGGAAAUCAAUUUCUUGUCUUGCAAAGCUUCAGACACUAGGCCCCUGUUUCUGACUCUGGACUUGACAGUGUUGCAAAGAUCAGGAGCGAUGGAGCAUGGCGAUGAAUCACCAUUCCACCUGUCAAUCCAAAAUAAAGCUAGGUUGCCGUCCCCCAGUUGUACUUGAAUCGAGGCCUGAAACAUUUUCUGAAGCACGUUGUCAUUAUCAAACUGCAGAGCGAGGUUUCUCCAAGGUCUGUCAGGGUUGGCUCUUUUUAACCACAUCCACCUCAAUCUCAGGGCAUAGGAAGCAAUCGUAAGAUCUGUUGUACCAAGGCCUCCCAGUUCCUGUGGUCUGCAUGAUGCAGUCCAAGCGACAGGGCAUUGCCCACCAUGAGCCUUCUGCCUUGCAGCCCAGAGAAAGCUCCUUCGGCGCUUGUCAAUUUCACUGAUCACCCACUCAGGAAUCUUCAGCGAGAUGAAUGUGUGAGUGCAAGUUGAGGUCAUGACCACUUUUACCAUCGUCAGCCGGCCAGCUUUGUUCAUCAGUGAAGCUUUCCAGGUCGAGAUGCAGGCUGCUACUUUGUCUACCAGUGGCUGCAAGUGUACCUUUUUGAGACGGCCAACAGUGAGUGGGAGGCCAAGGUACUGAAUGGGGAAUUCGGAGAUUCUGGCUGGGAGAAAGGUGCUGAUUCUUUGCACCUGCUCAUCGAUACAGGCAAUGGGGGCUAUGAGGCUCUUUUGAAGAUUGGUGUGUAGCCCUGAAGCGUUCCCAAAGAAAGCGAGUGUUUCUCUAAUGGUGAUCAUGUCCUGGGCUGUAGGAGAAGCAAAAAUCAUGACAUCAUCGGCAUAUAAGGAGCAUUGGUGUUAGAUUGCCGUGUGUGCCGGUGGGUGAAGCACUCCUGCUUGUACUGCUUGCUUGAGCAACUGGUGUAGCACCUCCAUGACAAUGAUAAACAACAUUGGAGAAAGGGGAUCUCCCUGAUGUAAUCCCAGAGCAUUCCGAAUCAGUCUGCCUGGAUUGCCGUUGAGGAUGACUCUGGUAGUGGCUGAGGAGAUAAGUGAAGAGAUCCAAUCGCACCAUCUUGUACUGAAGCCCAUUGCCUGUAGGACUUGUAGGAGGAAUGCCUAGUUGACAGUGUCAAAGGCCUUCGAUAUGUCUAUUUUGAUUAGCAAGGUUGGUUUCCUGUUGCGGUGCAAAGUUCUUGCAGCUUGUUCCACGAACUUGAAGUUAUCAUGAAUGGACCUCUUUUGAAUGAAAGCACUCUGAUUGGUGUCUAUGAGGCGAUGCAAUUCCGGUGCAAGCCGGUUAGCAAGAAGCUUGGCGGCCAGUUUAGCAAAGCUGUGAAUUAAGCUGAUUAGCCAAUAGUCACCGGGGUGUAUUGGUUCUGAACUUUUGGGCAGCAGCGUGAUCUGAGCACCAUUCACCCGGCGCAGUUGUGCGCAGGCGUUUCUGUACAGCGCGUUGAAGGCUCCCAUGAUUGCUUCCUUGAUCACAGGCCAUGCCACUCCGUAAAACUCUACCGUGAACCCGUCUGGGCCGGGAGCCUUGUGAUUUGGGAGUGACUUCACCGUGCUCCAGACUUCGGCUUCAGAGAAAGGGCGAUCAAGCUGGUGGAGAUCAAUUGGCUGAAUAUUCAGAGCGGCGAGGUUGAUGAGCUCGGUUCUGUCAGAGGUGGUGCCUAGGAUGCUGUUGAAGUGCUGAAACAACAUUGUCUCCUUAUCUUCUUGCGUGACAGCCGUGUAUUCCCCGAGCUGCAGCCUAGUGAUGAACUUUUUCUUAGCACGAUGGCCGGCUUGCAUAUGGAAAAGACGUGUGUUGGUGUCCCCAUCACGAAGAUGUGUGAUGCGUGAGUGGAGUCAGAUCAUGGUCCUUUCCAGGGAAGAAAGGCCUAAGCUUUUGAUCUUGAGCUCUUUCCUUAACCGGUAUUCCUCCAAGGUGAGCUGCCUCUCCUCCUGUGCUUUGUCCAACCAGUGAACGAUAGUUUUGGCCACGAGCAAUUGCAGCUUGAUUUGUCCUACGUUCCUUUGGCUCCAGCUUUGGAGUUCCUUGGCAGUGUUUCUGAGCAUGGCGUCUAAACGUGUGAAGGGGUCAGUGACGAGCUCAGAACACGUCCAGACUUUCUGCAAAGCUUCCUCGAAGCCGGGCAUCUUGAUCCACCAGUUCUCAAAAUGGAACCGACGUUUUGCACUGAAGUUUGCAUUCGUUGCAAGGAGGAGCGUGCAGUGAUCCGACAUCCCUGACGCGAGCGCUUGCAAGAGGCAACCGGGGUAGUUUAGUUCCCAGUCCACCGUGACUAAGAUCCUGUCCAACUUUUCCAAGGUUGGGCAAGCUCUCUCAUUACUCCAAGUAUAUCUUCGCCCGUGCAGGUAUACGUCUUUGAGCUGCAGCUCGUUGACAAAACGUCUGAAGCGGCCCAUGUUCCUUCGGUUGAGGUAGUCAUUGCUUUUAUCGGAGGCACACAGGAUGAGAUUAAAAUCUCCUACGUUCAUCCAUGGGCCAGUGAUGCGGCUGUGGAUCGAGCGUAGCUCGUCCAAGAAGACGAUUUUAUCUUCAUCAGGCUGUGGGCCGUAUACUGAGGUUAGGCACCAUGGUUGAGUUUGGGCGCCCGUCGUGAUGGAGACAGUAACGGAGUAGUUCCCGGUUUCAAUGGCGGCACAGGUGAUUUCAGGGCUCCUGCACGCGAUCAGCACUCCACCACUCACACCAGAAGACGGCAAGUAGGAAUAACUCGCGAAGUUACUUCCCAACAUUUCAGAGAGGAGGAAGGGGGAGAUUACUGCCAGCUUCGUCUCCUGGAGACACACGAUGGACGCAUUCGCGUCGUGCACCACUUCCCGGAGAGAGUCUCUACGGGUUCGCGCGUUGAGGCCACGCGUGUUCCAAACUAAAACAUUUUAGUUGCACAAGUCCAUUGCUAUUGUCGACGUUGGUGCUUGAGCAGGUGUAGCGUCAGUGUGCGGCGACCGUUCCACCGGCCAGCGAGGUGAUUCUCAUCAGCUCGUCGUCAGAGAGGGCGUUCGCUGCAGGGAAGAUAUCCCUAAGCGCGGCAAAAUGUUUGGGUUGCAUCGUGGAGUGGAGGAAUUUGUCAAACUCAGCGGUGGACACUUGCUCAGCAUCUUGCUCGCGGGGAACAAUGCCUAGCUUCUUCAUGACCAAGAUUUCACCCUUCUUCGACAGCCUUACGGUGCUGUUCAGAGCCUGAUUGGCCAGGCGGCCACUGCGACGUGGAGUUGGCGCCGCUGCUGGGGUGGUGAUGGCUGGUCGUGCGGCGAGCGGAGCUUGCAGAGCAAGGCGGACGGAGUUGAGGAAUGCCGUCGUCCGCACGAGAGCCGCCUCAAAGCUGGGCCGGGCGGUGGGGGAGCUCACGUUCGUAGCAGGCGACGCCGUAGCCGCAAUACUGUGUUGAGGGCCCGCAACAGGGCACGUCCUGGGCGUGUCGUCCGCAGGCGCGGCGCGCCUGGCCGUGGUGGACUGUCUAGGUGCCGGCAUAGCAAGAUGGUCACCAUGGACUUGCAGCUCGUUACCACUGUCGCGCUGGGCAGCGUGCGGUGUAGGUGCGUCAGGGACCGAUGUUACUGAUAUAUCCAUAGUCCAUUGUUUGGUCAGCAUGGUAGCACUGAUUUUUUUCUGUCUUGUUAGAUUGCUUGGAUCGAUUGCUCGUUCUGUUCCUGUGGGGAUUUUCUUUGCCAUGAGUCCUCGAAUCCAAAUUUUUCUUUCUGGGAUGGGGUGCGCUGAGUCAUUCACCCACUUCGCUUUAGGUUUCAGUCAUUUGGUUAAUUUGAGUUAGCAAUAUAACUUCUGGUGACAGAACUUGUUACAAUUCUCAAAUAAAAACGCCUGGAUCAUGUAUCUAGCCAUAAUCUGUAUGCUUAAACAUGAGGUUUUCCAGUGGGCUGGUACAGUUCUAGAAUAUUGAAGCGUGUGCUUGUACUCAAGGCAUGUAGUGAUCAGUUUUUAUGUUGCUUCGCAUUAAAACAACCACAACCACAACAAGAGCCUGUAGUGAUCAUGUCUUUAUGUUUUCCACAUAUAUCAGUUCCUCUUAUCUUAAUUUAGUGUAUUAAAAACUUGCACAUCAACGCUGCAGAGAUAAUCAUCUGCAUCUAUUGCUUGUUGCCAUUGGUUGUGCAAAAUCUUCCUCAUUGACUUGUCAUCAUCAUUAAGAGCAUAGGCAUUGAUCUUGACAAACUGAAUCAAAUCAAAUUCCAUGUGUUUUCUGUGCGUGCUUUUUCUUAUCAAAUUAUUCUGAAUGUUGGACAGGAGAUGUGAUCAUUGAGCUCGUUUCUAGCAGUUAUAUAAGCCGAUAGCCAAACAAAUAUAAUAUAAGUAAUCAAAUCUGCUACUAGGAAGGAACUCUUUUUCUUUGUGAUUUGCAAGCAGUAUUGAUAGGCUGAUAUAUAAGGUAUGCAACCAUGGGCGAAGUUUGACUAAUAUCUCAAUCUUCAGCUUUAGCAGUCUAUCGGUGUCACAUAUGAACAUACAAGCAAUCUGAAUGUUUGUGCUACUAGCACAUUUCUGCAUCCUGAAUGCAGCUAAUCAUACCGGAAAAGGGGAAGCUGUAGGUAACUUCAUUUUCUUGUGAUCUCUUCUGCAAUAAGUAUUGUUGGUGUACUGUGUGUAUUAGGGCCCAAUAGGCCCAUGUAAGACAUCUAUAUAGCUACCCUCUAGGGUUAGCCCAUAAUCCAUCUAUUACCUUCUAGCAUGGUAUCAGCCUAGGUUUAGGGUUACCUGUGACUGGCUGGCGCCGCCGCCGCCGCCGCCGUCGCCGCCGCCGCCGCCGCCGCCGGCCGGCGCCAUGGCCGGCGACUCCUUCCCCCCUCCCCUCUCUUCUUUCCCCUCUCUCCUUCCCUCGUGGGCGCAGGUGGCGGCCGCUGACCGGCCCCCUGCGGCCGCGGCUCUGGCGGCCGUCGGGGCGGGCCUUACCGCCGCCGCCGCCGCCGACGGGGCGGUGUCNNNNNNNNNNNNNNNNNNNNNNNNNNNNNNNNNNNNNNNNNNNNNNNNNNNNNNNNNNNNNNNNNNNNNNNNNNNNNNNNNNNNNNNNNNNNNNNNNNNNGGGAACCUCGCGACAGCACUCGUCGCUGCCCACGCUGCCGCUGCCGAGGGACAGGGACGCCUGCGCGCGGCAGCCCUGGCCUAGGAGCGGGAGCGGGAUGCGGCCGACAUCUUGGCCCGUCAGAUCGCCGAGGCGGAGCAGCUCCUCACGAUGUCCCACGACAGCACGGCCACCUCCUCCGGCUCCGGUGCUCCCCGUCCGCCUGUGGUGGCCUGGACCGAUCCGGCCGAUCCACUUGUCGCACAGCUCCACUACCAGGCCGGGGGUGUCCAGAACAUCAAGAACUUGGUCCCCGUCGUCCUCGAUCCUGAGUCGCCCUCCUACGCCCGCUGGCGGGACAUGGUCCUGCUCGUUCUCCGCCGUUACGCCCUCGACGACCACGUCCUCACCGACACCUUCCCUGCGGCCCGGACAGCUGCGUGGGUUCGCCUCGACAGCAUCGUCCUGUCGUGGAUCCUGGGGACCAUCUCCCUCGACCUCCACGAUCUCGUUCGCGGCACCCCCGACACCACCGCCCGUCGGGCCUGGCUGGCGCUCGAGGGACAGUUCCUGGGCAACGCCGAAGCCCGGGCCCUUCGUCUCGAUGCGAGCUUCCGCACCUUCGUCCAGGGCGACCUCUCCGUUGGUGAGUUUUGCCGGAAGAUGAAGACCAUGGCGGACUCCCUCGGGGACCUUGGCUGGGCCGUGGAGGACCGGAUCUUGGUUCUCAACGUCCUUCGCGGCCUCAGCGACCGCUACGCCCACCUCCGCACCUGGAUCACCCGGCAGCGACCCUUCCCCACCUUCCUCCAGGUCCGGGAUGAUCUUGUCCUGGAGGAGCUUACUCAGGGCAUCCAGCCUGGGUCCCUUCCUGCGCCGGGGUCCGCGUCUUCCUCGACCGCGCUUGCUGUGACUCCACCGCCACGACCCUCCGCUUCGCCACCGUCGUCCCUUCUUGGUCCUCCCCCUCCUGGGCCGAGCGGGGGUGGGGGGGGCCGUGGCGGCCGCCGUCGCCGUGGUGGGGGACGUGGUGGGGGACGCGGUGGGGGCACACCGGCGGGCACACCGACGCCUCCACGGGGGUCUCCCUGGCCGUCCUUUACCCACCCAUGGUCAGGGCGCAUCUCUAUGUGGCCUUUCCAGGCCACCGGCGAGCCUCGUCCACCGGCCGCCAUGCUUGCUGGCGCUGUCCCAGCUGCUCAGUUCGCGUCGCCGUGGGCUCCUCCUCAGUUCGCGUCGCCGUGGGCUCCUCCUCCCGGGGCCUCGCCUGGGCCUGUUGGGUGGGACCCGACAGCCCUGGCACGCUCUUUCGGCACCAUGGCCCUGACUCCUCCAGUCGGUCAGGACUGGAUCGCCGAUUCGGGUGCCACCUUCCACACUACGCCCGACCCUGGUAUCCUCUCUUCCGUUCACCCUCCUUCUUCCUCCCACCCUUCGUCCAUCAUGGUCGCCAAUGGCUCGUGUCUUCCUGUCACCUCCGUGGGCACUGCUCACACUCCCGGUUCUUUUCGAGUCUCUGACGUUCUUGUUGCUCCUUCCAUGGUUCACAACCUUCUUUCUAUUCGCCGUUUUACCACUGACAAUUCCUGUUCUGUUGAAUUUGACUCCUCUGGUCUUACUGUGAAGGAUUUGGCUUCCCGACGACCUCUUCUCCGAUGUGACAGCACCGGGCCCCUUUACUCCCUCCGGUUUCCUGCGUCCACUUCUUCCGCUUCCGCUUCGCCCUCCGCUUCUUCAGCUGCUUUUGCCGCCACAGCUUCUUCCACUACAUGGCACCGGCGUCUUGGUCAUCCUGGUCGUGCUGUCCUGACACAGCUUAGUCGUAGGUCCGAUAUACCAUGUACUCGGGCUCAUGAUGAGCACCUGUGUCAGGCGUGCCAACUGGGCCGUCAUGUUCGACUUCCUUUUCCUACCUCUUCUUCACAUGCGACCCAUGUUUUCGACCUUGUACAUUGUGAUCUAUGGACAUCUCCUGUUCUAAGCAUUUCUGGCUACAAGUACUAUCUUAUUGUGGUGGAUGAUUUCUCUCAUUAUUCUUGGACUUUUCCCUUGCGUGCCAAGUCUGAUACUUUUCCCACACUUCUCCACUUCUUCGCGUGGGUGUCCACUCAGUUCGGUCUCACCAUCAAGGCCGUCCAGUGUGACAACGGCCGCGAGUUUGAUAACACCACCUCCCGUGCCUUCUUCCUCUCUCACGGCGUGCACCUACGCAUGUCGUGUCCCUAUACCUCCUCCCAGAACGGUAAGGCUGAACGCAUGAUUCGUACCACGAACGACACCAUGCGCUCUCUUCUGUUCCAGUCUUCUCUCCCUGCCCCUUUUUGGGCUGAGAGUCUUCACACCUCCACCUAUCUCCUUAACCGCCUACCUUCUGUUGCCUGUCCCGCUCCCACUCCACACCACGCUCUCUUCGGUACCUCCCCCCGUUACGAUCACCUUCGGGUCUUCGGGUGUGCGUGUUAUCCUAACACCGCAGCCACCGCUCCUCAUAAGCUGGCUCCCCGUUCGACCCAGUGUGUCUUCCUCGGGUACUCCCCGGAUCACAAGGGGUACCGUUGCUUUGACCUCUCUUCUCGGCGGGUCCUCAUCUCUCGCCACGUGGUGUUUGACGAGUCCGUCUUCCCUUACUCCACCACCACCCCACCUCCUUCCACCUCCGACCCUAAUCUCUCCUCUCUGUUUCCCACUGACCCGGUGGACCAGCCACCGCUACCGUUCUGUCCUGCAGGUACUGCUCCGCCGUGGUUCUCCUCGGACUCGACGUCCACCGGUACUGUCCCUGACCCUGCGCUCAGCACGGGUCCGACGGUGCCGGCCUCUGGUGCUGCUUCUUCCCCUUCGCCCUGCACGGGACCGGUGGCACCGCCCGCAGCACCUGCUGUCCGGUUUGCGCAGCCCGUCCGCGUCUACCAGCGUCGGGCGCGGCCGGCUCCACUGGACCUGCAGCCGGCCCCGCCACCGCCGUCGCCGCCUCCGUCAUCGCCGGUGGACUCUUCUCCACCUACACCACCACCACCUCCACCGGCCCCGACUGCCCGUGUCGCGCCGACGGUGUACCAUCCGCCUCUCCUACACCGACACCCGCGUCACGUUCACCCUAUGGUGACGCGACUUGCGGCUGGUACCCUGCAGCCCCGGGCUCUUUCAGCGAUGCCCGGCGCGCCGCAGGUUUCUCCUGUACCCUCCUCCGUCCGCGGCGCCCUGUCGGAUCCUCACUGGCGCCGCGCGAUGGAAGAGGAGUACGCGGCGCUCCUCGCCAACCAGACUUGGGAUCUGGUGCCCCGUCCGCCUGGCUCCAACGUCGUCACCGGCAAGUGGAUCUGGACUCACAAGCGGCGGGCUGAUGGUACUCUUGAGCGGUACAAGGCUCGCUGGGUUCUCCGGGGUUUCACUCAGCACCCUGGUGUCGACUACGACGAGACGUUCAGUCCGGUGGUCAAGCCAGCCACUGUCCGGACUGUUCUCUCACUGGCUCUCUCCCGCGCCUGGCCCGUGCAUCAGCUCGACGUCAAGAACGCCUUCCUGCACGGCACUCUGACUGAGACUGUUUACUGCAGCCAGCCAGCGGGGUUUGUUGACUCUUCACGGCCUGAUAUGGUUUGCCGGCUCAACAAGUCCCUUUAUGGCCUCAAGCAGGCCCCUCGAGCUUGGUAUUCGAGGUUUGCUGCCUACCUCCUGACGCUGGGCUUUGUGGAGGCCAAGUCCGAUACUUCACUGUUCAUUUAUCACCAUGGAGCUGAGACUGCUUAUCUACUGCUCUAUGUUGAUGACAUUGUCCUCACUGCCUCCAGUCCGUCCCUCCUACGGCGGAUCAUCACCUCGCUUCAGCAGGAGUUCGCUAUGAAGGAUCUGGGUGUGCUCCAUCAUUUUCUUGGGGUCACUGUUGAGCCUCGUCAGGCCGGCCUCUUUCUUCACCAGCGGCAGUAUACUCUUGAUAUCCUGGAGCGAGCUGGGAUGACUGACUGCAAGCCCUGCUCCACUCCAGUUGAUACUCAGGCCAAGUUGUCCGAGGCCGCCGGCACUCCUGUGACAGAUGCUACUGCAUAUCGGAGUCUGGCUGGGGCCCUUCAGUACCUCACCUUCACCAGGCCAGAUAUCACUUAUGCAGUUCAGCAGAUUUGCCUUCACAUGCAUGAUCCCCGAGAGCCCCAUCUCACUGCUCUGAAGCGCUUACUCCGUUACCUCCGGGGCACUGUGGACUACGGCCUCCUGCUUCACCGGUCUCCCUCCACAGAGCUUGUUGUCUACACCGACGCUGACUGGGCCGGGUGUCCGGACACUAGGCGCUCUACCUCCGGCUACGCCGUCUUUUUGGGCGGCAACCUGGUGUCCUGGUCGUCCAAGCGUCAGCCGGUGGUCUCCCGCUCCAGUGCCGAGGCGGAGUACCGCGCUGUCGCUAACGGCGUGGCUGAGGCAUCCUGGCUUCGGCAGCUCCUUGUCGAGCUCCACACUCCUUCUUCUCGGAGCACUCUUGUCUACUGCGACAACGUCAGUGCGGUGUACCUCUCCACCAACCCUAUUCAGCACCAGCGGACCAAGCAUGUGGAGAUCGACCUUCACUUCGUCCGGGAUCGGGUCGCCAUCGGCGAUGUUCGGGUCCUCCACGUCCCGACCACCUCUCAGUUUGCUGACAUCUUCACCAAGGGCCUCUCGUCACCCGCCUUCACCGAGUUUCGCUCCAGCCUCAACAUCACCUGUGGCUAGUUGCGUCUGUGGGGGGGCUUGUGUGUGUGCCUUUCUUUACAUGUCCAGUCUGCAACUCCGCUGCGUCGGUAGUUCAGACUGCGGGGGAGUGUUGGUGUACUGUGUGUAUUAGGGCCCAAUAGGCCCAUGUAAGACAUCUAUAUAGCUACCCUCUAGGGUUAGCCCAUAAUCCAUCUAUUACCUUCUAGCAAGUAUGUCUGGUUGCAGUUGUAAUCUAAACACACAGGACGAUGUUAUGCUUUGCAGUGGUUCUGAACUUCUGAUCUACCAAUCUUUCCUGAACCUUUAGGUGUAAAGCUGAGUGAUGCUUCGAAGGAGCUUGGGAAGAAGGUUGCAACUAGAGAUUUUGCUGUUAAGGUAUCCUAUAGGUUGUUCCCUCCUGUCACUAUUGUUUAUAUAUUUUUCCCUUAGCUAUUUCUUGAUGGCAUGUUUCUGUAUUUUUCUUUGUGGUUCUUGCCUCGAGUUCAAUUUUUGCCCUGUUAGAGAAUACGGAAUUAGAUAGGACAGGGGGGAUAUCAUUUCAAGCAGGUAGUUUGAGAACCAUGACCUUUAGUUCUUUACAUUACAGCUUCAUUAUUUAGUUCUGCCUUUAUUAAUGAUACUGUACUUGGUUAAUUAUUUUUUCUGAAGUCUGAACUUUAUUAUCAAUUGAUGGAGUAUUGGAUGCCUGACCUGUCCUACUUUUAUAAAGCAAUGGAAGAUUCUAAAACCCUAGCAUCUGCAGAUUGUUCCCAAUAAGAUUAUGUUUUGUUUCAGCAAUGAGGUUUGUUGUUAAAUAGGAUUCUGUAGCUGUUUAUCUGGGUUGAACACUAAUACAGAUAUCUCAAUCUCAUGUUAAAUCCUACCUGGUUAGGACUAUUGUCAUUAAAAACAUAAGUUUGACAUUCAUUGUUUGCAGAGUUCUACUUCUAAGUUUCUUUAAUUUGCAUAAUGAACAAUGCAAGCAAUCUAUAUUGGAGAAAAUUCAGGCAAAUCAAUUUGAGGCACUGGCCUCUGUUGAGGAAAGAUCUCUGAAAAAUAUGGGGUAAAUAGCCUGAAGUGGAAACCAUUAACAAAAGGCCGGGCAGAAAAGGAGUCAUCACCGGACCAUGUUAGUUUCAUUCUUGUUCUCGGACACACUACAGUACUUGAGUUCCAUCCUUGUGCUCAUUAUGGUUGGGUCCUCUGGUCAGGUAUAUGUGAUCCAUAGGAGUAGCUUCUUGUUUUGUUGGCUUUUUCAUUGUAAGACCUGCAAUUCGUUCUUUUGUUUCAAGCUCGUGCUUUGAUCCUGUAACUUCAAAUGUGAUUUAUUUAUGCAACAAGAGUGUACAGUCAAUUAUUGUUACCUAUCAAUAGAAGGUUACUCUCCUAGUGUGUUGUUGUUUUAUAUCUUAAUUUCACCUCAAUCAUUUCGAUUUGGAUGGAUUAUUGGUGGGUUAUAGAGCUUGUGUUUUAAUUGUCUUAAUUAAUUACUUUAAAUGUAAAUGUCGUGAAGUGCUUAAUAUGCCUUCAACAUUCAAAUCUAUCAAGCAUUCUAGGCUUUUAGCUUGUUUUUUAGAAUGAACUGUGUGUACCAAGGAUUUUUUACAUGAAUGUAUGGUUAAUUUCUCGAGAAUGAAUUGGAUUUGCUCUAAAUAUGUAGUCCCAGCUUACACCCAGGAGAAAACUUUGGCUUCCUUGAAUUCUAUGGCAAUGUUUACCAGGUCCAAUCAAUUGUUGAGAAUGCAAUAGUACUCUUCAAUUAUUGCUGGGUGUGGCCUGGUCCAGCACUCCACCGAGGAAAUAUUUGAACGCUUAUCAUGCGUUCAUUCAGGAAUGUAGCCUUUCUUGCAACUCCGGGUGGUCGUACACAAGAUGCAGUCCACUUAAAAAAUGUUUAUAGUCUGGUGUCUGGACAUGGUGUUUGCAGGUGCAAAAAAAGGUUUUGAGUACGAUAUUUGGUGCUGAUAGCAUUGCAUGGGUGAUGGGUGAGCUCCAGUAAGACAAACAUCACGGCUAUAUAUUUUUUUUCUCUCUAAAGGACACCUAUAUUGCUGGGCUGCUUGAUGCCUCUGCCCACGUUUGCUCGUAGCAACAGCAACGCACGGGCACAUUCCUAGUCUUCUCUUAAUAAACGAAUGAGCUAGACAUUUUUUUUGCGAUCUUUCGGGCUCCCACCCUUCGCUGUGCGUCUGCCAUCGAGCAAUCGCGAUCCUCGCUACGACUUGCGGGCGUCGAUCUUCCCCCUCGCCAAAACAAGAUCAACUCCGCAAAGAUCGCCUGUCAGUUUCUUUCCGUAACUUCUCCUGCUCCUUCUCUCUUUUUCAUCUCCAUCGCACCUCCGCGGUUCCUCCGCACGCCGUCCCUGUCGUCCAUCGUCGCCUACCCAUCCCUCGCCCGUGCCAACGCACGGCUGUCUGCAUCUACACGCGGUCAUUGUCAACGUCGGCGGCGCCAUAAGAGCCCCGCCACCACGCAUAAGAAGGAGAGUCAACAGCCGGCCUCUUCCCUUGCUUCUCGGUUUUUUUCUCUCCAACUGCACGCGAUCAGAAUCGAGCCUCCACGUUCACGCGACGAUGGCGCCGCCUGGUGACCAAGGCAAUUACCUCCUCGCGCGAUCAGUUGAGAAUACAUGCAUGUCUAGAUGCAUAUCAAAAACUAUAUACGGAUGUGCUAGCACCUGAACGUCCGAUAAUUUUUUUUAUCGGACGCUCCGUCGCAACAUUGAAAAAUAACUAUCAAAACAUAAAAAAUCAACACUUGCAACAUGAAAAUAUGCACUAAAAAUAGUUUUGGAACUCAUGCACGCCAUCCAUCUCAAGGAUAAAAAAUCCUCAUGUGGAACAUUUUCAUCAUGUUUCAUGCAACAUUCAUCAGAAGAUAAAUUUGCAACACCUUUACGUGCAUGAAACAUCUCGAAUCGCUUCGUACAACAUUCAAAACAGACACAUUGCAACAAUAAAAAUCACAAGUUGCAACAUCUCGAAUAGAAACAAUCUUGCGAUCCCGACCAAAUCAAGUAUUGCAACAACCAAAAAAAGCAUCUCUUACAGCAUUGCAACAACAAAAAAUCAUCUCUUACAGCAUUGCAACAACGAAAGAAAAAGAGGCCGAAACAAAGAAAACAACCAUAUGCAACAUCGUGAACAAGUUGGUGCAACACCCGAUUGCUAGCAAGUUGGACUGUUGCAAACAGAUGAAACAUCAAAAGCCAACUGUUGCAACAUCCAAAAAUCUCUACUACAACAUCAAGAGGUACCUAUCGCAACAUGGAGUCGUCAGUAGGUGCGCCGACAUGGGUGCCGACUUCUCCUAGCCGAAGACGCCCUCGCCGUCGACGAUGUAGACGAAGGCGUUCCAGCCCUCCAGGACGGGCUGGUGGAUCUGGGAGCCCGGGCGCAUGGUGAAGUCCAUGUACAUGGUCGGGGUGUGCGUGUCGAUGAGCACGUCCAUGCAGAUGACGAUGAAAGUGAGGUCCCAUAGAAAUCGAGCAUCAUUACAAUGCGGGAGUAGGCCAAUCAGUGUGUUGCUGCUCCACCGUAUUCCGCCAUGGCCUACUGCAUCCACAUCGCCGUGCCCUUGCAGCAGCCCCUAUGUGCAGCACGCCCCGUGGCACAACCCGCUGGCCGCUGCCGUCGAGGAGCAGUACCGAGUCCAGGGCACCUCGCAACAGGAUCUCAAGGGACAUGGUGUUCUUCUCUAUGGGAAAGGGAUAAGAGCAAAAGAAGAAAGGAAGGUGAAUGAGUGGUCCAGAGUUACCUGCACUUCAGGGCGCUUUCUAGUAAAAGUUCAUAUGGGCAGGGAUGAGACACGUAUUCAUGGUGGAAAGUUGGCCAGCGAGAUUAAUAAUUAAGCAAGCACUAUGAGCUGUGAGCGAGCGUCCAAUUUUGUAGGUUAGGUCGGACGACCGGGUAGUAGCAUUACCGAACUAUAUAUCUUGAGAAGCUAAAACGAAUAGCAAUCUGAUGAUCCGGUGGGAACUGGGAAGUAUAUAUAUAUUGCCUAACUACCCAUGUUAAUUCCUAAUUAGCCAGGAAAAACGGCAACGGCCGCGGAGUACUCUUCGCAGGCGCCGGAGGAAGCCGCUGCCGCUCGGAGCUUGCCGUCGCCAGCCACACAGAGACCGUGCCGCUGCCGCUUCUUCCCGUGCCUUCUCUGGCCAAGUCGCAUAUGGCCACCGCCCGUCGUAUACCUAGGUGAGCAGCCCCUAUGAUCUUCCUCGGCGCAACUUCUGGCAACCCUCACUGAAGCGCCAGCAAGUGAGCGUGAGCCACCAUUACCAAGGCUAUUGGCUGAUGUCCUUUACUGCAGAAGAAGGGGGAAGCACGCGGAGAUAGCUACAUAGUCACAUAGGGAAGCGACGAUGGCUACCUACGAAGGUGCGGAGUUUAGUUUGUUGUCCUCCACGUCCCUAGCGAGAUGCCCAGUCUAAAUGACAGGGAGCGGGGCAUCAGCCAUCUAAAUGAUCUAAAAUUGAUUUCACUUAACCUUCUUUCACUUUUCUAAGUAAAAUAAAGAACGAACUUUGAAAUUCCUCUGAAGCACGUGUGUUUCAUGACAUGGAUGCAUUCAAUUUUGAGUGUUUGUAACGAAACAGGUGUUAUAAAUUUUAAGUAUCAAUUGCAAACAUGGCCAAAUGUUAUUUUCAUAUCCAAGGCAGGGAUCACUUAUAAGUCUAUGUUAUUUUUUUUAACUCGUCAUUGGUCCUUUAAGAUAGUAGAUAGGAGAAGCUUGUGCAUGUGCUCAAGAGAGCAACGCUGAUUGGAGAUGUAAGAUUGAUACACAUGUCACUGUUAAUUUAACAUUUUCACAGGUUGUGCCAAAAACAAUACGAGUGCAUCUGCAUGUGGUCUAUGGAGAAGCUCUGGUACUCACUGUGUUGCUGCAGUUCCUUCUGUAGUGAAGCUCGGGAUGUUGUUGAUCUCAGUCCUGACAAGCUGCCGCGGUGAAGCUUCAAAACACUGUUAGAAUCAAGUGCGCUUUUUCUAUGAUGUUGAACUGAAUUAUACUAGUGAUGGAAAAUGCUAAUCUCUGAUGGUAUGCAUUCAACUUUCCUAAAUGUAGUAGUUUAAAUUCCAUGGAGGUGCUUUAUGACACAUGUUUUUGUCAUGUUAAGGCACACAUGAAGUUAUGCUUUGAUCUUGUUAAGUUGAUGCUUGUUUCAUAAAUGGCUUGUGUUGAAGAACUCUUCUAGAUUAUGGUAAUUUUCCACCAUCUUUCACAUUUUAGAGUUUCCUUGUCGUUUUUCAUCUAUUAGUGAUGGACAGGGUCCUGGUUUCUCUUUACUGUUCACCGUUGCUUCCUUUUAGAAUUUCCUUUGUAAUUUUCACUAAUAAUUGGCCAUUGGUCACUGGCCUUUUAUGGGUGUGCAUUUGUUUAUUGUGUUGUUGUAUUGGUUUACUAGGAUCGUACCCGUGCCUUACUACAUGCAAAACAAAAAAUGAGUUACACUAUGUUAUAAAAUUAAGGAAUUAUGCAACUCAUGUUUCAACUCAAAGUUUCAAAUUAUACAACACAGACAUUUGUGAUCUUUUUACAUUGCCUAGAAAGAGCAGGAAAGGGCCAUGCCACCAUAGGAUGGGUGAUGUGCUGCCUCCUCCAGGCGUCCACUGUAGCAGCACGUGUGGAUCAGAUUCCAUCGGCUCCCGCAUGCCGGGCUACGCCGGCCGCCGCGCGAACGGAGGCCACUCCUGCUCGGGGUCCGGCUGCGGCGGCGGGCAGUUAGGGCUGAGCGCAGAGAGGCGGCCGUGGACGCGAGCGCAGACGGUGAACCCGGCCAGGGGAUGCCAACGGUGGCAAGGGCAGCUUGGCGGGCGGCAGCGGGGUGGACUGCGAGCCGGCCGACUCUGGAUGAGGAUCGGGUAGGGUGACGGAGUGGAUUAGGAGACGGAUUUUGUGGGAGCAGGUGCGGAAACAUCUUCAGCAGGACGAAAGGGUAGGCAUAGCUCGCGCGAAUGACGGACAUCGGACGGUGAUACACGCGAGUUGGCGAAGCGAAAGGUCAGCCUCCCGUGGGUCGUACGACAAAAAAAAAGUCCCCUUCUUACGUUUUUAGUUGGAGAGGAGAGGAGAGAUUUGCAAGUAGUCAGCAGUUCCUGUGUUGGGUGGGGGAACUAUGCAAGUUCACUGUUCCUAUAUACCCAGAAUAGUUGACAAUUAACUACCUUGGUUUAAGCCAUGCAUUUCUUUUAGUAAUCACAUAUUCCUUCAAAUAUGUUUGGAGUCCAUCUUACAUACAAUCAUCCAUAUAUUAUUGGAAAAAGUCCAAUUUACUACCUUCAAGUAUGGCAUAGGUCCAAAUUGUUAGGUGCAUGCCUAGGAUCUCUAGAUGCAUAUCUAGUUGGGAUCAUAAUAAAUAUGAAGUUCUUGGGGUUUCUGGUGUCAACCGAGAGUGAUAGAGAGAGAGGUAGGGGUACCUUCACCCCUAGGGGUGGAAGCAGCAGAGCUGCUGGCCAUCGCUGGUUCUGUUCUUGAAGAUCUGCGCAAGGCAGCGACGCGGAGUGCAGUUGCAUUGCCGGCGUGGUGGCGGCGGUGCUUCCCGUCGCUACUACGCAAGACCUAGAUCGGUAGGUGUGUCGGUGGGGCGGCUGGCAGCGGCAAACCUCGUGAGCCGAGCCAUAGCCCCCACCCUGUUUAUAUAGCGCAGCGCGACAGGGGCCCACCACCCAAUGCUAGGGUGGGCGUCCCCGAUCAGGGCGCGGAUCAGGGUCCCGAUGGGCCUUUGGGCCCAUUGGGUAGGAGAUCAAUCUAACAUUCUCCCCCUUAUCUCAUCAUUCACUUUUAACUUUAAACUUUUCGCUUUUAUUCGUUUCAUCAUAGAUUAAUGUGUAGAGCAUGCCUCAUCGUCACAGCUCAAUCGCCGAUAGAAUCAACAGCUACAACACACCUCUCUAUUUUGAAACAAUUCUAUUUCUUUUGGGCCUUUACAAUCCAGGAAUCAUAGGCUUUCCCUUAAACCCAUGCCGGCUAAGUGUUCUCUGAACACAUUGGGUGGUAAGCCUUUCGUAAGUGGAUCCGCAAGUAUAUCUUUUGUUCUUAUAUGCUCGAGAUUUAUAGUGCGAUCCUGGAUUUUGUCUUUCACAACAUAAAACUUUAUCUCAAUGAUUUUUGAAGCAUUACUUGAUUUGUUGUUCUGAGCAUAGAAUACUGCUGGCUCAUUGUCGCAAUACAUCUUUAGUAGUCUGUGAAUACAGUCAACCACUCUCAAUCCGGGUAUAAAUUUCUUUAACCACAUCGCCUGCCCCGCCUGCCCUGUGGCCUCAUGACAUGCUAUAAAUUCUGCAUGCAUCGUGGAUGACGCAGUUACUUUCUGUUUUGAGCUUCUCCACGAGAUAGCUCCUCCUGCGAGAGUGAACACGUAACGAGACGUGGAUUUUCUAUCAUCUUUGUCUCCCGCAAAAUCUGCAUCUGAAUACCCUUUUAUCUCUAGGGAAUCAGAUCUCUUAUAUGUAAGCAUGAGUUUUUUUGUGCCUUGCGCAUAACGCAAUGCUUUCUUUACCAUUUUCCAGUGUUCUACACCUUGAUUACUUUGAUAUCUUCCAAGAACCCCAGUAACAAAAGCUAAGUCAGGGCGAGUACAUACUUGAGCAUAUUGUAGGCUUCCGACAGCUGAAGCAUAUGGAACCGCUUUCAUUUGAUCGAUCUCGUACUGGUUCCUGGGACAUUGAAAAUUCCCAAAACUGUCACCCUUGACUAUGGGAGCAGGUGUGGCUUUACUCGCAUGCAUUUUAUACCUCUUUAGAAUCUUUUCUAAAUAUGCCCUUUGCGAUAAUCCAAGAACCCCAUUCUUUCUGUCUCAGUGAAUUUCUAUGCCCAAAACAUAUGAUGCUUCACCGAGAUCCUUCAUAUCGAAAUUUGAGGACAAAAACUUCAUUGUCUCUUGCAGUAGACUGAUAUCACUGCUCGCAAGUAAGAUAUCAUCCAUAUACAGAAUUAGGAAAAUGUAUUUCCCAUUUUUGACUUUGCAUAGACGCAAUUGUCCUCUAUGUUCUCUUAAAACCCAAAUUUCUUAAUUAUAUCAUUAAACUUUAGAUACCACUGUCUAGAGGCUUGCUUUAAUCUAUAAAUAUAUUUCUUUAGAUGACAUCCCAUAUUCUCUUUGCCUUCCAUGAUAAAACCCUUGAGUUGUUUCAUAUAGACAUUUUCUUCUAAAUCCCCAUUUAGAAAUGACAUAUUUACAUCCAUCUGAUGUAACUCUAAGUCAAAAUGUGCAACCAAUACCAUUAUAAUUCUGAAAGAGUCUUUACAUGAGACAGGAGAAAAAGUCUCAUUGUAAUCUAUUCCUUCUCUUUGUGUAAAGCCUUUUGCCACAAGUCUCGCCUUAUACCUUUCUAUAUUCCCUUUGGAGUCACGUUUAGUCUUGUAGACCCAUUUACAGCCUACUGUUUUGGCUCCUUUAGGAAUUUCUUCAAGUUCCCAAACUUUGUUGGAACUCAUCGAUUUCAUCUCAUCUUCCAUGGCCUCUAGCCACUUUGAUGAGUGAACGCUUUUCAUGGCUUCCUCAUAUGAAGUGGGAUCACCUUCUAUAUGAACUUCUUCUGUAUUAUAAACUUUAUAGUCAUCAGAAAUAGCUGAUCUUCUGACACUUUGAGACCUUCUAUGCCCCUCACUUUCGGGCACAUUCUGUGCCUCUGCUUGUGGCACAUCAUCCAGAGGUGGCUUCUGCAACUCUUCCUCAUGUGUAAUGAUGGGUUCAAUUGGCUCCUGAAGGACAGGUUUCAAAUUUACACUCAUCGUUUCCAUGGGUGGAAUCACAGCAGGUGCUUGUACCACAAUAUUAGGAACUGUAGCGGGUGCUUGCACCACAACCUCAGGAACUGUCGGUGCGGGAACAACAGGUAGUGAGAAGAAUGGUUCCUGAAUCAUCGGAUUGGGUGCACACACCCGCUUCUCCUCGAGAUCAAUCUCUCGAGGCACCAUGCUCCCCCUCACCAUUUCAUCCUCUAAGAAAAUGGCGUGUCUCGUUUCCACAAACUUUGUAUAUCUGUCUGGACAGUAGAAACGAAAACCUUUUGAUUUUUCCAGAUAGCCAAUGAAGUGGCAGCUUACUGUUUUGGGAUCUAGCUUCCCAAUAUUUGGGUUAAAUACUUUGCCCUCAGCUGGGCUCCCGCACACACGCAGGUGGUUUAGUGAGGGUACUCUUCCUGUCCAUAGUUCAUACGAUGUUUUGGGCACCGACUUACUUGGCACUCUAUUUAGAAUGUGAAUGGCGGUUUUCAACGCCUCCAUCCACAGUCCCAAUGGUAAGGUGGAAUAACUCAUCAUGCUGCGCACCAUAUCCAUUAGUGUACGGUUACACCUUUCAGCUACUCCAUUUUGCUGAGGCUCGCCCGGCAUCGAAUACUGGGCUACUAUGCCAUUUUCCUGCAAAAACCUCGCAAAAGGUCCAGUAACUUGGCCAAAUGGGGUAUGUCAACCAUAGUACUCCCCCCACGGUCGGAUCUUACUAUUUUAAUUCUUUUAUUAUGCUGAUUUUCAACUUCAGCUUUAAAUAUCUUAAAUUUAUCCAGCGCUUCUGAUCUUUCUUUAAUUGGAUAAAUAUACCCAUAACGGGAGUAAUCGUCUGUAAAUGUUAUGAACGAGUCAUAGACAUCCACGCUUUUCACAGAAAAUAGUCCACAAAUAUCAGUGUGGAUUAUCUCUAAAACUCUUGUGCUACGUUUAACGCCUUUUUUAAUUUGCUUUACAAACUUUCCUUUAAUGCAAUCUACGCAUUGUUCUAAGUCUGAGAACUCUAAUUGAGGAAGAAUUUCAUUCUUAACUAGUCUUUCUAUUCUCCCCCUCGAAAUAUGGCCUAAACAACAGUGCCAUAAUUUCGACGAUGUUUCAUGACUCUUUCUUUUCUUUGUUUCUUGCUCUGACGAGGAUACAUUCAUAUUCACAUCACACACAGAAUUUACUUUUUCACGCAGCGAUAAUAAAUACAACUCAUUGUGAAGGAUGGCAACUCCAACACAUGCAUUAUCAAACCAAAUGGCACACUUUCCAUUUCCUAAAUGACAUUCAUAUCCAUCAUGGUCCAUACGUGAAAUGCUAAUCAAGUUUCUGUGUAAUGAAGGAACAUAAAGUACAUCUCUAAGUAAGAGCAUGAAACCAUCAACUAGCUCUAGAGAGACAUUGCCAACAGCUUCAACGUCUGCUUGGACUCCAUUUGCGACUUCAACGCAUCUUUCGCUUCUUUGCAUAGUCCUCGUCGAACGGAAUCCCUGUAAAGAAUUUGCAACAUGAACAGUUGCAUCUGAGUCAAUCCACCAAGUAUAUUUCGAAUACUGUGUAUACAAGGAUUCAUUUACAAAGGAGAUAGUGUUCUCACCUCUUUUUGCCAUUAUCGACUUUAACCAGUCGGGGCAUUCUUUCUUGUAAUGCCCCUUUUUCUUGCAAUGGAGACACUGAUCUUUGUCUACUGUGAGAGGCUUUUGGUGAUGCUACUGCAUGGGAGCCUUUCAUCACGCCUUGAAAGAGGAGUUAGCAUUCUUUUUCCUGUUGUCCUUCAUAUAGUGCAAUGAACCACCAUAUGAGGAUCUAAUUCUAUCCUCUUCCUGCACGCACAUGGCUAUCAUCUUUUCCAUGUCCCACUGUUCUGGCUGCAUGUUGUAGUUGACAACAAAGGUGUCAAACUCUUUUUGCAGGGAAGCGAAAACCAAAUGAAUAAUGUGCCCAGGCUUGAGCUCAAGAUCCAUUGGCUUCAACUGUGAUGCAAGUUAUACAUCCGAAAGAUGUGCUCUCUUAUGCCAGUUCCUCCUCCAGUGUACCUCUCUGUGGCCAGCUGCUUGAACAGCUGGGUAGCAUAUUGUUGGCGCUAGAAAUCGGUCAACCGAAUUCCCAGCGUCUGACACACGACCCGGGAGAAUCUGCUUAGCUCCUGUUCGGGUGAUCGCCCUAGUGCGGUUCGCGCGGCGUGCCAGCCAAUCUGACCUGUCGAUUGGCAAGGAAGAAUACGUGUCAGAUCCAAGAGUCGCGAUCGGCUAAAUUUCCGAUCUCGAGAGAGCUUAUCAGCGGAUCGGCCGAUUUGCCGUAAUAAAGAAAUAGGCUAUAGGGCAGCCGAUCACUGUAGCCUUGUAGACAGAAAACUACUGGAGUGAUCGGCGCAAUACUAUAGUGACAACACUAGGAAUAGAUCUAAUCGGCAAUAUAUAAAAUAGAUGAAUUUAAUAGCAGAAUAUAAGGAAAGCCGAAACCACCGAUUCCUAGCUGGAUAACUGGUGAUAAAACUAGAAAGACAGGUAAAACCUACGAUUCUAGUAAAUAUCGAUAACUAGUGAAUAAAUCUAAACGAAACAACAGCGAUACGCCCGAAGUUAAAGCCUAGAAUUUACUCGGUAAACGGAACUUACAAGAUCGGCCGGAGGUCAAGUUGAUGCAGCCCUGCCAACCCGUACGAACUCGUGAAAAGGGAAAGUAUUUGGCGAAGUCGCCUGCUUGAAAGUAAGUACGAGGAAAAAGUAGUUGGUUGUAUUGAUUUGUUCAUGAUUACAGAUUUACAAAGGUAGCUAUUUAUAGCCCCGUACGGAUAACUCCUUAACUGACUAGAAUUCUAUCCCUAAUUCAAAUAGAAAAUGAAUAUUUACAAGCACGACUCGUGCUAGGUUGGUUAUUAUACGCUUCGUGGGCUGAUCUCCCCUUCGUCCUUCUAUUCCUUUUCAAGCCCAUACAGGCCCAAUUAUCCCAACCUCCUAAUCGGCCGAUUCCUUAUCGGCAAAAAGGCAACCGAUUGGGAACCCAGCGCGUUCGAUCCGAAGCGAGGCAGAAGUCAUCGGCCGAUCUUGUACUGUAGCACCAUUCGGCCGAUUCCCAACUGUACUUUGCCAAUUCCCUCUCUUCUUAGCGCCGAUUUUACUAGUGACGAAAUCUAGCGUCAACACAUGCCCCCCAGUUUCGGAGUAAAACAUAGUCUUUUACUUCGAAAUUCUUUUCAACUUCUCCUCCGAAACAACCGCAAUGAAAAUAUCCUUCCAUUUCGCGGUCUUCCAGCUGAUGAUUGCAAUCUUUUCGAAACGGGCGCCCACGACAACCACUACUCCCGAAAAACUCGAAACGCCGGCACGGUAAAAAUUCCAAUUUUACCCCUCUUCAGGCGCCCUUUAAAUAGCGGUUCACCCCGCACUUCAUCUUUAAGCUCACGUCUUUCUUCCUCCGCGCGCGCGCCUUCUUCUUCCCUCGGCACUUUUCCCUUGUCACCGAAGCUUCAUAGCGCCAUCCUCCUGUUGCUUCUUCUCUUCCUCUCCAAUGGCGGCUCCUUCUGGCAGCUCUCCAGCGCGCGAUGCUCUGGAAGUAGCACCUCCGGUGGUAGUGGCGACGACAGUUGCUCCAUCGACAGAAGAAGGAGCUUCAUCGGAGAUCCCAAUGGCGAUCCCCAUCGCGGCCUCAUCGUCCGCAUCUGCACCGGCGAUCACGCCGACCACACGGAACUUCAUCCCAGAGGUUAUUAUCGAAUCCUUCUUCUAUCGGCAAUGCAUUUACUUUAGAUGUGUUCCUUACCUUUUUACACCCCCUUUCCUUUUUUAGGCGGUUAGGCAUCGCAUCACUAUCCAUCUUACGGGAAAUCCCGGCCUUAUUUGCCUCGAACCUAUGGGGAACCCAGAUCCAAUAGAACUUAUCAAUUUAGAAACCCAUAGAAUCCCCUUCAAACAAUCCGGCAUGGACCUGGAUCACUGGUUGGGCACCUUUAGGUCCUGGCCGAAUGAAACCCCAGGUUGGAGGGAGUGGUACCAACGGGUAGCCGCGUCGAAGAGUGUCUCAUGGGACGAGCUCAAAAUCGGUCAGUGUAUCAACCUGUCUUUAUCCCAGAUGGAGAGAAAUGAGCCGUUGGUAAUAGCGGCUUCUUACUUUUGGUCUAAUGCCCUCAAUGCUUUCUUAUUUGGUCAUGGACCUAUGACCCCAACACUGGCCGAUGUGGUUCUGUUGACCGGCCUUGACAUUUCUUCCCCGGACACACCUUUCUGCCUUUUAGCCGCAACGUCACAUCGGCUGGACACAAGGGGAAUCGGCGGGUGGAAAGGAUUCAUCAGAUGUAAUAAAAGAGCUGGGUCUGUUGAGAAUAGGGAACACACGACUUUCUUAAUGAUGUGGUUAGAAAAACACUUCUUUUGUGGAAGAGUAGCCGGCCCAUCAACCAACACCCAGGCUUUAGCCGAAGCACUGUCCGGAGGAACCCGUGUUCCCCUUGGGAAACACUUGCUAGGGGCGGCGUACCACAUGCUCCACCAAAUCGGCAUCAAACUAUCCAAGGGAGAGCCGAUCGGAAAUCCAGGCGAACCCUGGUGGUUCAUCAACUUAUGGCUGACCUCUAUAUGAGCAAGAUCACUCAGCAGAGGGUGGACCGUAUGAUGUUUCCCAACAUCGAAUCGGCAGAAGAUCCUACCGAUCGUCGCCGAUGCAUGUCUUUUGGUGAAGCAGCAUCGGCCUUUCCAGGUUGCACGUAUUCUGCUACAAAAGUAGCCGAGUACUUCCGAUGCUUUUACAACGGCUUUAAUGAAGAUGCAACCGUUUGGUUUCCUUAUCAGCGGGAUGACCCAAUCUUUGAACUCCCAACCUGCUUCGACUCAAGCACUGGCCGAUUCGACGAAGAACUCAACGAUGAGUUAAUCAAGCCAGGAAUCUUGCCAGCCAACUUCUUUUCGGGGAAAGAUGCCCCCACGUACGAGUUCUACAACCCCUCUCUUGCAGCACGUCAGUUCGGCAUGGGUCAGCUGCCGAUUCAAGUGUAUUUUGCUGGCCGAGUCAAGUUCAGAGAUGAGCUCACAACCGGUCUGGACUACAGUCGGGUACGAGACCGGAUUCCGGACUCCAACACCAUUGACCUGAACAACUGGAUAGUAGCUCCCUUUGCUGUCCAGCCAUUCAAACUCUGGUGGGCCGAAUGGAAACAAUUCCUCUUCUGCAAUUCGGCAUUGGCAUACUGCAACCUCCUGGAUCCAGCCAACAUUGACCCGAAUGCCGAGGUAUUUUCCUUAGCCGAUUUUUACUCCUCUUAACGCGACUGAACACUAAUGGUUUUACUAUUUCUUCAGGCCGAGAAUCGUACUCCUCCAACACACAGCCGGAGUGGUCGGCUAAUAGAGGGUCAUCAUCCAUACACCUCCUACCCUCUCAUCGGCUAUGAUGCUCCGUCCGUGGACGUGAUUGCUGGCCGAUCGAAACAAGCUCAGAAGAGAAUCGCCAAGAAGACCAGUCGCCGAGUCCGAGCCCGUAUAGAAUCGACGGAUCCUCCUAUGCUCGUAUCGGCAGAGACUCCGGCCGUGCCACCCCCUCAGGCCACCAAAGAUGACGAUACUCAAGUUGUCGCACAAGCUGGGGCAGCCGCCGCGUCAUUGUUGUUAGAGGCCGUUCAGGUAAACUUAUGUUUUAUUCCUCCCGAUUGUUGUUCUGAUAUUAAUCCUUCUUAUCUUAGACUGCACAGAGCACUCCCAUGGACACACAACAAUCGGCAGCAACCCAAUCGGCCAUCGAUGCGCCCUCGCUUCCAUCCGUUGAGGUAUAGCACUAUUUCACCGAUUUUCCCUGGUAUUUGCAUAAUAUACUUAUUCAACCUUCUGACACAGGUCAUCGGCACGCCAAGCGCUCCUCAACCACUGGUCUUCUCUCAGGGAGCUGGUCCAAGCACCGCGCCGAUCAUCGUGGAGUCUUCCUCUUCCGAUGAACCCAUGGUACAAGCCCCUGAGCAAGGCAUGACGGCUUCCCAAAUGCAACAUGAAGAAAUUUUCUUCAAAGUGGUAAGUUAUAUUCCGGCUUUAUUUAGCCGAUUUGCUUCCACCCUCAGCCGAUUUAUUUUUCCUCUUUAUUAUCUCCAGGAACAAGACACCCUCGACAACAGCCUCUUCUCUUUUGCGGUUGCCCUCUCCGACGAUGAAGAAGUCGCCUCUCGUCAAAUCGCCCUGAGCUCCUUCCCUGACGAUGUCCGAGCCAAGCUUACCACCAUCCGAUCCCUUCUUCAAGGAGAUAUCAGCCGAUUGGUAGAAGACGCUUCGCCGAUUCGUCAGCUGUUUGGUGACGUCAGCGGACGAGUGCCCGAAGAAGCGGAGGAAGCAUUGGCACCGGCCGCUUUUAUUGAGUCCAUGAGGAUCCCAGUCUUUCGAGCCCUUCGUCACAUGGCCGAUCGUGCCAAGCUAGCCAAGACUCGUGAAGGGGAAGACGCAUUCAAACGUCAAGCUCAAGAGGUGCACCAGCGUAUCCAUUUUCUGGAAGACUCCCGCCCAGGGAUCGUCGGUGAGAUAGACCGCCUCAAGCGCCGGAGGGCAGAGCUUGCCAAGGAAAUGGAGCAAGUGACCAAGGCAAUUAGCGCCGAAGAGAAAAGGCUCCAAGAACUUCCUUCAGACAUUGCCGAAUUGAAACAGGAGAGGCAGCACUUGGCCCACGAAGCCCUGAAGCUCCACCGUAGUGCGUCAGAAGUCCCUGGAUCGGCGGAUGAAGACCAACGGAUCCUGGACUCUGCCGAUCAGAUCCGGCGUCGGGCAAUCGCGGCUAUCGAUACCCUUCUGGGUAAUCUGUAAAGGCACUGACUAUUUGUACAAACCUUUAAUAACUACUUUGACCGUCCUUUGCGACGCCUCCUUUAUUUAUUGCCUUUCCUAUUUCCGACGGGACGCAUCCUUACCAAAUUUCCACGCCUCUUUUUCUUAUAAGUACCGGCCUAGGCACUUCCUUCCGAGAGCACCAGCUUGGCUUUCGGCUUUAUUCUCUUACCCCUCUCGUCGGCGCGGCCUUCUGUCAUGUCUUCGUCGGCUUCCUCCUCCUCUGUCAACCAGGUGAAACCUUGGCCUCGAUUCCCCUUUCUCUUUUUAGAUCUUGGGAAGAGGAUGCCCCUUUUUAAUUUUUCUUUGUUUCAGCCUCGGCGUCUUAGCCCCGAACUCGAACGCGCCAUUGAGCUCAUACAUUCUGAUGACCCGUUGUCGUCAGAGGAUAAGGACCUGAUCAGGGCUCAUCGUGACAAACUUCAAGAACACGUCACUGCGGAGGCCCGUCUGGUCUUGGACUUCCUGGACAGCAACGGUCGUCGGCGACCUCUAGCCGACAGAAGUCAUCCGCUUCCUCCGCGAGUCGCCCGUGAAGACGCGGCGGCAGGAACGUCACGCCCGGCUUUGGACCAGAGCCACCCUCUCCCUCGUCAAGUCGAAGCGGAGGCUUCGAUGAAGGAAAUAGAAGAAGAGUACACCCGUCUCAUGAUAGAGCUAGGCCAGACUGAGAGAGAGCGCAAGAAAAAGAAUAAUUAGUUAUUGUAUUUUUUGUUCUAAGGGCGACUUGUAUCUUGUCGGCCGUGUAAUCCACCGUCCGUACCGAAUGAAUACAUCGGCCGAUUUGGACGAUUAUACGUUUAAACCGUUUUACAUUGGUUGUGUGCAAUUGUAUUACGGUCGAUCCCUUAUGCUCCGACCCAUAUACUGGGGUAGUGUCUUUUUAAGUACCUUCCGUUCAGAGCCCUAGUAAAUUCUUCUCCCUCUAUUGUUUCCAAAAUGUAAGCAUUCCCUGGAGCACAUCUGCCGAUUUUAUACGGCCCUUCCCAUGUAGGAGACCAUUUUCCGAAUUUAGGAUCUUUCGACCCAAUCGGCAAUACUAACUUCCAUACCAAGUCCCCAGGGGAGAAUUUUUUGACUUUGACCUUCUUAUCGUACCACCUGGCUACUUUCUUUUUGUUUUCUUCAAUGCUUAUCAACGCUUUCAACCGCUGGCCAGCCAAGUCAUCGAGUUCCCUCUUCAUGAGCGACGAGUAGUCGUCGGCCGUUAAUUGGUCCUGGAGCGAAAUGCGCCUUGAUCCCGCCCUUGCUUCCCAUGGUAGUACUGCAUCGUGACCGUACACCAACUGAUAAGGGGAUAACUUGGUGGCUCCAUGACAAGCCAUCCUGUACGCCCAUAAGGCCUCAGUCAAACAUAGAUGCCACUUCUUUGGCUGCUCUUCGAUUUUCCUUUUGAUUAGCUUAAUUAUCCCUUUGUUGGAGGAUUCGGCCUGACCAUUGGCUUGGGCGUAAUACGGAGAAGAAUUCAACAAUUUGAUCCCCAUAUCGGUUGUAAAUUCCUCGAAUUCCCCCGAUGUGAACAUUGUUCCUUGAUCGGUCGUUAUAGUCUGGGGAAUGCCGAAUCGGUAGACGAUAUGAUCCCUUACGAAGUCGGCCAUGAUAGUCGAUGUCACGGCUCUUAACGGAAUUGCUUCCACCCAUUUGGUAAAGUAAUCGGUAGCUACCAGAAUAAAUUUGUGCCCUUUGCUUGAUGGUGGGUAAAUUUGACCGAUAAGGUCUAUUCCCCAUCCCCUGAACGACCACGGCUUGAUAAUGGGAUUCAUGGCCGAUGCGGGUGCACGUUGGACAUUCCCGAACUUCUGACAAUCCUGGCAUCCCUUAUAAUAUUUGAAACAGUCUUCGAGGAUCGUUGGCCAGUAGUACCCAUUAUUCCUGAUCAUCCACUUCAUCUUAUGGGCCGAUUGGUGUGCUCCACAUACCCCUUCAUGGAUUUCUCCCAUUAGAGUCUUGGCCUCCUCUGUUCCCAGGCAUUUGAGUAGGACACCGUCGAUCGUUCGGUAGAACAGGUCAUCUUCGAGCAGUACGUACUAAGUAGCAUGAAAACGUACUCGUCGUUCCACCUUCUUAGACGGAUCUUUCAGAUAGUCGGCAAUUUCUUUCCGCCAGUCAUCGGCCGCGAGUUCUAGAGCCAUAGCGCCUAGAAUUGGCCGAUAUCCAGAUGCGUGCUGGGCGAGCUUGUUGGCACCUUCGUUGUGGUCCCUUGGGAUGUGCUCGAUUACUACCGAUUUAAAUUCUUUUAAGAGUUGUAGACAAUCUUCAUAAUAAAGUCUCAAUACAUCAUCCUUGCACUCAGACCUUCCGGUUAAUUGAUCCGCAAUAAGCAUGGAAUCCCCGAAGACUUCAACAGAAUCGGCCUUGACUUCUCUUAAUAAUUGUAGGCCCUUCAAAACAGCUCGGUACUCCGCUUGAUUGUUAGUAGCGGUGGCUUCUAUCGGCAGAGAAAAAUCAUAGCUUGCCCCCCGAGGCGAUAUGAGAACGAUGCCAAUUCCUGAUCCGACCCCACAUGACGACCCAUCAAAAUAUAAAGUCCAAGGUGCCGGCUCUACGAGGAUAAUCUCUGGUCCGCAGUGUUGGGCGAUGAAAUCGGCCAUGACCUGACCCUUGACGGCUUUUGCCGAUUCAUACCGCAGGUCGAACUCUGACAAAGCUAAGAUCCAUUUGCCGAUUCGUCCUUUCAAGAUCGGCAGAGAUAGCAUGUAUUUUACUAUGUCGUCUUUGCAUACGACCACGCAUUCUGCCGACAGUAAAUAGUGCCUGAGUUUGGUGCAUGAGAAGUAAAGACACAGGCACAACCGCUCCACCGGAGGAUAUCUUGUUUCAGCGUCCAGAAGUCUUCUACUGACAUAAUAAACUACCCGUUCCUUGCCUUCGAACUCCUGGACUAGAGCCGACCCAAUAGCUUUUUCAUCGGCUGAUAAGUAUAACUUAAACGGCUUACCAGUUUGAGGAGGAACCAAUACCGGUGGUGAGACCAAGUAUUGCUUGAUAUCUUCCAGUACUUUGCGCUGCUCCUCCCCCCAUAUAAAUUCUUGGUCAGGCUUCAACUUCAACAGUGGUGUGAACGCCUGAAUCCGCCCAGAUAGAUUAGAUAUGAAUCUUCUGAUGAAAUUCACCUUGCCGAUUAAAGAUUGCAAUUCGGUUUUGUUCUGCGGGGCCACGACUUUGUUGAUGGCCGCUAUGGUCUUCCGAUUCAUUUCUAUCCCUCGUUCGUGCACCAUGAAUCCUAAGAACUGUCCGGCGGAUACGCCGAAAGCACAUUUAUUGGGAUUCAUCUUAAGCCCGUGUUUCUUGGUGCACUCUAGCACUUUUCGCAGAUCAGCCAGAUGCUCUUCGUGUCCUUUGGACUUGACUACGACGUCGUCGAUGUAGAUCUCUACCAGAAUGCCGAUGAGUUUGUGAAAUAUGUAGUUCAUGGCUCUCUGAUACAUAGCACCAGCGUUCUUCAAGCAAAAAGUCAUCACCACCCACUCGAAUAAACCGAGGUGGCCUGGGCAUCUGAAGGCCGUUUUGGGUAUGUCUUCUUCGGCCAUUAGUAUUUGAUUGUAUCCAGCAUUUCCGUCCAUAAAGCUAAUAACCUUGUGUCCCGCGGCAGCGUCGAUCAGCACAUCGACCGUUGGCAUGAGGUACCCAUCCAUCGGUGUGGCCUGAUUAAGAUUCCUGAAAUCGACGCAAACGCGCAGCUUGCCGUUCUUCUUGUACACUGGUACAAUGUUGGAGAUCCACUCGGCAUAACGGCAUUGCCGAAUAAAUUUUGCUUCGAUUAGCCGGGUUAUUUCGGCUUUUAUAUCUGGUAGAAUCUUAGGAUUGCAGCGUCGUGCAGGCUGUUGGUACGGCCGAUACCCUGGUUUUAUGGGUAGCCGAUGUUCAACAAUAGAUCGAUCUAAACCGGGCAUCUCAUGAUACUCCCAAGCAAAACAAUCCUUAAAUUCUCUUAACAAAUUUGUCAAUUUAUAUAUGUAUUCUGGGUCUAAAUUUGCACUAAUAUAAGUCGGCCUUGGUUUGGUACCAUCGCCUAAGUCUAUCAUCUCUAAUAAAUCGGCCGACGUGAACCCGUGCCCUAGCUUCCCAUCUUCUCGGGCGAACUGAUCCAUCUAUUCUGAGUCUUCGGAGCCGACUGCUCGGAUCGGCUGCAGGCCAAAAUCGGUGACCUUCAGGAAAUCGGUCUCCCAUACUCUGCCGGAUAUGCACCUGACGGUUUCGCAGCUCCACUGCUGUGUGUCGGCUGCCGCGAUGCUGUAUGCGGAAUCGGCGUUGACUACCUCGAUGUUGUCGCCGACCCAUUGUACAAGACAUUGAUGCAUUGUUGAUGGAAUGCAGCAAUUUGCGUGUAUCCAGUCCCGGCCGAGUAGCAUGUUGUAGGACCCCUUGCCAGUAAUAAUAAAGAAAGUGGUGGGAAGGGUCUUACUGCCGAUGGUGAGGUCAACGCAGAGAGCGUCGCGAGCGUUUGACACGUUGCCUUCGAAGUCCUUGAGCAUCAUAUUUGUCUUGGUCAAGUCGUCGUCGCUUUUUCCAAGCUUCCAGAGCACGGUGUAUGGCAUGAUGUUGACCGCAGCUCCUCCGUCUACCAUCAAUCUAGUGAGGGGGCGGCCGUCGACAUGCCCUUUAAGGAACAGUGCUUUCAGGUGUUGUCGUUUGUCAUCUUCGGGCUUCUCGAACGUGGCCAUCAUUGGUUCCAAAGCCAACUGUGCCGUCUGUUCUUCUAUCGCCGAUAUAUCCUGUUGAUCGGCGGGAGUCAUGAAUUCCAUCGGCAGUAUGAAAACCAUACCGAUAUCGGCUGCCAAUUCAUCACCCGCCGAUUCGUCGUCCCCUUUAUCGUUUCUUUUGGGGCGCCACACCCGAGGCCUUCCUUCCUUCUUGUCCGUCGUGCUCUGUUGUUCCUCUUCCUGCUGUUCCCAUUGGCGGAGACGUUGGAUUCUUCGUUUUUGAGACUUGGUCAAUCCAUCGGGACACCACCUGGGGUUUAUUGGUUUGCCCCCUGACUUGGCGCGUUCCCACUCCGGUUCGCGUCCUAACGGGUUUUCGUCUGUCACCCGAGCAUCGGCCAUCUCUUCGAGCCGACUGUGAACGUUGGCCUUGUUUUCUGACCGAUCAUGUCGAUCAGUCCUGCCCCCCUGCCUGUCAUGGCGUCUAUCUUCCGACCGAUCAUAUCGGUCACUUCUGCCCCCCAGCCGAUCACGCAAGGGAGGGCGCUGGUCAUCUUGGUUGCGCCAAUUCCUGCUGAUCAGUUCUGGCCUUCCGUCUCUGGAGCGAGACCUGUUGAACGGCCGAUUGCCACGAUAUGGGCCGUUGCAUUCUAGGCAAUUAUCGGCCGAAGGUAGCCUGAGGUUGUUUCUGACGUUGGUAUUUCUGUAGCAGGAACUGGGAAGUAAUGCGUGGCUCUUCCGAUUCGCCAUCGUCGUCCUCCAUCCGCCGCUUCCCCUUGACAUCUUCAAGCGUAGCUUGAUUUCUGGGGUCGACGGCGCCACUCUGUUUAGCCGAUUCGGAUGUCAGCACCUUUGUUUGGAGUGAAUUCUUCCCCGUAUCAACCAUGUUGGUGGGGAAGGGGUGCUGGUCGAUCUUCAUCGGCUUGGCCGAUUUUGUCGGCACUUGAAAUUUAAGUCUGCCCUGCUCAAUGGUCGACUGUAUCUGCUGCCUGAAGAUUUUGCACUCGUUAGUAUCAUGGGAUGUGGCGUUGUGCCACUUGCAGUAUUUCAUCUUUUUUAGUUGUUCGGCAGAAGGUAUUGUAUGAUAUGGCGAGAGUUUAAUCUGUCCUUCCUGGAGGAGAAGGUCGAAGAUUUUGUCGGCCUUCGUCGUGUCAAAACCGAACACUUCUGGCUCCUUUUUGCCGAAUGGGCAUGAUAUCGGCUUCUUUCCCUUGAUCCACUCCGCAAGUCCAACUUCAACGUCUUCCUCGUCCUCCAAUUCUUCCAGGAACGCCACUUUCUUCUGGAAAUUCCUCCGUGGAUCGAAAGAACGUACCUCCUAUCCAGACAAUCGGUGGACGAUCUGGCUUAAACUUUCGAACUCCUGUGAGGCGUAUUUUUCUUUGAUGUGGGGCAGGAGGCCUUGAAAGGCUAUAUCGGCCAGCUGCGCGUCGUUUAGAGCCAAAGAAUAGCACUUGUUCCUGAUUUCCCGAAACCUCUGUACAUAUGAGGAUAUCGGCUCGUCGCUUCUCUGCCUAAGGCUGGUCAAAUCGGACAGCUUCAUCUCAUGCACCACGGCAUAGAAGUAUUUGUGAAACUGUCUUUCCAAAUCGGCCCACGUGAUAAUCGAGUUCGGCGGCAAUGUCGUGAAGCACUGGAAGGCCGAUCCUGACAGAGAUGAUGAGAACAGCCGUACUCGUAGAGCAUCUUGCGUAGCGGCCUCUCCGCAUUGGAUGAUGAAUCUAUUCACGUGCUCCACGGUUGAAGUAUCAUCCAUCCCCGAGAACUUGGUGAAGUCAGGAACUUUAUACCGAUGGGGAAACGGCAGUAGGUCGUACGUAGACGGGUAUGGUGUCCUAUAAGUGUAAGUUUGUACCUUCGGCUUUAAGCCGAAUUGUUCCUGAAUCACCUCCGCAAUACGUGUCGACCAAUCUAGCUGUUGCUGGUGAACCGUUGGCUGAGGUAUUGGCACGUGCUGGUAUACCGGAGGUGGAAUAGCCUGAUGCUGAGUGAAAGCAGGUGGCAUUUGAGUGAAAGUCGGCUGUGAAUUGAAAAUCGGCUGUUUGAAUGAGCCACUUGCUUCAUCAUACAAUAUGAGCUCUGCUGUUUUAUUCAUCUCUGGUGCGACAGGCUGGUAUGGUGGCACGGUCGGCCGAGUGGCCGCCUGGAAAGAUGCCUGGAAUGGUGGGUUUCCUUGACUGGCCGAUUGAUUCUGACCGGCCGUGACUGAUGGUGCCCCCCAAGGCGAUGGGCUAACCGGAGGGAACGGCGCAGAGGACAGUUGGAUGGAGUUAUACCCCAUAGGAACUGAUGAUGAGGAAUCACCUGAACCCCCGACAGAAAAUUGGAUCGGCUGAGAAACCGAAUUCACAUAACUCUGGUGUGGUGGAAUCGGCUGAGUAUAUGCCGGUCCCCUGUAUCCCUGAGGUAUCCCACCAGUGAAGGAGUUGACAACAGCGUUGUGCACCGUAUUUGCAAGCACCGGGGAUUGAUCAAUGAAGGCGUGAUAAACGGACUGUUGAACCAUAUCGGCCAUUUUGGCCGAGUCCUCAGAGAUUGUGAUCUGGCGGGGAGCAGGAAACGUAGACUUUUUGAUAGUCUCCCCGCUUCUGGAGCGACUGAAAGACUGCAGGCAAGCUUUCCGGAACUGCGCCAUAUGCUUAUCCAGUUCUUCCUUCUGGUCGUCCUUUAGAUCUGCUUCCGUUACUUCGAUGACGUUAUCUUCGGAGACUUCAGCAGCUUUCGACAUGGCGGCGGUUGUAUUGGUCCCACCAGGCGUGCCAAAAGUGUGUUGGCGCUAGAAAUCGGUCAACCGAAUUCCCAGCGUCAGACACACGACCCGGGAGAAUCUGCUUAGCUCCUGUUCGGGUGAUCGCCCUGGUGCGGUUCGCGCGGCGUGCCAGCCAAUCUGACCUGUCGAUUGGCAAGGAAGAAUACGUGUAAGAUCCAAGAGUCGCGAUCGGCUAAAUUUCCGAUCUCGAGAGAGCUUAUCAGCCGAUUUGCCGUAAUAAAGAAAUCGGCUAUAGGGCAGCCGAUCACUGUAGCCUUGUAGACAGAAAACUACUGGAGUGAUCGGCGCAAUACUAUAGUGACAACACUAGGAAUAGAUCUAAUCGGCAAUAAAAUAGAUGAAUUUAAUAGCAGAAUAUAAGGAAAGCCGAAACCACCGAUUCCUAGCUGGAUAACUGGUGAUAAAACUAGAAAGACAGGUAAAACCUAUGAUUCUAGUAAAUAUCGAUAACUAGUGAAUAAAUCUAAACGAAACAACAGCGAUACGCCCGAAGUUAAAGCCUAGAAUUUACUCGGUAAACGGAACUUACAAGAUCGGCCGGAGGUCAAGUUGAUGCAGCCCUGUCAACCCGUACGAACUCGUGAAAAGGGAAAGUAUUUGGCGAAGUCGCCUGCUUGAAAGUAAGUACGAGGAAAAAGUAGUUGGUUGUAUUGAUUUGUUCAUGAUUACAGAUUUACAAAGGUAGCUAUUUAUAGCCCCGUACGAAUAACUCCUUAACUGACUAGAAUUCUAUCCCUAAUUCAAAUAGAAAAUGAAUAUUUACAAGCACGACUCGUGCUAGGUUGGUUAUUAUACGCUUCGUGGGCUGAUCUCCCCUUCGUCCUUCUAUUCCUUUUCAAGCCCAUACAGGCCCAAUUAUCCCAACCUCCUAAUCGGCCGAUUCCUUAUCGGCAAAAAGGCAACCGAUUGGGAACCCAGCGCGUUCGAUCCGAAGCGAGGCAGAAGUCAUCGGCCGAUCUUGUACUGUAGCACCAUUCAGCCGAUUCCCAACUGUACUUUGCCAAUUCCCUCUCUUCUUGGCGCCGAUUUUACUAGUGACGAAAUCUAGCGUCAACACAUAUAUCUUUAAGGAACCAGCGAACUGAUUCCUUAUCUUCUCUAGGUACUCUGCGACGGAGUCACACUCUGUGAUCGAGCCCAAAAUUGCAGGCCCAAUCGUAUUCUUUACCAAAGCCAUACAUUUCUCGUUGGCAGUGGUCCAUUGUUUGUUUUCAAGGGUAUAUGCCAACUCUAGUGGAGCAUAAUCCCUUUCCUUUUGCUGUCAUGCAGCAUCAUCAUCACCUUCAGCCCUUACUGGUUUCUCUGGAGCUUUUGACCGUGAUGUAGUCACCACCCAGUCAACUUCUCCACAGACGAAGGAGAAAUCAAUCUUCUUCCUCCACUCUACAUGGUUGUCUCCUGUCAGAGUAGGUAUCUCUUUGAGACAAGCCAUCAAGUUGAAUCCUCCUGAAAUUUGCAAUUCAAGGUGAGAUCAUAACAACAAUUGCAUGAUUUAUUUCCAACGUUGGUCAAAAAAUAAAAUAUACAACUGUUUAUGCAAUUUAAAUCUAUAUCACCGUUGGGCAAAAAUAGAAAUAAAAGCAUGGAAACUUUUUAAAUCAAGAUACAGUUAUUAACAACGUUGGUCAGAAAAUAACAGCAUCAUAAUCUAAAUUAACUUUAUUAUGCUUGCAAAAAAAAUUUAAUUGUCUCGUUGGUUCAAAUUAAAUUUAAAUAGAGCAACAAAUUAAACCUUUGCAGCGGAAACUGUGAAAUAAUUCUAUUUUUAGAAGCAAAAAAUAUUGUAUAAACUUUAUUAAUCUCUAAUACAAAUUAUCCCGUUGGUUCAAAUUUGAAUGGAGAUCAAAACUAUGCAAAAAUCACCAUAAAGAUGCCUCUGAAAAUAGAAAAUAAAAAUGUCAAGCGUUACUGUGCAAAACUUUCUAUUCAGCCCAGCAGCGAAAAUAGCCCACAGCCCAUUCCCGCGCUCGGCCCGCUCGCGCAACGCGGCCGGCCCACCCGUGAGCUCGGCCUGCUGGCCUUUGGCCCAGCAGCCACGGUCCGCGUCUGGCGGCCCCGCAGACCGGCUUUUGGGCCGCAACCUGGGCCCAGGCCUUGUUUUUGGCCUGACGCCGUCACCCGCCUGGGCCAAAUCUGGCCCGCACGAUCACAGCCGUCCGUCUUGAUCGGACAGUCGAGUGUCGAGAUCGGCGUAACAAAACCGCCGGAACGCCUGGCUCCCCCCAACCCUAGAUUCAUUUCUGUCCUCUCCCCCGCGAGCUCUUACCGUGGCGGCGGCGGCAGGGCUGUCUCUCCCGCGCCUGCUUAUGGCCGGCGGCGGCGGUUGAGGGAUGGCCCCGCCGGCGCACGGCCGUGGCAGCCCCCUUCUCUUUCUUGCUUUCUUGCCUCCCCCUUUCUCCCUCCGAGCCUCCCAAAAAUUCGAGAUCCAGAGGGCCAUGGCGACCACGGAGGAGGGCCGGCGCCACCGCGGAUCCCCUCGCCGGCGCGCGCGUCCACCGGAGGUUGGGCACGCCGCCGUUGAGCGGUCCUGUGGUGGUACUUUUGCGUCCCUGAGCCCCGAGCGGAUGCUCCGGCGGCUCGGGUGGAUCUUUUCCCUGGCGAGCGCGUGGCUCGGCCGGCAUUUGCCGCUCGCCGUCGGUGGACGUGCGGCGGUGAGGACAGCGGCAGGUAAGCCGCUCCGCGUCCCUCUUUACUUUAGAUCUAGGGUUAGGGUUAGGGUUUUACUUUUCUUUUCUGUUUCUUUUUCGAUCUACUUCUUUUUCCCAAUCUAGAAAAGCUUCUAGUAAGGUGUCUGAUACCAUUGUUAGGUGCACGCCUAGGAUCUCUAGAUGCAUAUCUAGUCAGGAUCAUAAUAAACAUGAAGUUCUUGGGUUUCUGGUGUCAACCGAGAGUGAUAGAGAGAGAGAGAGAGGUGGGUUACCUUCACCCCUAGGGGAGGAAGCAGCAGAGCUGCUGGCCAUCACUGGUUCUGUUGUUGAAGAUCUGCGCAAGGCAGCGAUGCGCAGUGCAGUUGCGUUGCCGGCGCAGCAGCGGUGGUGCUUCCCGUCGCUACUGCACAAGACCUAGAUCGGUAGGUGUGUCGAUGGGGCGGCUGGCAGCAGCGAACCUCGUGAGCCGAGCCGUGGCCCCCACCCUGUUUAUAUAGCGCAGCGCGACAGGGGCCCACCACCCAAUGCUAGGGUGGGCGUCCCCGAUCAGGGCGCGGAUCAGGGUCCCGAUGGGCCUUUGGGCCCAUUGAGGAGGAGAUCAAUCUAACACAAAUAACCCCCUCAAGAAUUAAAUGGCCCCUUAAUUUCACAAACCUGGAUCAAAACAUACCUUUUAACACAUUCUUAAAACCGGUGGCUGGUUCAACCGGUUUUGCCGACUACAUUGACAGAUUGGCGGCCUACGUGGCGAAGAAUACCUUGCCUCCCAUCCCAUCCCGUGCGUCGCUAGGUUAAAUGGAUCACAGAGCAGAUGAGUUGAUGAACGAGAAGGAAGAUGAGAUGAUGCAGCUAAUAUGCCUUCGCAUCGCACAGCAAGUUGAACAGUGAACACUACACCUAUCAAGGAAAAGAAACGAGCUCCUGCAAACUAAAAGAAACUUACUUCCGGUUUCAUAUUGCAGUAGAGAUGCCCCCAGGGUCAAUAUUUCUGACCGCAACAAUAAUUUUUUGGAUCAAUGUAUUAGCGCUCCAAGCUGCAAAAUUAAAGGAAUUCAAUAUCAAUUAUCAAGUGGAGCUCGUGCGUCGCAACAAUCAACGGCCGCGCAGGGCCAGCUAACGCAAGGAGGCGCGGGCCCUGUGCUCCGUGUAGCAGGCGACGAUGGCGCAGGCCAAGGUGCCCGCCGGCGCACGGGAUGUCAGGGCUGCUGGGAGCAUGACGGUGGCGCAGGCCAAGGUGCCUGCCGUAGCACGGGAUGCUGGGCCUGCUGGGAGCAAGACACAGUGCUGGCGGCGAUAGGGCACUGAGUCUUGGAGCAUGAACCCCUCGCGGCCGGCGGCGGCGAAAUCAGACACGAGAUAUAUCACAGAUGGAUGGGAUACACUUAGGUCAUUGAUAUGUCAAUCCAGUCAGAAAACCGGUUUGAAAAUCAGCUAUCCGGUUUCAACUGUGUUAAAAGGUGUGUUUUGAUUCAGUUUAGCAAACUCAGGGGGUUAAGUAGACCAUUUUAAUAUAUUAGGGGUUUAUUUGAACUUAUGCUAUACUUUGAGGGUAGUAAAUGAGACUUUUUCCUUAUUUAAGGAAAUUUUGCUUUUAUAUAUCUUCCGUUUUAGCCAAUCUUUAAUUUUGAAUAUUGAUUUCUUGAAUCAAUCUCUGUAUGAACAUUGACAUUUUACUAAUAGCCUAUAUUGUAAUUAAUUGAAGUGAACCUUUUUUUACAUUAAUUGGGAUUUAAUAUGUAAUUAGAUGGAAUGGGAUAGUUUAAUGUGAAGCUUUGUGUAACUAUAUGAAAAUUCGUGCAUAAGUGAAUCUAUGGACAGGGCUGGUCUGGUCAAGCCCAUUGACAACACACAUUUAUCGCUUUACAGCAUCCAAAAGAUUAAGCUUUGUUUCCUAAUAGGACGGAAAUGCCCUGUGGUUAUUAGUGAUUGUAUCUUUGUGUUGGUCGAUUAUUUAUAUCCAUUUUACGGGUCCGCAAAUCUUUUGUUUUGUUCAUUGUAAAAGUACUAUUGUGAUUGCUUGUUCAAUGCAAUGUCCUCCUGUGUGACAUUCUUUGUGAAUUGUUAGAUAUACUUAUCAUCAUUGUAGUUGUCUAUUUUCCGGGAAGGAUCAGGGCGCCUGAACUGUCCCAAGAGCAAAUAAUGAACCAGGAGCGUAUAAUGACGCAUACAUCGAGAGAACGAGUUGGAAUCGGCAUCACAUUCCGCUAAGACAGCUCCGGGAUUGCUGCUGCGAUAAAUUGUACGCCCAAAGUAAGUGGCAGUUACCGGUUAUUGUGUUCCUUUCACCCUAUUAUUGUUUUCUUGAUGCUCUGUGUAUUGUACUAUUAUUUUACUACCCAUAGCAACGCACGACCAUAGAUCUAAUAAACUAAAAUUUAGUUGAGAGUUAGCUAAUUAUUGACCCACAAUUAGCUCCUGUUUGAAUUAUUAUAAACUAAAUUUUAGCUAAAUAAAGUUUAGUCUCUAGAUCCAAAUAGGAUCUUAGAUAUGUAAAAGAUCUAGCCCCUAGAACAUUCCACGUCAAGCAAGCCACCUUCCAGAAGUUGUUCUCAAUCUAGGUGUUGGAAUCCCCUCACGCUAUUAGUGUUUAUAAGGGUCCCCGAGAUUGGGCGAUUGUGAGAUGGUGACACCGAUCCCGAACGUAGGUUAAAGAAGUUUGGUGCUUAGCAAAAAUAGCGUGGAGCAUAAUAACAUGAUAUUAUGUUGAAAAGAGAGUGUGGGAAGCAGUUGGCCUCAAAGACUUAUAAGCAGCAUAUUAAUCAAAAGUUUGCAUGAUUAGACUAUUGAUCUUAGAACAAUGAACACUAAUUCCUGAACCCAACCCCAGUGAGUGUCAACAUGCAAACCAUUGGCACUAGAUGUCUUUUAAAAAACUGAUAGAAUGAGAGCUACAUAUUAUAUUAAAAAGAAGAUAAAAGUCAAGAUUAGGUAGUAUAAAAAUGGAAAAACAAGAGUCUAACAUCAAGUAAUUCAACAAACACGCAUCGCACCACUAUUACACCACAAACACCAAGCCAAUACCCCAAUACUAUGCAUCAUUUAACCACUGCAAACCCCAAGGUUCAAAUAUACCACCACCUACGAUACAUCAUCGACACCCUCUCCAGCCUACUGACACGGAGUAUAAUAACCUGACACAAAGUUUAAAAAAUAUUUAGCUUAUCAAGAGAUCUACAACUAUGAGAAAAAUAGACGGAGGAUAGAACUCAUUGUCAAUAGAUUAGGAAAGAAUACAAGUUAAAGAGUCUUUACUAGAAAUUUCUUAUGGUUAGGCUCAAUUCAUUCAUCUUCAAAUCACAAUUUGCAUGUUAAAAAGGUGGACAUAUGUGGCUAAAGCAACCACACUAACCAAAAGCCCAACUGUUCAGACAAUUUAUAUUAGCCUGAUUCCAAAACAUGGGCACCAGAUGUCUAAACUUUAUGCAUUGAGAUAAACUCAAGCAACUCCAAGUAAUAUCUCAAGCAAACCUCACAACCUCACAUUGACACAACACCUCAGACUCGGCAACAUUGCGUAAACGAACCACCACCUAGGAACCCAACCCAACAAAACUCCCAACCAAAUCAGUAGCACUCGGAUCACUACAUGUAAGCAAGCACGCGGGGUUGGGGUUCGACGGGAGCGCGGGAAUGGGGGCGCAGAAAUGCAAGGGAUCUGCGAUCACUUUGUGCCCUAAGUCGUGAAUUCUACAGGCAAAUAGCAAAAGUGAGGGAGUUGGGAACCCAAUAGUGAUGGGGAUGAGUGAGUCAUCGGUGCCGAGGACGUCGAGCUUGAGGCUGCAGAGUGCAUCCCAGAACCCCUCCUCCGCGAAGCUCUGGAUGGCCUGAACCUGCAGCGGUCGAGGGAACCCCGCCGUGCCUACACCCUCCAUCACUAUCUCGUCUUCCCUCUGCCCGCACGGCAAGCGGCACGGCCGGUUCUACUUCCGCUUGAUUGGUUUUUGAUUUUACCUUGCCCCCUGGGAAGAUGUAUCGCUGGAUGGAUAUCCCUCCUUGGACUUUGUUUUGGCGUGUGUACAACUCGAAAGUGUUUUGUGGAGUUGUAGAAGACCACGAAAACAAUACUUGUAGUGGAGUUAGAUGUACACACAAGUCUCUUCAUCAAAAAAUACUAGUAGAGGUUAAGAAUUAAGAACUUCAAAUUUUGAUAAAUAAAUUUAUGUUUUUCCUAUGCAGGAGAUGGAAAAUGCUUAAAAAUACUAGAGGUUAAGAAUCAUUUGAGGUGAAUAAGAGUGGGAAUAAGAUGGCAAUAUACUACUCUUGUGGGAUGGUCGUCUAUGUCGUUAAAUAAAAUCUCUUAGACAAAUCUCUAUCCUAGUGCAUAGUACAAUAGUUUCGCGUACUACCCAUCCUCAUGUGGGUAAUAGGCUUUUAGAGAGUAUUUACAUUCCAUGGCCUCCAUCAAAAUGCAAACAAUUUAUUAUCACAAAAUGAAAAAUGUGUUUUUUAAGAUAACAAAGUUGAUAAGAAAUCAAUAGCAACUCAAGAAAAAAAAAUGCACUUCAAGCUAAGGGAGUUUUGGAUUUAGGGAGGCACCUCGUCUAUGUUAUUAAAUAAAAUCUCUCAGAAAAAUCUCUAUCCUUGUGCAUAGGACAAUAGUUUCGUGUACUACCCAUCCUCGUGCAGCUAAUAGGCUCUUAGCGAGUAUCCCACAUUCAUGAACAUUCCAUGGCCUGCAUCAAAAUGCUAGAGUCUAAACAAUAUAUUAGUACAAAAUGAAAAUUGUAUUUUUUAAGAUUACAAAGUUGAUAAGAAGUCAAGAGCAACACAAGAAAAAAAUGCACUUCGAGCUGAAGGAAGCUUGGAUUUAGGGAGGCAACACUAGCAGGGGCUUCAUCUUGAACAUGAGUCAACUGCGAAAAGUAUUGAAGGAUCAUCUAGCGGUUCAUUAGGGGUGAUGUUCUUGUCUCCUUCGAGGAUGGAAGAAGAAGAACCAUAGAGUUUCAUUGGUGAUGGAUCCAAAGGAUGCUGUCGCGAAGGUCGAAGCCCUUAAUUCUAGUCAAUUUAUCCUCUUGCUCCCUUAACGAUGGCCAUAGGUUAGUUGAAUAAUAGUUCUUAAGUUUUUUCAGUUCCAUCUUUAAUAGGGCAAUGCUUUGUGUUUGGGCUUUUUUUUUAUAAGAGCAUCUCCGGCAGUUCCUCAUUUUCCAAUCCAACUAACAUAUUGGGAGAGUUGGUAAAAAAAUAAUGCUCUAGCAGACUCCUUUUACCUUUCUUUUUUUCCCAAUAAUUAUUAGGACAACCCAAUAAUUCACCCUAAUACGGUAGUUGGAUUGGGAUGAGAUUAUUGGGAGAAUACGGUAGUUGGAUUGGGAUGAAAUUAUUGAGAGACUGCAAAAGUAACUCUCCCGAUAAUAAUGAAAGGGAUAUUGGGAUAUCAUUAUUAACUAGUUAUUGGAAAAUAUUUAUUAGAGGACUGCUGGAGAUGCUCUAACUAAGGUAAAAUUGGAAGGAAGUUGUACAAACGCACACACAAACUCGAGACUAAGAUGGUAUAUAAUGAGAGCGAGGAGUAGAAUUGUAAGAGAACCAAUCGGAACUCACUCCAUCUGAUGAAGCCAUUUUGCCUAUUGACUCCUCCACAUAAAUGAAACUCCCCCUGCAACUUAGUUUCAAAGAGUAAAACAAGGUGAGAUUUGGAAAGAACACCCUAAUACCAUAUGGCUUUUCCAGUUUUUCUUCAACCCCACUUACAAAGUGUGGUGCAGGCACAUUUGACAAGUUAUGAAAAAAAAUUCAUAGAUGGAUCAUUAAAUACUUUUUCCAUCCCAAAAGAGUACCAUUCUAAUUUUAAUUAUUUUAUCCAAGUCACUCUAUCUUAAGUUUGAUCAAGUUCAUAGAGAAGAGUGUAUCACAACAAGUCUAAUCAUACUUACUUGGCAUCGUUGAUAUAAGUUUGGUCAAAUCUUUUAUUAAAGUGAAUAAGGCUUCUGCCCUUUUUUCGUACGUCCCCACCCCCGAAUCCAAGACGGUAAAAAGUCUCAAGCAAAACUGGAUAAAAAACCAACUUUUGCUGCGGUUUUAAUUGCGACCGCUCCAUCUACAAGCCCAACGUGCGGAGAGGAAAAAAAUCGGCACCCCUCCCACAGUCCCACUUAAAAAAACUGCAUGAAAAAAAAGGCAAGGAUGCAGAAGGAUUGAACCCACAACCUUCAAAUUCUGCAGCUGCCUUCAAACUACUUAGGAUACAUGUUGUUUGUGAUUUACAAAUACAUUUUUUUUAAAAAAUUAUAUUAACAUGUUGCCUCCUACCAUGUGUUCCAACAAAUAUAGCCACAUUCCUUUUAUUAUUAGGUACUAGCAAAAUGCCCGUGCAUUGCCAUGAUAAAAGAUCAAUUGUGUUUUUAAAACUAAUGAUAUUUUUUAUUUCCGUCACUAAAUUUGUAUUCCACUUCUUGCAUGUCUACACAUUUAAUAAAAAAACCAAAACAAUUUUGACUUAAUUAUUUCCUUCAACUCAAAUACCCAUUAAAUUAAAAUAUUUUUUUAUUCAAGCAAGAGAACUUUAUAUCAAAGUUGUAGAUUUAGAUUAGAUCUAAAAUUUUAUAAUUGAUAACCUUUUCAUUUAAAGUUGUUUAAUAACUCAAAAUAUCAUUAUAAGCUCUCUAAUUUCAAAAUCUUGAAUUUUAAAAUUUUCAAAUAAUCUUGUAUGCAAACAAGCUCUAUAUCAAAGUUGUAGUGCUUAACGAGAUAUAAAAUUUUGUAGCUAACAAAUGUUUCAUUUAAAGGGAGUGUUCAGUAGAGAUUGCUGCUACAGCGCUGCAGCUGCACCAACCGAGUGAGUAGCAUGAGGCUGACCUGUGGGCUUAUUAUACCGUGCAGCUGCGGCUGCCUAUGCAGCCAACACAAACGAACAGCCCCAAAAUUGUUUAGCUGCCCAAAACUUCGUUAUAAGGUUAUGAAAGAAACAUGUUCUGCUGCAUCAGCGAUCCGUGUAUUCAAAAUCGAGCUCUCCGAUUGGCUCGAACCUCCUCUCCCUGGAUCCAUUCCCUCUUAUCCCUUUCCUCUCCCUCUCUCCUUAUCCAUUCCUCUCAUCUCAUCUCCCAAGGGCCAAGGGCAAGACGGCACGGCUGCGCGGCACACCGGCCGGCGGUGGGCGGCGUGGCACGGUGGCAGGAGGCGGCCACAACACCCCCUGGAUCUGACUCCGGCGGACAGCUCCUCCUCCCUCUCCCCCGACCGAGGCGAGCGGCGGGCGCAGGCCGAGCGGCGCGGCCGAGGCGGCUCGGGCGCGAGGCUGGACGGUGCGGCCGAGGUCGGGGAGGUGGCUCUGGCGCGGUCGAGCGGGACGGAACAGCCGUGGUGGGUGGGUGGGCGGGCGGCCGGGGCCGAGGCCGAGGCAGCGCGGUUGGCCGGAGCCAAGGUAGCGUGGCCGGCCGCAGGAGGCGCUCGCCAUGCGGGAGCUCGGGGUCGCUGUCCACAAGAAGCGGUCUCCGCCACUUGUCGUCGCCAGGCACGAUACCCAACUACCCUUCAACACCCACUCCGUUGACUUUGUCUUCGCCGACCGCGCUCUCGACACCGCCAAGUGCCUAGCCGACCUCGCCGCCGAGGCUGCGCGCAGGGGCAGCGCGGGGGCAGCGGCGGGGCAUCCUGCUUCGGCCGCCGCCCGCGCCCAAUCCCCCUUCUUCGACUCUCUGUUUUGAAGAAAGGAGAACCUUUUUCCUCUUUAACCCCCUCCCUUCCUUUCUUUUUCCACUCGAGCCCCCUCUCAGAAUUUGAACUGCGGGUUGAUUUAAUGAAAGUUGAGAGACUUUUUUGCAAAAUGACCACGUCGUACGAAAAACUGGGUAGAAACCUUACUUGCUUUAAUAUUACUAGCAAACAUGCCCGUGCAUUGCUACGGGUCUACAGCUGAAGAUCUUGAAAUAUUAUCUAUAAAUAAUAUCCAGACUCUAUCUCAACGCAUAAACUUUUUCCGUGCAUUGAUUCUUAGCCUACUAUGUCUAUAUGUCAAUUUUUUUCUACAACAGUGCUCGUGGAGAUGUUGCAGUCACAAUAAAGUACUGCCAUAACUUUUCUUUUCAAGUUUAACUGAUGCACUUGUCAACGGAGGUGGAAUCUUAUUAUAUGAGGUUUGGUUUCAGGUUUAUGAUUUCUUUAAAUAAAAAGGUUAUGUAAAAUGACAUCAAGAAUAUAGCAAAGACAUUACCUUACUGUUCCACCUUGUUUUGUGUAUGAGCACUCAGAUCUUAUCAAAGGUGUAAUGAAGAUUAUGGCUGACAUCAUGUGAGUGAGAGCUAGUUUAGAAAUUUUAGACGGGUUCAGUAGUGCAAAACUAACAUAGCAAGGGUACCAAACUUCUCAACAGUCCCAAGGCAUAUCCCAGGCAAGCAUAUAGUAUAUAAGGAAUUAAGGAUUAACCAUGAGCAGCCGAGGUUCCUGGAAACACCCCGUAGUGGCAUACAGAGAUUAAAAAGUGAUCAGAUAGCAUUUCGAAUAUUUGCAAGCUUUGGGAAUUACAUAUUCAUUGCUUAAUAAUUAGAUCUAAUACAGAAUGCAAUGGUUUACAUUACCUUGGUUGUACGAUUUCCAUAUUCUUAAUAUCUUGUGACAGUUGACAUUCAGAGAAUCAACACUGUAAAAUAAAAAUGAAAAAUGGUUCAAGUAGUCAUGAAGGAAGUAAAGCUAUGGACAUACUAUUAUGUAAAAUGUUUUAUAGCAAUAAACUCAUUAUAUAUGCUCUCGAACUAUCUACCAAGUUUCAGAUCAGUAUUGUCCGGGUGCUUUAAUUUUAGGUUGCAACCUCAAAACCUACUAUUUUAUUAAUUCAUAUGUUCUGUGUCGUAGCAUUUAAAUUUCACAUAGCCAUUUAUGCAUGGAUACAUGCAGAAAGUUUGUUCUUGAUGCCUGUUUGAGCACACGUCUGUGGCCCAAAACAUUAGAAGAGCAGUAUUUGCCGUUCAGAAAUUAAGAGAGCUAUUUGAUUUCUCUAAUAGUUGUUGUGAAAUUUUAAGCCCAUAUUCUACAUGAGAUUAAGACAACAUUAUUAUAUUAUAUGGUUGUUUUGUAUCCGGCGAGACUAAGGAUAAGUAUAAUUAAUUAUGUUUAUUAACAGCAAGUAGUUAUCUCCGACUUGUACAGGCAGCCAUAUGCUUUUCCUAAUUAGAGAGACAUGUUUCCUUCAGCUGAGUCGCCAUGGAACCCAGUUGAAUGUUGCCAUUUGACACGAAUUUGAGCAAUACUCGUUUCAACAAACUGAGUACCACAAAAGAAGCACAAUUCCUUAAGAAAUAAUUAAUAUAAAUGGUAAUUUAUACAGCACAGAAGAAUAGUUCUAGACUUCUAAUCAUUUCUCAGUGAGUAAUGCUAGUAAUUGCUAUUUUGGUUAUGUCCAGCUGCUGGUAGGAAAUUGGUGGAUAUUGAAUUCAAAUGAAUAUAUAUUGUGGAUAGAUUAAUACCUACGCGGGGGCAUAAUCAUGUACAACAUUACAGGCUCUUGCUUCCGUUCUUGUUAUUAGGCAUUUCUACAAACAACUUGUGUGCAGUAGAGACAGGCCAUAUGCACGGACAGAAGGGAGAACUGCAGAGGCUGCUACGGCCGUCGGCGGCGAGAGUGCGUCUGUGGUUGAGGCGCUGCGCGGCCGCGUUGCCGCUGGCCUCAACCACCCCGUGCUCCAGGCGCUAUGCCCGCCAAGCAGGCCCGCCGCCUCCAGUGGCGGGGUACACCGUCCGGGGACCUCGCCCCCGCUGGCCGCAGGUCCCAGCAGCACCGCUCGGGACAUCACCCCUGCCGGCCUGGGGAGCUCGCCCCGCCGGCUCCGGGCACCGGCCGUACCACUAGGGGACUCCCUCCCUCCAAUCGUCGCUGACUGCUGCUCGACGCCGCCCCUGCCUCGCCUCCCGCUGGCGCCCCGCCUCCAGCAUCUCCUUCGCCGAGGUGAGGAGGGGAGAGGACCUCCCUUCACACUCUCCCUUCUCCCCCUCUCCACGGCUGCGACGGGGGCAGGGGCACGGGGGAAGGGGGGCAGCAGAGGCGACGCGCCCAGGGUAGGAGGGAGGUGUGGCGCGGGGAGCAGAGGGGAUCGGCCGGCCUCUCCGUUGAGGCUCGGGGCAGGGUCCGGGGGCGCGGAUGAGGGAGCGCAAGCGGCGGAUGGGAGGGAGAGAGAUGGAGGAAAGGAGAAGCUUUUUUCCCUUUAACCUCCCUUCUUUCUCUCCCUUUUCCACCCGAGCCCCUCCUCUUUAGAAUAUGGACUGGGGGUUGAUUCCUUAAAAGUUGAGGGACUUUUUGUAAAUUGAUCACGACGGACGAAAAAAUUGGCAGUGACGUUACUCGCUUUAAUAAUAGGUAUAGAUAUAGAUAUUAUUAGGUAUAAAAAAAGUUUAGAAAAAAUAUGUUUGUAAUUAAAAUUUAGUUGUUUUCUUGCAAACAUAUAGAGAUCCAUUAAAUGCAAUAAAAAAUGUAGUGGUAUUACUAACAAAAUAUUUCUAGGGGUUUUAAGAAUAUAAUUAGCAUUUUACCGUAGCAACACACGACCAUCUUUCUAAGUUAGAUACAAAGAAUGGUAUCUUUGGGGAUUAAGUGUAAGCAUUAUUGAUGGACCUAUUUGGCAGGACUCCUAGAAGUGCUUCUCGAUCGGCUUCAUCCGGAGCCUCACCAAACGGUCUUUUUCAAAGUGGCUUCAGGGGUGAAGCCAGCAUGAAGCCGCCCCAAAUCUGCACCGGACGUUGCUUUGCAGCUGCCUGCUGCUGCUCAGCAGAGAGCGGCGCAGCUGGAGCGGCAGCAGCAGCGGGCAGCAGUAGCAUCCACCGUCCGAACAGGUGACGCAUCGGGGCUUGGGGACGACCUCUUCGGCUCCUGGGGUGGCCGCGGCGCCCUCCGUUCCCGCCGCGGCCGGCGCUGGCGCGUGGCCCGGCGGCUACACGGAGCCUGGUGUGCUAUGUAGGCCGGAUUCCCCAGUUCUUCAGCGAAUCAGCGGCAGCAACCGCGUGAGCCGCUGCCCUCGCCUCUGGUUCGGGCUCCAGCUUGCCGCCCGGUGGUGGAGACGCGGCAUGUGCCAGGCGAUGGCGGUGGCCGGACUGGUGGCAAGCAUGUGUCAGGCGGUGACAGUAGUUUUGUCCUUGCGCCUUGGAACUGGAUCGGGUUCACAGUCUCACAGAUGAGGCACCCGAAGGAUAAGGAUGGUUAGUGGUGGGACCCACAUACAAAAAGAAAAUGCGAGAGGAACUAAAGGAAAAUCACUCUAGUUAAGCAAUAUUCCUAUUUAUAUUUUUUAUUUUACAUGAACUAAAAUUAGAAAUUAAGGGCAAACAUACCAUUCAAUUUAACAAACAGGUCAGGUGUACUAAGGGUAGAUUGGACAAUUGACAUUUUCAAUCCAUUCAUAACGAUAGGAAGAAGCCGUUUCGCUACACAUUUUCGAAAUGGCUUCAGCUCGACCAGAGGAGCUACUCCACCAGUGGAGCAUCAAAGAUAUUUUUGGAGGAGCCGGAGCCCUACCCUCAACUCUUCUCUUUUUGAGUACAUACAAGUCUCUUCUUAAAAAAAUGCUAGAGGUUAAGAAUUAGAAUAAAUGUGUAUUUUUUAUCUCUUAAAUAUUGCAAAAAUAUUGCAAAAAGUAUGGUAUUCAUCCUUUAUGUUUUCAUUUGAUGCAAAUCAAUCUUUUAACUAACUAAGGCCUCGUUCAUUUGUUGCGGAUUGAAAAAGACCGAAACUGUUCUGACCCGGGAGUGAGUGAAUCCACUUGAUCCGGUGGAUUCCGUUCCGAAUCCACUUGAUCAGGUUGUUUCCAUUCCGGACCUCAAGAGGUGGAGAAUAAAUCCGGACCUCGAGGCGUACGAAAUAGCCGAGACGGUCCGGACUCCAUUCCCCGUCGGCCUUAACCGAAUGGCCAUUUUGCCAUGCGCCGAAUUCAAAACCAGGCUAGAUCAAUCCGCCCGGAACGGGCCGCAUUCCGGGCCAUUCCGGCCAAACCGAACGGGCCCUAAACCGGUGCAUUUAUCAUCCCAAUCUUAAUUUAAAAUAGCAUACGAUUUUAAAUUUGACCAAAUUUAUAUAGUAGAGUGAAAAUAUUUAUGACAACAAAUAAGUAUACGAUGAAACUGUAUUUCACAAAGAAUCUAAUGAUAUCUAUUUGGCAUUGUAAAUAACGAAAAUUUUGUAAAUUUGAUCAGAUUUUAGAUACAAAGAUAGAGGCCAUGUUUAGUUGCCCAAGUUGGGACCUCCCAACUUAGGAGUUACUGUGCAGCCAAAAUUUGGCUUGCAUGCCAAAUUUAGGAGUUCCAAAUUGGUGCCCCCCAAACUUUGCAAUGCACUAUUGAAUCAUUAUAGCAGCCACUGUUUCACCAUUACAACACAAUUCAGCAUGGCCCAUGCAUGUUGUCCUCCAAAAAAUGCACUGAUCCAGGCCAAAUGACAACACAAUUCAUAGCUGUUUCAACAACAAAACUUCAAGGAAAAUAUUCUCAAGUGCACCGCAAAUUAUUACAGAUUGACAACACCGAAAAUUAUUACAACCGAGCCACAAAGUCCAUAAACAAUUACAUGUCCUCCAACACAAAUUAUUCAAGACCUAGCAAACAAAUGUGAAGCAAGCAUAUCUCGGAAUGCAUUCAUGCUUGCCAUGUCCGCACUCUCCGGCGCCGCCACCGUUUCCGGCUGAUCCUGAGUGCCUUCAACAGGCACAUAGUUCAUGUUGCUAUCCACUAUACCAAAGUGAGUAUCAAAGUCACCAUUAAUCCUAAUGAAGUUGUGCAAUGCCAUGCAUGCACAUAUAAUCUGUGUCUGUGUUUCUGGUGGAUAGGCCGGGAUGUCCAACAAUAUGCGCCACUUCAUUUUCAACACUCCAUACGCCCUUUCGAUGAUAUUUCUAAGAGAUGAAUGGGCAUAGUUGAAUACCUCCUUCAUACCUUAUGGUUCUGGCGCGUUUUGAAAGUCUUGGAUGUGAUACUUGGUCUGGCGGUAAGGAGCUAGGAAGCCGGUGCGGUUUGCGUACCCCGAGUCCACCAAGUAGUAUUUCUCUAUAGGAACAGUACAUACCUGUAAGUUUACAAUGGUUGUAUUAGAAAACACUAUUGACCUAGAAACAGUUCUGUGUACCUCUAGGUGGCUUUGGGAACUUGUCGCUGUAAGUUGUCAUUGCAUCGUCAAACACCCUCAUGUCAUGCACUGAACCCGGCCACCCAGCAAGCACAAAUGUGAAAACCAUAUCCAAGUCACAAGCGGCCAUGACAUUCUGGGUUGUCUUGCCCUUCCUACACAUGUGCUGCAUAAACUUUGCACUUGGCACUACUACAGGGAUGUGAGUGCCAUCUAUUGCCCCUAUGCAUCCCUGGAAUUCAGGGUAGAACCUAUUGUUUUGCAGCCUAGGAUGCAUUGUUCUAAACUCUGGGUCCCUAGGUUUAAUGAUGUCGGCUGAUAGGUCAACUAGAGAAGUGAGGACUUUGUAGAAUAGCCUAUGAACAGUACCAAGGGACCUCUCAAAUCUAUCAUCUGCUUGCCUAACAGAUUGGGGUGCCCCACAUAUCCAAAGGAACAAUCCUAGAGCCUCAAUAGUGCUAGAUUUAUUUGAUGCAGUCAGCCCAUAGUCAGCUGUCAACAAGUCAUGCAGCCUAUAAAACAUGUGGGGGCUCAUCCUAAACAUGGUGCAGCAGGAUGUUUCAUUAGCAAGCUUGUUAACUACCCAUUGCUCCCCAGUCAAUGGUGGAUUCCUAUAGGGUGCUCUAUUGCAAUACUUGUCGAUAUGAAUAGCAUAUUCAUACAUACCAUAGAUAAAUGGUGCCUCAUCAUCGUCUAAUACCACCAAUUCCCAAAAAAGGUCCCACCACUCGGCCAGCAACUUCUCCUCCUCCUCCUGGUCCUCCACCUCCUCUCCUUGGGCACCAAAAUGAGCAGGAACUUCCUGGGCAGUCCAAAACAAGACAGCAAAAGUUAGCACAAAGAAAUUGGUAGCCACAAUAGUAAUUGCUGCUACCUUGAGUCAAAUGACACCCAUCUGAAGACAGAGGCAAUAACUUUAACAACCAUCAACCAAACAGCUCUAAUGCACUACCAUGCUGUUAAUAACCAUGCUGUUCAUAUAGGAUUAGCCAACACAUGUCAUCAAAUGUUCAUCCUCAUAACAUAAACAAUACCAACACAUAUUAAGUCAACAACAAGACAUAACACAAAAGACAUGCCAAGCACACACAAAAGACAUAGGGUGUGGUUUACACCAUAGCAGCAUAUUUCUUGAUCAUUGGCAGCCUUGCUUCAACAGGUGUGCACAGGUAGAUGUUGCGUAGGUCAUCAUCCAUGCAGAUCAUGAUGACACCAUCCCAGAGUUGUCCUUCCAUCAGGUGCACUCCAAGCUCUGUCGCUGAAUCUGUCACAAGUUUCUGUUCUUUCUUCCUGGCCUCCUCUCGGUACUGCUUCUUGUCAAUCACAACCUCAACCUCCUUCAUCUUACCCUCCAGGGCCCUUUGGAUAAUUGCUGUCCUGUGAGAGUAACUGGUGUUGAACGUUGUCAUGUUGUUGUUCAUGUUCCGAACAGCAGGACCCUUGUUCCUCUUGCUGGGGCUUGUAGCAGUGCUGCGGAUGCUGCUUGUGCUCCUCUUGCUGCCACUGCUGAUUGGGGUGCCACAGCUGCGAGGGGUGCCACAGUCCUCAUCAGCAGCAUCUUCUUCGCCACUGCUGAUGAAGUUGAUCUGCCGGCUGACCCCUGGAACAAAUGACGUCUCUCCAGUCACUGCUACUCCACAGAACAUGCGGUCCAGCUCGUCAAUGUACUCUGGCCAUCCAUCCUUGAGGUCAUACCAGUCUGCGUGCCCCUGCAUUGCAAAUAACAAGACACAACCAUUCAGUAGGCAAGACAGGAACUUGUCGCAGUACACAUGCGGUGUUCACAUAUCACUAACCCUGCUAUUGGUGCGCCACCAGUUAUCACUAGCAACCACAGAACCAUCUUCUCGGCGCCCCAAGCCUGUGCACUGUGUCCGCAGAUGUUGGAUGAACUGCCAAAGCUGCUUCAGCUGCCUGUACUUGUACCCGAACUGCUCGCUGUUCCUGAACUUCCCAGUGGCCGCUUGGAACUUCUCCUGGACAUCUUUCCAGCCCCACUUGCUCAUGUUCCCGCUCUUGCAGUUGCCCAACUCGAUUUGCUGACAGUACAGCUCACAAAACAGUUGUGUAUCCUCUUUAGUCCACUUCGCCCUGCUAGGCUCAUUCUGUGCACAAUGCAAUUGAACAAGCAAUGCAUGAACUCCUAUUGACAGUAUGCAUGACUAAGCAAUACAGAUUAACAACAGCAGGGAUAAAUGUAAAAAUGACAACCAAUGCAUUAAAUCAUAUUGACAGAAACCAUCACUAACCAAUACAUUUCAUGCACACCAGGCAUAAAUCAUGAUAGAACAAGCAAUGAGACAACUCCUAAUGACACUAACCGUGAGUAAGCAAUACACUUGAUGCACACAACGGUUUCAUGUACGCGGCAGCGCAUAUCUUUGCAAUGGAAGUACAGAGGGGGAGUGGGAACAAGUACCGGAUUCAUCUCGGCUGCCCCUGCUGGAGCCGCGCCACGACGCCGGGAACCGCGUGUCCUGGCCGUAGCACGCCGCUGACGAGGCAAGGGAUCCGGGGCCUGGUCACCGCUGCCGAAACCAUCUCCGCCGGAAUGGCCGACCCGGCUGCUGCCGCCUCCUCCAACUCGGUCGCCGGAGCGAAGGAUGCCUUCGUAGUCGUCCAUGUUCGGCCACCCGGAGGAGGCAUUCAGGUUGAGGCCGGCCAUGCCCAGCUGGCUUGGGGUGGGCAAGCUGGACGACAGGGUCUGCUGCGGCCCGGAGGAGAAGGGGUUGUACGCACCGCUUGCUGAGCCCGGCGGCGCCAGGGAGAACAAGUUCCUGGUGGGGUGGCUGCCGUCGUACUCGGGGACGUUGCCGAAGUCCAGACCCGAAGAGGCAUCUCCGUAUCCGCCGGCGUUGAAGUAGGCGGGGUUGCCGGAUCCGCUGGCGUUGAAGCCCCCGGGGAGUCGGGAUCCGGUGGCGGUGAAGCCCGCGGCGAGUCGGGAUGAUCUGGCGGUGAAGCCCGCGGGGAGUCGGGAUCCCCCGGUGGUGAAGGCAGCGGGGAGUCUGGAUCCACCGGCGUUGAACUCCGCGCCGUCCCCUUCCUCGUUGAAGUGGUCCAUCGCCGCAGCCUGGGUCAACAACGGACCGAGUACGUCCUGGAUCUAGUGGUGGAUAGGUCGAUCGGAGCGGAUGCGGCGACCUCCUGCCGGGGGAGUGGGACAGCGGCCGAGGGGGACAGAUCUAGGCGGGGGAGAGGCGACCGUGGCGGGGGAGAGGGGAGCGGCGCGGGGGAGGGGGGUCAGCGGCGGGUAGGGGGCGAGCGCCGCGGGCGAGGGGGAGAUCUGCGAGGGAGACGAGAGCGGCGCGGGCGACAGGGAUAUCGGCGGUGGAGCGGACACCGGCAGGAGGAAGAGGGCGAGCGGCACGGGUCGAGGGGGAGAGCGGCGGGGGGAGAGCACACCGGCGGGGGGAGAGCACACCGCGGGGGAGAGGGCGAGCGGAACGGGGGGAGGGGGAUAGCGUCUGGGAGGGGCCUAGCGGCGGGGGAGAGGCAAGCGGCCCGGGGGAGAGGGAGCGUGACUGCGGGCGCUGCUAGGGGUUGGGAGGUGCGGGCCGGUCGGCUUGCCGGUGGAUAAGGCUGCGAAUUUUGGGCCGGAAAUCGGGGCAUUCCUAAAGGCCCGACUUUUGCACCGAAGUUUGCCAGACCGUUUACUUCAAAACUCCCAAAAGGAGGCCCAAACACUGUACAAAGUCCGAUUCAGACCUCAUCUAAACAAGGCCAGAAUGACAUUUGAGAUACAUCAGUGACUCUCUUUCGGUGUUCUGCGUACCCACAAAGUAAAGCCAGUUCAGGAGCGCCAUCCAAAUUCCAAACACAGCACUUUGCACACAACAAGCGGCCUGUUCGCUUCAGCUUAUUCAGCUGGCUUAUCAGCCACCAAACAGUAUUUUUCUCUCACAACAAAUCAGCCGUUUCAGCUUUUCAACCGGCUUAUAAGCUGAAGCGAACAGGCCAAAGGUCAAUGACCGUCUGGCAGCAGUAAGGCUUAGGUAGAGUUAAAAA